AUCCUGCACGUGCUAGGUGUGCCCUAUGUAGAUAGUAGCCCCUGAGACUCUGGUUGUCGUCGGAAACGACGAUGAACAGAGGAUCAUAUUCCCAGGUAAUAACCAUACUGCCUCUAUGUGCAGGUGAUGGAAGCUCCGGUGGCUAGCCGGACUAACGAGUUUGGCAAUUUAAAACGGCAGUUAAAUGCGGCAGACGCCGACAUCGAGCUUGUUAACAAAAGGCUUGACGAGGCACAGGGUAAGUGUCAUUAUCUGGUAAAUGCCACAUAGUAAGAGCAGCAUGAUGCCGGUAUCUUUAAUACGUUGUGACUGUAGAUGGAGCUGCCACUGUUGAAGCCUUGCGGGCGGAACUUGCCCGAGCCAAGGAACAAGCGAGGUUUGGUAAUGCGGCUGCUUUGAAGGCGGCCAAAGAGUUUAAAGCCGAGAAGGCCGCGCAUGGUGAGAGCCGGGAUAAGAUGGCCAAGAUGGCCAUAGAAUUAAAAGCCGCCGCCGACCGUUGCCGGGUUCUUGAAAAGGAAAACCUAGCGAAGGCAUCGGACCUUGAGAAGGCUGCUGCGAUGAGGAAAGGCAUCCGCUCUGCUAUGAGGGCGAAGAAGGAGGAGCUGCAGGAAGCCGGGGAUAUUCUAGCUGGGAAAUCCUUUAUGUUGCGGAGGAAGUUCGGAGAUCCAUGGUAUGCCACUCUAGAUCGGCUGUGGAGUUCAGAGAAUGUGUAUAUGGAUUUGGCGACGAGCGUUGGGCCAAGUACUUCCAGGGUCAGACGGACCAUGAAGAAGACCAACUGUUUUGGAGACAAUUCCAUUCUCCCGAACGUCUGCUUUCAUUGACUGGCCAAUUAACUGAAUGGGCCGAACUGAAUAGGUUAUCCAGACUCGCCAUCAGGUCUGUUGUGGAUCAACUAUGGCCGGAAAGGCCAAAGCCGAACAGCUAUUUCAGCUUGGUGCAGCAGUUCCUUGACGUGGUGCCGCGCAUUAAUGCGAUGAAGAGGUCGGCGUGCAUAGAGGGCUCAUGGAUGGCCUUUGCCAGUGUUAAAGCAUACUGGGCGGAGAUGGAUGCUACCACUGUUGCAGCGUGGGAUUCGGCCAUAGGCCGAAUGGCUGCUGAGCACUACUUUGAAGAAGUUCUUGAGGGUGCUCGUUUGAUAGAGACCCAGUGCUCAAAAAAUAUUAUGUUUGAGUGAAAUGUAAUCUCAUUGUAAGCGAAAUGCUUUUAUAAAUUUUUAUAAGGCUAUUUUUAUACUUUUUCCUGAAAGUAAUAUGAUGCCUCCUGGGCGGCCGUUUAUGUAUACAUGUGUAUAACCUCAAAGAUUGCAGCCGUCGGCUUCGACCCCCACGCAUAUAAUGCGGAGGUGCUCGCAAAAAACACGCGCUCACACUUAACCCAACGUCUUGGUCCUAUUAAGAUGGUGAUAGCGGAGCGAGCGAGGCAAUCGGACUAUAAUGCUUUAACACUUUCACUUAGCCUUAGGAGUUUGACAUGUUGGAAAUAUGCCCUAGAGGCAAUAAUAAAAGCAUUAUUAUUAUAUUUCCUUGUUCAUGAUAAUCGCCUUUAUUCAUGAUGUAAUUGUGUUAUCCGGAAAUUGUAAUACAUGUGUGAAUAAUAGACACCAACAUGUCCCUAGUAAGCCUCUAGUUGAAUAGCUCGUUGAUCAACAGAUAGUCAUGGUUUCCUGACUAUGGACAUUGGAUGUCAUUGAUAACGAGAUCACAUCAUUAGGAGAAUGAUGUGAUGGACAAGACCCAAUCCUAAACAUAGCACAAGAUCGUAUAGUUCAUUUGCUAGAGUUUUUCCAAUGUCAAGUAUCCUUUCCUUAGACCAUGAGAUCGUGUAACUCCCGGAUACCGUAGGAGUGCUUUGGGUGUACCAAACGUCACAACGUAACUGGGUGACAAUAAAGGUAUACUAUGGGUGUCUCCGAAAGUGUCUGUUGGGUUGACAUGGAUCAAGACUGGGAUUUGUCACUCCGUAUGAUGGAGAGGUAUCACUGGGCCCACUCGGUAAUGCAUCAUCAUUAUGAGCUCAAAGUGACCUAGUGUCUGGUCACGGGAUCAUGCAUUACGGUACGAGUAAAGUGACUUGCCGGUAACGAGAUUGAACAAGGUAUUGGGAUACCGACGAUCGAAUCUCGGGCAAGUAACAUACCGAUUGACAAAGGGAAUUGAAUACGGGGUUGCUUGAAUCCUCGACAUCGUGAUUCAUCUGAUGAGAUCAUCGAGGAGCAUGUGGGAGCCAACAUGGGUAUCCAGAUCCCGCUGUUGGUUAUUGACCGGAGAGUCGUCUCGGUCAUGUCUACAUGUCUCCCGAACCCGUAGGGUCUACACACUUAAGGUUCGGUGACGCUAGGGUUGUAAAGAUAUGUAUAUGCAGUAACCCGAAUGUUGUUCGGAGUCCCGGAUGAGAUCCCGGACGUCACGAGGAGUUUCGGAAUGGUCCGGAGGUAAAGAAUUAUAUAUAGGAAGUGUUGUUUCGGCCAUCGAGACAAGUUUCGGGAUCACCGGUAUUGUACCGGGACCACCGGAAGGGUCCCGGGGGUCCACCGGGUGGGGCCACCCAUCCCGGAGGGCCCCAUGGGCCAAAGUGGGGAGGGGAACCAGCCCAUGGUGGGCUGGUGCGCCCCCCUAGGCCCACCCCAUGCGCCUAGGGUUGGAACCCUAGGGGUGGGGGGCGCCCCACCUUGCCUUGGGGGCUACUCCAGCCCUGGCCGCCGCCCCCCCUAGGAGAUCUCAUCUCCUAGGGCCGGUGCCCCCCCCCCUAGGGGAGCCUAUAUAUAAAGGGGGGAGGGAGGGGGUCAGCCUAACUUUGAGUCUUGGCGCCUCCCUCUCCCCUGCUACACCUCUCUCUCGUAGUAUACGGCGAAGCCCUGCUACUGUGACGCCCUGCAUCCAGCACCACGCCGUCGUGCUGCUGGAUCUUCAUCAACCUCUCCUUCCCCCUUGCUGGAUCAAGAAGGAGGAGACGUUACGCUGACCGUACGUGUGUUGAACGCGGAGGUGCCGUCCGUUCGGCGCUAGGAUCUCCGGUGAUUUGGAUCACGUUGAGUACGACUUCCUCAUCCCCGUUCUUUGAACGCUUCCGCGCGUGAUCUACAAAGGUAUGUAGAUGCAAUCCAAUCACUCGUUUCUAGAUGAACUCAUAGAUGGAUCUUGGUGAAACCAUAGGAAAAUUUUUGUUUUCUGCAACGUUCCCCAAUAAUGGCAUCAUGAGCUAGGUCUAUGCGUAGUUCUUCUUGCGCGAGUAGAACACAAUUUGUUGUGGGCGUAGAUGUUGUCAACUUUCUUGCCGAUACUAGUCUUAUCUUGCUUCAACGGUAUUGUGGGAUGAAGCGGCCCGGACCAACCUUACACGUACGCUUACGUGAGACCGGUUCCACCGACUAACAUGCACUAGUUGCAUAAGGUGGCUGGCGGGUGUCUGUCUCUCCUACUUUAGUUGGAGCGGAUUCGAUGAACAGGGUCAUUAUGAAGGGUAAAUAGAAGUUGACAAAUCACGGUGUGGCUUUAACGUAGGUAAGAAAACGUUCUUGCUAGAACCCUAUUGCAGCCACGUAAAACUUGCAACAACAAUUAGAGAACGUCUAACUUGUUUUUGCAGCAAGUGCUUUGUGAUAUGAUAUGGCCAAAGUUGUGAUGAAUGAUGAAUGAUAUAUAUGUGAUGUAUGAGAUGUUCAUGCUAUUGUAAUAGGAAUCACGACUUGCAUGUCGAUGAGUAUGACAACCGGCAGGAGCCAUAGGAGUUGUCUUUAUUUUUUGUAUGACCUGCGUGUCAUUGAGAAACGCCAUGUAAAUUACUUUACUUUAUUGCUAAAUGUGUUAGCCGUAGUAGUAGAAGUAAUAGUUGGCGAGCAACUUCAUGGAGACACGAUGAUGGAGAUCAUGAUGAUGGAGAUCAUGGUGUCAUGCCGGUGACAAGAUGAUCAUGGAGCCCCAAGAUGGAGAUCAAAGGAGCUAUGUGAUAUUGGCCAUAUCAUGUCACUUUUAUUAUUUGAUUGCAUGUGAUGUUUAUCAUGUUUUUGCAUCUUGUUUACUUAGAACGACGGUAGUAAAUAAGAUGAUCCCUCAUAAUAAUUUCAAGAAAGUGUUCCCCCUAACUGUGCACCGUUGCGACAGUUCGUUGUUUCGAAGCACCAUGUGAUGAUCGGGUGUGAUAGAUUCUAACGUUCACAUACAACGGGUGUAAGACAGAUUUACACAUGCAAACACUUAGGUCGACUUGACGAGCCUAGCAUGUACAGACAUGGCCUCGGAACACAGAAGACCGAAAGGUUGAGCAUGAGUCAUAUAGAAGAUACGAUCAACAUGAAGAUGUUCACCGAUGUUGACUAGUCCGUCUCACGUGAUGAUCGUACACGGCCUAGUUAACUCGGAUCACGUUAUACUUAGAUGACAGGAGGGAUGUCUAUCUAAGUGGGAGUUCAUUGAAUAAUUUGAUUAGAUGAACUUAAUUAUCAUGAACUUAGUCUAAAAUAUUUACAAUAUGUCUUGUAGAUCAAAUGGCCAACGUAGUCCUCAACUUCAACGCGUUCCUAGAGAAAACCAAGCUGAAAGACGAUGGCAGCAACUAUACGGACUGGGUCCGAAACCUGAGGAUCAUCCUCAUAGCUGCCAAGAAAGAUUAUGUCCUACAAGCACCGCUGGGUGACGCACCUGUUCUCCCUGCAGAACAAGACGUUAUGAAUGCUUGGCAGGCACGUACCGAUGACUACUCCCUCGUUCAGUGCGGCAUGCUUUACAGCUUAGAGCCGGGGCUCCAAAAGCGUUUUGAGAGACAUGGAGCAUAUGAGAUGUUCAAAGAGCUGAAAAUGGUUUUUCAAGCUCAUGCCCGGGUCGAGAGAUAUGAAGUCUCCGACAAAUUCUUCAGUUGUAAGAUGGAGGAAAAUAGUUCUGUCAGUGAGCACAUACUCACUAUGUUUGGGUUACAUAACCGCUUGACUCAGCUGGGAGUUAAUCUCCCGGAUGACGCGGUCAUUGACAGAAUCCUUCAGUCGCUUCCAUCGAGCUACAAGAGCUUUGUGAUGAACUUCAAUAUGCAGGGGAUGGAAAAGACCAUUCCUAAAGUAUUUGCUAUGCUAAAAUCACCAGAGGUAGAAGUCAAGAAGGAACAUCAAGUGUUGAUGGUCAAUAAAACCACUAAGUUCAAGAAGGGCAAGGGUAAAAAGAACUUCAAGAAGGACGGCAAGGGAGUUGCCGCGCCCGGCAAGCAAGCUGCCGGGAAGAAGCCAAAGAAUGGACCCAAGCCCGAGACUGAGUGCUUUUAUUGCAAGGAAAGUGGUCACUGGAAGCGGAACUGCCCCAAAUACUUAGCGGACAAGAAGGCCGGAAAAACGAAAGGUAUAUGUGAUAUACAUGUAAUUGAUGUGUACCGUACCAGUACUCGUAGUAGCUCCUGGGUAUUUGAUACCGGUGCAGUUGCUCACAUUUGUAACUCAAAGCAGGAGCUUUGGAAUAAGCGGAGACUGGCGAAGGACAAGGUGACGAUGCAAGUCGGGAAUGGUUCCAAGGUCGAUGUGAUCGCCGUCGGCACGCUACCUCUACAUUUACCUACGGGAUUAGUUUUAAACCUCAAUAAUUGUUAUUUAGUGCCAGCUUUGAGCAUGAACAUUGUAUCGGGAUCUCGUUUAAUUCGAGAUGGCUACUCAUUUAAAUCCGAGAAUAAUGGUUUUUCUAUUUAUAUGAGAGAUAUGUUUUAUGGUCAUGCUCCGAUUGUGAAUGGUUUAUUCUUAAUGAAUCUCAAGCGUAUUGCUACACAUAUUCAUAGUGUGAGUACCAAAAGAUGUAAGGUUGAUAAUGAUAGUCCCACAUACUUGUGGCACUGCCGCCUUGGUCACAUAGGUGUCAAACGCAUGAAGAAGCUCCAUACAGAUGGACUUUUAGAGUCUCUUGAUUACGAAUCAUUUGACACGUGCGAACCAUGCCUCAUGGGUAAAAUGACCAAGACUCCGUUCUCAGGAACAAUGGAGCGAGAAACCAACUUAUUGGAAAUCAUACAUACUGAUGUGUGCGGUCCAAUGAGUGUUGAGGCUCGCGGUGGCUAUCGUUAUGUUCUCACCCUCACUGAUGACUUGAGUGGAUAUGGGUAUAUCUAUUUGAUGAAACACAAGUCUGAGACCUUUGAAAAGUUCAAGGAAUUUCAGAGUGAGGUUGAAAAUCAACGUGACAGAAAAAUCAAGUUUCUACGAUCAGAUCGUGGAGGAGAAUACUUGAGUCAUGAAUUUGGCACACACUUAAGAAAAUGUGGAAUAGUUUCACAACUCACGCCGCCUGGAACACCUCAGCGUAAUGGUGUGUCCGAACGUCGUAAUCGCACUCUAUUAGAUAUGGUGCGAUCUAUGAUGUCUCUUACCGAUUUACCGCUAUCUUUUUGGGGCUAUGCUUUAGAGACUGCCGCAUUCACUUUAAAUAGGGCUCCGUCGAAAUCAGUUGAGACGACACCGUAUGAAUUAUGGUUUGGGAAGAAACCUAAGCUGUCGUUUCUAAAAGUUUGGGGAUGCGAUGCUUAUGUCAAGAAACUUCAACCUGAAAAGCUCGAACCCAAGUCGGAAAAAUGCACCUUCAUAGGAUACCCUAAAGAAACUAUUGGGUAUACCUUCUACCUCAGAUCCGAAGGCAAGAUCUUUGUUGCCAAGAAUGGAUCCUUUCUAGAGAAAGAGUUUCUCUCGAAAGAAGUAAGUGGGAGGAAAGUAGAACUUGAUCAAGUAUUACCUCUUGAACCGGAAAAGGGCGCAACUCAAGAAAAUGUUCCUGAGGUGCCUGCACCGAAUAGAGAGGAAGUUUAUGAUAAUGAUCAAGAUACUUCUGAUCAAGCUCCUACUGAAAUUCGUAGGUCCACAAGGACACGCUCCGCACCAGAGUGGUACGGCAACCCUGUCUUGGAAAUCAUGUUGUUAGACAACGGUGAACCUUCAAACUAUGAAGAAGCGAUGGCGGGCCCAGAUUCCGACAAAUGGCUGGAAGCCAUGAAAUCCGAGAUAGGAUCCAUGUAUGAAAACGAAGUAUGGACUUUGACUGACUUGCCCGUUGAGCGGCGAGCCAUAGAAAAUAAAUGGAUCUUUAAGAAGAAGACAGACGCGGAUGGUAAUGUGACCAUCUAUAAAGCUCGGCUUGUCGCUAAGGGUUAUCGACAAGUUCAAGGGGUUGACUACGAUGAGACUUUCUCACCGGUAGCGAAGCUGAAGUCCGUCCGAAUUAUGUUAGCAAUUGCCGCAUACUAUGAUUAUGAGAUAUGGCAAAUGGACGUCAAAACGGCAUUCCUUAAUGGUUUCCUUAAGGAAGAAUUGUAUAUGAUGCAGCCGGAAGGUUUUGUCGAUCCUAAGAAUGCUGACAAGGUGUGCAAGCUCCAACACUCGAUUUAUGGGCUGGUGCAAGCAUCUCGGAGUUGGAACAUUCACUUUGAUGAGAUGAUCAAAGCGUUUGGGUUUACACAGACUUAUGGAGAAGCCUGCGUUUACAAGAAAGUGAGUGGGAGCUCUGUAGCAUUUCUCAUAUUAUAUGUAGAUGACAUACUUUUGAUGGGAAAUGAUAUAGAACUCUUGGACAGCAUUAAGGCCUACUUGAAUAAGAGUUUUUCAAUGAAGGACCUUGGAGAAGCUGCUUAUAUAUUAGGCAUCAAGAUCUAUAGAGAUAGAUCAAGACGCCUCAUAGGUCUUUCACAAAGCACAUACCUUGAUAAGAUAUUGAAGAAGUUCAAUAUGGAUCAGUCUAAGAAGGGGUUCUUGCCUGUGUUGCAAGGUGUGAGAUUGAUCUCAGCUCAAUGUCCGACCACGGCAGAAGAUAUAGAAGAGAUGAGUGUCAUCCCCCAUGCCUCAGCCAUAGGUUCUAUUAUGUAUGCCAUGCUGUGUACCAGACCUGAUGUAAACCUUGCCGUAAGUUUGGUAGGAAGGUACCAAAGUAAUCCCGGCAAGGAACACUGGACAGCGGUCAAGAAUAUCCUGAAGUACCUGAAAAGGACAAAGGAAAUGUUUCUCGUUUAUGGAGGUGACGAAGAGCUCGUCGUAAAGGGUUACGUCGACGCUAGCUUCGACACAGAUCUGGAUGACUCUAAGUCACAACCCGGAUACGUGUAUAUUUUGAAUGGUGGGGCAGUAAGCUGGUGCAGUUGCAAGCAGAGCGUCGUGGCGGGAUCUACAUGUUAAGUGGAGUACAUGGCAGCCUCGGAGGCAGCACAUGAAGCAAUUUGGGUGAAGGAGUUCAUCACCGACCUAGGAGUCAUACCCAAUGCGUCGGGGCCGAUCAAGCUCUUCUGUGACAACACUGGAGCUAUUGCACUUGCCAAGGAGCCCAGGUUUCACAAGAAGACAAGGCACAUCAAGCGUCGCUUCAACUCCAUUCGUGAAAAUGUUCAAGAUGGAUACAUAGAUAUUUGUAAAGUACAUACGGACCUGAAUGUAGCAGAUCCGUUGACUAAACCUCUCCCUAGAGCAAAACAUGAUCAACACCAGAAUUCCAUGGGUGUUUGAUUCAUCACAAUGUAACUAGAUUAUUGACUCUAGUGCAAGUGGGAGACUGUUGGAAAUAUGCCCUAGAGGCAAUAAUAAAAGCAUUAUUAUUAUAUUUCCUUGUUCAUGAUAAUCGUCUUUAUUCAUGCUAUAAUUGUGUUAUCCAGAAAUCGUAAUACAUGUGUGAAUAAUAGACACCAACAUGUCCCUAGUAAGCCUCUAGUUGACUAGCUCGUUGAUCAACAGAUAGUCAUGGUUUCCUGACUACGGACAUUGGAUGUCAUUGAUAACGAGAUCACAUCAUUAGGAGAAUGAUGUGAUGGACAAGACCCAAUCCUAAACAUAGCACAAGAUCGUAUAGUUCGUUUGCUAGAGUUUUUCCAAUAUCAAGUAUCCUUUCCUUAGACCAUGAGAUCGUGUAACUCCCGGAUACCGUAGGAGUGCUUUGGGUGUACCAAACGUCACAACAUAACUGGGUGACAAUAAAGGUAUACUACGGGUAUCUCCAAAAGUGUCUGUUGGGUUGACACGGAUCAAGACUGGGAUUUGUCACUCCGUAUGAUGGAGAGGUAUCACUGGGCCCACUCGGUAAUGCAUCAUCAUUAUGAGCUCAAAGUGACCUAGUGUCUGGUCACGGGAUCAUGCAUUACGGUACGAGUAAAGUGACUUGCCGGUAACGAGAUUGAACAAGGUAUUGGGAUACCGACGAUCGAAUCUCGGGCAAGUAACAUACCGAUUGACAAAGGGAAUUGAAUACGGGGUUGCUUGAAUCCUCGACAUCGUGGUUCAUCCGAUGAGAUCAUCGAGGAGCAUGUGGGAGCCAACAUGGGUAUCCAGAUCCCGCUGUUGGUUAUUGACCGGAGAGUCGUCUCGGUCAUGUCUACAUGUCUCCCGAACCCGUAGGGUCUACACACUUAAGGUUCGGUGACGCUAGGGUUGUAAAGAUAUGUAUAUGCAGUAACCCGAAUGUUGUUCGGAGUCCCGGAUGAGAUCCCGGACGUCACGAGGAGUUUCGGAAUGGUCCGGAGGUAAAGAAUUAUAUAUAGGAAGUGCUGUUUUGGCCAUCGGGACAAGUUUCGGGAUCAUCGGUAUUGUACCGAGACCACCGGAAGGGUCCCGGGGGUCCACCGGGUGGGGCCACCCAUCCCGGAGGGCCCCAUGGGCCAAAGUGGGGAGGGGAACCAGCCCAUAGUGGGCUGGUGUGCCCCCCUAGGCCCACCCCAUGCGCCUAGGGUUGGAACCCUAGGGGUGGGGGCGCCCCACCUUGCCUUGGGGGCUACUCCAGCCCUGGCCGCCGCCCCCCCCCCCCUAGGAGAUCUCAUCUCCUAGGGCCGGCGCCCCCCUAGGGGAGCCUAUAUAUAAAGGGGGGGAGGGGGGCAGCCUAAGUUUGAGUCUUGGCGCCUCCCUCUCCCCUGCUACACCUCUCUCUCGUAGUAUACGGCGAAGCCCUGCUACUGUGACGCCCUGCAUCCAGCACCACGCUGUUGUGCUGCUGGAUCUUCAUCAACCUCUUCUUCCCCCUUGCUGGAUCAAGAAGGAGGAGACGUUACGCUGACCAUACGUGUGUUGAACGCGGAGGUGUCAUCCGUUCGGCGCUAGGAUCUCCGGUGAUUUGGAUCACGUCGAGUAUGACUUCCUCAUCCCCGUUCUUUGAACGCUUCCGCGCGUGAUCUACAAAGGUAUGUAGAUGCAAUCCAAUCACUCGUUGCUAGAUGAACUCAUAGAUGGAUCUUGGUGAAACUGUAGGAAAAUUUUUGUUUUCUGCAACGUUCCCCAACAUGACAGUGGGGCUACUAGAUAGCCCCUGGUGGCUCCGCACUCUCCCAAUCCUGGGGUGCGUACAUGCCUGGCCGGAAAACGGCCCUUCGUUAAGGCGGAGGAAUUCUAACAUUCCAACAGGUCUGGAGCACAGUCAGUUUUCGGCUUUCUCUACUGAGGUGCUUGUCCGGAUGAACCAGGGCACAAUCGCAGUAGUUCUCCUGGUGCUACCUUAGCCGGUAAAGCGGAACAUAAGGCACCAAAACACAGGAGCCGGGCAAACCCAACAUUUGACCAAAGACAAUGAUUCGGAGCUGAUGCAUAUAGGGCCAAACUCGCGAUGCCGAACACUCCCUAAGGUAUUCGGUCUUUGUGGUAUAAACCAGGCCUAAAUAAUGGCCUUUGUAAGAAGCCCCUUCUGUCCAGGUACGUGCAUUGUUCUGGCAUGGCCACAUGCCAAGACGUCAGCAUCCUUCUCAACGGUGGAUAUGUAUCAACAAGAGACAUUAAAAAAGGUUUACGCAGGGUCUUAAUCUAAAAAGAAUCCUUCGAGCGGGUCCCUGCUGCACGUAUGCGCAUGUGUCUCCGUGUGCCGUAUCCUGGACGGGUGUAGCACGAUGAUCGUCUGUAAAAGAGAGGAAUUUAGGUGAAAAUGUUGUCGAGCAAAAAGAUAGUUUUUAAAGAAACCAUGUAUAAUUGAUGAAAAAAAAAUUGCCACUUGUCUACGCGUGUUGAGCCCCUUGUAUUGACAAAUAGGGGUGUGACCAUUUAUUCGGUAUGAAUAGUAGCGCCGGACUUGAUUAGUUGUGUCUCAGGUCUUGACGACCUAUUGGAUGCUUUCGCUGGUCCGGGCGCCUUUAGUGUGUGGCUGCCAAGGCAACCGCACUCUCUUCGGCGCGCAGAGAUCGCUUGAUAUUUCCUUUCACUAAAAUGAUGCCACGUGGACCGGGCAUCUUGAGUGUGAGGGAGGUGUAGUGUGGUAUUGCAUUAAAGCGGGCGAAAGCUUCGCGUCCGAGCAGUGCUUGAUAGCCGCUUUGGAACGGAGCAAUGUGGAAGAUUAAAUGCUCGCGACGGAAGUUAUCGGGGGAGCCGAAUAUAACUUGUAGUAGGUGGGAGCCCGUACAACGAGCCCCUGGGCCUGGCGUUACUCCUUUAAAGGUAGUACUGUUAUGGUGAAUUUUUGUUGGGUCUAACCCCAUCCUGCGGAUUGUAUCCUGAUAUAUUAGGUUUAGACUGCUGCCACCGUCCAUCAAGACUCGUGUGAGGUGAUAUCCGCCAAUUACUGGGUCUAAUACCAGGGCAGCCCAUCCUGCGCGUCGGAUACUUGCUGAGUAAUCGCGAUGGUCGAAAGUGAUCGGUUGAGACGACUAGUGGCAGGACUUCGCGGUGACAGGCACUUGGGUAUAUUUUCCUGGGAGUGCCACGUCGUUUUUUCCCUUGAUUACGUGUAACACGUUCCCUGUUUUGACUUCUGGUGGAAAUUUCUUUUGUUCCCCAGUGUCUUGCUUGGGAGGCUCGUCCUUGUCUUCACUUGGUGUAUCCUCCCCCUUGUGUAUGGCAUUGAGCUUGCCGGACUGCUUGAAGACCCAACAUUCUCUGUGGGUAUGAUUAGUAGGUUUACCAGGGGUACUAUGGAUCUGACAUACUUGGUCCAGAAUUUUGUUGAGGUUGGACAGUUCAUCCCUGGUGCCUUUAGAGGGCGGCUUUUGCUGACCUGGCCGAGAGCUUUUGAAUCCGGCGUUUACUGCCAUGUCCUUCGUGCUGUCUUCUUUAUUCCGGCGUUUGUUAUUGUUGUUGCGCCAUGAUUUCCCGUUUCCAUCUCUAACUUCAGAUGUACUUGGGUCGCUGCUGCUGCAUCUGGCUAGCCAGCUGUCCUCACCCGUGCAAAAGUGGGUCAUGAGGUUUGUUAAUGCAGCCAUCGUUCUUGGCUUAUUUUGGCCGAGGUGUCUGGCGAGCCAUUUAUCACGGACGCUAUGCUUAAAAGCUGCCAAGGCUUCGGCGUCCGGACAGUCGACAAUCUGGUUCUUUUUAGUAAGAAACCUGUUCCAAAGUUUCGGGCUGACUCUCCGGGCUGUUGAGUUAUAUGACUCAAAUCGUCCGCAUUCGGAGGUCGGACAUAAGUCCCUUGAAAAUUUGCCCAAAAGGCGUCUUCGAGCUCUUCCCAACUUCCAAUGGAGCUUUCGGGGAGGCCUUUAAGCCAGUGACGAGCUGGCCCUUUGAGCUUGAGGGGUAAGUACUUGAUGGCGUGGAGAUCAUCUCCUCGAGCCAUCUGGAUAUGAAGGAUGUAGUCCUCAAUCCAGACCCCAGGGUCUGCUGUUCCGUCUUAUGUCUCUAUGUUUACGGGUUUGAAUCCCUUUGGAAAUUCAUGGUCCAGCACCUCAUCGGUGAAACAUAGGGGGUGUGCGGCACCCCUGUAGCUGGGUGUACCGCGUUGUUUGGAUGUUUGUUGUGUUGCAUUGUAUGCUGGGGCGCGCUUUCCAUAGAUGGAUCUUGUUGCGCCGUCCUUUGGGUGUGAGCCCUCGCAUGGGUCGCGUGUUGUAUUGUGAGUGGCAUUGUAUGCCGCUCUGUGUUGGUAGAGGGGUCGUCUAUCCGGCCAGGUGGCUGCUUUGAUAUUUGGUUGUGGGGGGUCUGAGGCCUCCUCAUCGAAUUCAGGUAGCAGCUUCUGCUUUGGGUAGCUCUUGGAGGGGCGAUUGUCGUCGUACCUCACUGCUGUGUUGAGUAUUUUACUCCAUCUGAUUUGGAGUGUGUCUUGCGCAGCCUUGAGCCUUUGCUUCUGCUUUUUAAGACUCCUCGCGGUGGCAACAAGCCUUUUACGGGCAUUCUGCUCCUCCGGGUGCCUGUCCGGCGUUAUGUUGUCCGGACCAUUAUCCUUGAUAGAAUUUGUUUGUUCGGUUUGAUUAUCCGGAUUGCCGUUGUCCAGCAGUGGUUCGCCCUGCUCCAGCGCUGGGUCUGUGUGAUCGUUAUUUCUGUCGAGGCGCGAUUUGGGGCGGCGCUUGUGUCACCGCUUUGACUGCUUCUCGAGGGAACAAGCCUUCCGUGCGUCCUUCCGCUCCUCGUCGUCAUCUUUUGGUGCGUCCACCAUGUAUACGUCAUACGACGAGGUGGCUUUCCCGGGCCCAAUAGGCGCUAGUUCUUCAUUGUAUCUUUCACCGGUGUCCAUACCAUCGAUGUCUUCGGAGUCGAAGUCGAGCAUGUCGGUUAAAUCGUCGACAGUGGCUACAAAGUGGGUGGUGGGUGGGCUUUGAAUUUCUUCAUCGUCCGUAUUCCAACCUUGCUGACCGUAGUCCGGCCAGGGCUCUCCUGAUAAAGAGAGAGACUUUAGUGUCUUCAGAAUAUCGCUGAAAGGCGAGUGCUGAAAGAUGUCCGCGGUAGUAAACUCCAUGAUCGGCGCCCAAUCGGAUUCGAUCGGCAGGGACGCGGAGGGUUUGGAGUCCGGAGACGAGUCCGGCUCCUUGGAGUCACGAGUAUCGCGGAGUGCAGGGCUGGUGUUCGGCUCGAUCGCCGUUGGGAUCGCAGCCCCCGAGGCGGCGUCCAACCACCCAUCCUCGAUCGGCGCAGUUGGCUCCGAAUUAAGGGUCGAAGCCGAUGCGGGUGCGGCCUCCAGGGCACUGUUCGGCGGCGGAGCUAGAUCACGCUCGUCGUGACAGUGCGGCGCGCUCGGUAGUGGCUCGAAUCCGUCGAGGAACAAGUCCCCGCGGAUGUCAGCCGUGUAGUUUAAACUUCCAAAUCUGACCUGGCGGCCAGGGGCAUAGCUUUCGAUCUGCUCCAGAUGGCCAAGUGAAUUGGCCCGCAGUGCAAAGCCGCCGAAGACGAAGAUCUGUCCGGGGAGGAAGGUCUCACCCUGGACUGCAUCGCUAUUGAUGAUCGUAGGAGCCAUCAAGCCUAACGGCAACGACACAGAGGAACUCUCAAUGAAAGCACCAAUGUCGGUGUCAAAAUCGGCGCAUCUCGGGUAGGGGGUCCCGAACUGUGCAUCUAGGCCGGAUGGUAACGGGAGGCAAGGGACACGAAGUUUUACCCAGGUUUGGGCCCUCUUGAUGGAGGUAAAACCCUACGUCCUGCUUGAUUAAUAUUGAUGAUAUGGGUAGUACAAGAGUAGAUCUACCACGAGAUCGGAGAGGCUAAACCCUAGAAGCUAGCCUAUGGUAUGAUUGUUGUUCUGUAUGUUGUCCUACGGACUAAAACCCUCCUGUUUAUAUAGACACCGGAGAGGGUUAGGGUUACACAAAGUCGGUUACAAUGGUAGGAGAUCUACAUAUCCGUAUCGCCAAGCUUGCCUUCCACGCCAAGGAAAGUCCCUUCCGGACACGGGACGAAGUCUUCAAUCUUGUAUCCUCAUAGUCUAGGAGUCUGGUCGAAGGUAUAGUCCGGUCAUCCGGACACACCCUAAUCCAGGACUCCCUCACAUGGCGCUUCGCACUGAGUCUGUGGUCCUCGGUAAGGGGAGGAGGUACUUCGGCGCCCUUGAAUAGCACCCUCCAGACGUCCUUGUGCGUCGUGUCGAAGAGCUCUCGCAGUGUCUGGUGCUUGGUCGUGUCAAACUCCCACAAGUUGAAUGCCCGUCAUUGACACGGAAGAAUCCGGCGGAAGAGCAUGACCUAGACCACGUUGACGAGCUUGAUUUUCUUGCUCAUCAUGUUCUUGAUGCAGGUCUGGAGUCCGGUCAGCUCUACCGGGGAACCCCAGGACAGGCCCUUCUCUUUCCAGGAGGUGAGCCGUGUGGGGAUUCCGGAUCGAAAUUCAGGGGCUGCCACCCAGUUGGUGUCACGCCGCUCGGUGAUGUAGAACCACCCCGAUUGCCACCCCUUUAUGGUCUCCACAUAGGAUCCUUUGAGCCAGGUGACGUUAGGCAUUUUUCCCACCAUGGCGCCUCCGCACUCUGCUUGUUGGCCUACCACCACCUUCGGUUUAACAUUGAAGGUCUUCAGCCACAGGCCGAAGUGGGGCUUGAUGCGGAGGAAGGCCUCGCACACGACGAUAAACGCUGAGAUGUUGAGGAUGAAAUUGGGGGCCAGAUCAUGAAAAUCCAGCCCGUAGUAGAACUUGAGCCUGCGGACAAAUGGAUGAAGUGGAAAUCCCAGUCCGCGGACGAAGUGGGUAAGGAAAACUACCCUCUCAUGGGGUUUGGGCGUAGGGAUGAUCUGCACCGCAUCUGGCAGCCGGUGUGCGAUGUCCGCGGCCAGAUAUCCGGCUUCCCGUAGCUUUGUGAUGUUCUCCUCUGUGACGGAGGAGACCAUCCACUUGCCUCCCGCUCCGGAUAUGCUUGGAGUGGUUUGAGGAGAAAAACACGAACUUGGGCGCUGGAUCUCGAGUGUGCGAGAAUGGAUAAGCAAGGAGGAAGAAGGCGUGGGUAAAAGGGGUGAAUCUUUGUCCCUUUAUAGGGCGGAAGAGGCGAUGCACCUCCCCACUUACCUGGUAAAAUCGUUUAAUUCCCCGAACGCCGUAAUUGAUGGCGCGGUUGGGUUACCCAUACCCGUAUUGAUGGGAAUCCCAUGAUAAGGGGACACGAUCUCCGCUUCGACAAGACGUGUCAAGAAAACCACCUCGCGAUAUGUGCAGUGCUGGUUGAGAAAAACGGUUCGAAUAAUGACCGGGCCAUGGUAUGAUGUCAUGUUGUCAAACGUGUCAGCGGAUUAGAUUUGUGGAAGUAUUAUUCUCUCUAUGGUGGUAUGUGGAACUUGUUUUGCGGAGCCAGACACUAUUCUUGUGUUCAAAAUCUUCUAUGGAGUAUUUGGAAGAAGAACCCGCCUUGCAAUGUCGAAGAAAAAUCUGCGCGCCGGACUCAUCGUCAUUGAAGCCUGGUUAAGGGGCUACUGAGGGAGUCCUGGAUUAGGGGGUCUCCGGACAGCCGGACUAUAUCCUUUGGCCGGACUGUUGGACUAUGAAGAUACAAGAUUGAAGACUUCGUCCCGUCUCCAGAUAGGACUCUCCUUGGCGUGUAAGGCAAGCUUCACAAUACGGAUAUGUAGAUUUCCUCCCUUGUAACCAACUCUGUGUAACCCUAGCCCCCUCCGGUGUCUAUAUAAACCGGGGGGUUUAGUCCGUAGGACAACAACAAUCAUAACAUAGGCUAGCUUCUAGGGUUUAGCCUCUAUGAUUUUGUGGUAGAUCAACUCUUGUAAUACUCAUAUCAUCAAGAUCAAUCAAGCAGGACGUAGGGUAUUACCUCCAUCGAGAGGGCCCAAACCUGGGUAAACGUCGUGUCCCCCGCCUCCUGUUACCAUCCGCCUUAGACGCACAGUUCAGGACACCCUACCCGAGAUAUGCCGGUUUUGACACCGACACCCUGGAGGAAAAUCGUUUGAAGACUUCCUGCACUUCAGUUUUGUAAGUGAUAAUAUGGACCCAUGUAUAUCAAGAGUAAUCAUCAACAAUGACAAAGCCAUAUAAGGAUGCAGCAUUGGUAAAUGUGGCAUAGUGAGUAGGGCCAAAGAGAUCCAUGUGAAGCAAUUCAAAUGGUCGAGUAGUAGUCAUGAUAGUCUUCGCUGGAUGCUUGGCCUUGGUCAUCUUUCCAGCUUCACAGGCUCCGCAUAAGUGAUCCUUGAGAAGUUUGACAUUUUCAAUGCCAAUGACAUGCUUCUUCUUCGCGAGCGUGUGCAGAUUCCUCAUGCCAGCAUGACCAAGUCGUCGAUGCCAUAACCAGCCUUCUGAAGCUUUUGCAAGUAGACAUGUAGCAGGUUGUGGUCCUGUAGAGAAAUCAACAAUAUACAAGUCUCCUCUCCUAAAGCCUUUGAAGACUUCGGAAUUGUCAGCUUCCAUGAUCACAGCACAAUGAUACUUGCCAAAGACAACCACCAUAUCAAGAUCACAAAGCAUUGAGACAGACAUGAGAUUGAACCCUAAGGACUCAACAAGCAUGACUUUGUCCAUGUGUCAAUCCUUUGAGAUUGCAACCUUACCUAGACCCAAUACCUUGCUUUUUCCUUUGUCAGCGUAGGUGAUGUGCUUAAGAUGUGAUGGAGAUAAAGCAGUGUCCAUCAAUAAGCUCCUAUCACCAGUCAUGUGAUUUGUACAUCCACUAUCGAGGACCCACUCAGUGGCUUUGGGUUGAUCAUCCUGCAGAUGAAUUAGUGCAACUUACGAACUCAUAUACUUCAUCAGUGAAGAAUAUGACAUCAAUUCCAUCAGACAAUAGAACAGAUAAAAUAGUAUGAGGACGUGAGAAAUGAAAAUUCAUUUCUUCACGAUUAUCUUGCGUCCUUUCAAGCAUAUUCAGGUCUCCAGCAAAUUCAUCAGACGUUCAAGUUCGUCUAGAGACCUGACCCUGCAUAAGAGGUUAGUUCUUUCUCUUCACCACCCACAUCUGAAGGGGUGGCAAAGAGUUCAUCAUUCUAUGAGCUACAUAAGAGAAAGGUGGCAUAGAUGCCAAUCCACUUCAUUUCACAUAAGAGUGGUUAGGGUAAGCAUAAGAGUAAGCAGAGAAAUUCUUCGAGGACUUAUGAACAUAAUGAUUUGAAGAAUAAUGCACAUAUCCAUAAUCCUUAGAUCUUCCCUGCGAAACAGAGUUGUUAGCACGAUGAUAAUCAUGUGAGGACUUUGAUCCUUUUGAGGAAUUUGAUCCUCAUUAGGAGUUUGGUCCAUCUGAGGACUUGGAUCCAUAUGAAGAAUUUGGUCCAUAUGAAGAAUUUGAUCUGGGGUUCCUAUUAUUCACAUGUGGCAUCAUGAUGACAUUCACCUGAAGAUUUUCAAGGCAUCUUUUGGGAACCCAGAUUUUCUUCAUAGGAGAACCGUUCCUGCAGUUAGUGCCAACAUAUCUAGCAGAUACUUCACCAUUCUGAUUUUUGAACAGUUUAUAGUUGGAGUCAAAUGACUCAUCAGAAGAAUAUGAAGAUUCACACGUAAAGCCAGAUAAGGUAGAUGGAUCCACUGAAGGUCCCUUUGCAGCAACUCAUGAGGUUUUGGGAUACUGCUCAGGUUUCUAGUAGGUCCCAUCAGCAUUGAUUUUCCUCUCAAAGGCAAUACCCUCUUUCUUAGGGUUUCUGUUGAGGAUCUACUUUUUAAGCACGUCACAAAGAGCCUAAUGCCCUUUGAGGCUUUUGUACAUGCCUGUCAUAUACAAUUCCUUCAGCCCUGCAUCAUCAGUAAUACUAGCAAUGUCCUUAGAUGAGGAAUUAGUGAUAGCAGAGACAGUUGAAGAAAUUGCAGUAAUGGAAGUAUUUGAGCAUUCAUGUGAAGAAUUAGUAGUUUCACGUUCAAUGCACUUCAAACAUGGAGGAACAAAUUCAUCCUGAGUAGCGCUGAUCUGUUGAGCGAGUAAUGAAUCACGCUCCUUCUGAAGAUCUUCAUAACUCACUCUUAACUGCUCAAGGUCUUGCUUUAUUUGAAGAAAUUCAUAAGAAAGCUUCUCAUGAUCAGAUAGGAGAGUGUUAUGAUGACCUUGAAGAUUGUCAAACUUGGACUGGAGUCUUUGAAGAUUUUCAGUCAAGAUUUUAGUGUGAUCCAUUUCCUCGCCCAACAUAUCAUCGCUUUUAUCUAGCAUAUUUUGAACCUUUUCAAGAGCCUUUUGCAGUUUCAUAGCAAUAUUAGCAAGUUUAGAGUAGCUGGGUUUGAGGUGUUCAUCAGAUUCAUCCUCACUAGAUUCAGAGGAGGGAUAUUUCAGUACCUUUGAGCCUUUUUCCAUGAAGCAAUAGGUGGGAGCAUAGUCCUCGUCGUCAUCAUCAGUAGUGUUGGGGAGGUCCAUUUCUUCAGAGUUGAAGAUAGACUUGCUGAUGAAAGCAGUUGCGAGGGCUAGGCUCGCCACACCAGAGUCUGACUCCUCAGAUUCCUCCUCUUCCUCAUUUUCUUCAGAUUCAGCCUCAGAGUCCAUUUCCUUGCCAAUGAAUGCUCGAGCCUUCUUGGAGCUGCUCUUCUUGUGAUAUGAGGACUUUGAGGGUCUUGAUGAUGAGGACUUUGAAGAUUUCUUCUUCUUCUUUGAAUCAUCAGAAUUGUAAUCCUUGUACUUCUUCUUCUUCGAUUCCUUUUCCCACUCAGGACAAUCUUGAAUGUAGUGUCCAGGUUUUUUGCAUUUAUGGCAGAGUCUCUUCUUGUAAUAAUGGGAUGAGGAAUCUGAUCUCAAGUCACCACCUCUUGAGGAUUUACGAAAACGACCACGUUUUGGGAACUUUUGGAACUUCCUCACGAGCAUUGCUAGCUCUUGGCUCAGUUCUUCAGGGUCACCAAGGUUGUUGUCAGAAUCUUCACCAUCAGAUUCGGAUACCGCCUUGGCCUUCAGAGCCCGUGAUCUACCAUAGCUUGGUCCAUAGAGAUCUCUCUUCUCAGCAAGCUGAAACUCAUGAGUGUUUAGUCUCUCGAGGAUAUCAGCGGGAUCAAGUGACUUAUAGUCUCCAUGUUCUUGUAUCAUCAAUGCCAAGGUAUCAAAUGAGGAAUCAAGCGAUCUUAGCAAUUUCUUCACCACCUCAUGGUCGGCGAUAUGAGCGGCACCAAGUGCUUCAAGCUCAUCUGAGAUGUUAGUGAGGUGAUCGAAGGUUUGUUGAACAUUUUCAUUAUCGAGUCUUUUGAAGCGGUUGAAGAGAUUUCGAAGAACGUUAACUCGAGAGUCACGCUGUGUUGAGACUCCCUCAUUGACCUUGGACAGCCUGUCCCAGAUAAGCUUGGCUGUCUCCAAAGCACUCACUCUGCCAUACUGUCCUUUGUUCAGAUGGCCACAUAUGAUAUUCUUCGCUUGAGAGUCGAGUUGCUUGAAUCUCUUCAUAUUAGCAGCAUUGAUGGUGGGAGUGACAGAGGGAACACCAUUCUCCACAACAUACCAGAGAUCAUUAUCAAUUGCCUCAAGAUGCAUUCGCAUCUUAUUCUUCCAGUAGUGGUAGUCCGUCCCAUCGAAGGUAGGACACCUAGCAGAAACCUUGAUCAUACUUGCGGUCGACAUAACUAAACCUCCAGGUGGUUAAACCAAAAUCACACAGAACAAGGGAGUACCUUGCUCUGAUACCAAUUGAAAGGGCGUUAUAUCGACUAGAGGGGGUGAAUCGGCGAUUUUUAUGAAUUCUUCACUGAGGAAUUUCAGGGUGAGGAAAUUCCUUAGCAGAGAACUACUUGCAGCGGAAUAAGUACUCAGAAGUAAACAUAACAGAACACAAGCAUGGUCAUCAUGAUGAAAUGAAGACAAGCACAGAGUACGGAAAGCGUAAACACAGGAUGAAGACAAACAGACUGAAGAAAUUAAGCUGAGGAAAUUGAGAAAGUCUUUAGUCAAAGUCUUCAAACAGAUAUGAACAAGCACUCAACACAUAAAUGAGGAAAUGGAAGGGUUGAGAAAAUGGAACCAGGUAGCUUGGUGAAGACAAUGAUUUGAUAGACCAGUUCCAACUGAUGUGACAGUUAUACGUCUGGUUAGGGCGGGUAGGUAUUUAAUCCCGAGGACACACAGUCUCGGACACCCAGUCCUGAACACGCAGUCACAACACUCAGUCCUCACCGUAUUCCCCUUGAGCUAAGGUCACACAGACCUCACCCAAUCACUCGUGGUAAGUCUUCAGGUGACUUCCGAACCUUCACAAACUCGGUCACUCGGUGAUCCACAAUUCCUCUUGGAUGCUUUAGACCAUCACGCCUAACCGUCUGGAAGAUGCACAGUCUUCAAAGGUAACAAGCGUCGGAUCCACGCAGGAUAAAUCUCUUCAGUGAUGCUCAAUCACUUGGGGUUUGUAGGUGUUUGGGUUUGGGUUUUCCUCACUUGAUGAUUUUCACUCAAAGUCCUCGGAGGAUGGGAUGCUCUCAAAUGACAAGUGUCAGUUUCUCUCAGAGCAGCCAACCAGCUAGUGGUUGUAGGGGGCGGCUAUUUAUAGCCUAGGGAGCAGCCCGACAUGAUAAGACAUAAAUGCCCUUCAAUGAUAUGACCGUUAGGUGGGUAGAUAUUUUAGGACAGCUGGUGCAUAGCACAGCAACGGUCGGAAAUUUGACUAUCAAAUUCCUCAGGGCUAUCAUGUUCCUCACUGUGUAGGCAAUACGCACUGGCGAAUUCUUGACUCAGUCAGAACAAAUUCCUCAGAGACCAGGAGAACUUCGUCACUGUCACUAAAGAAUAUGACUGAACUAUAUGAGAUUUCCAAUGGCUUCACUCGAAGGGAUUGGUAGGUGUAGGAUUUUGAGUUGAGCAUCACAUGGAAAUUUUUCCUUAGUAUUUCCUCGACCCCCUUUAACAGUACGGUGUUUCCUAUGACUCAAGAAAGAUAAAAUGAAACUACGAAAACAAAAGUCUUCACGCUUCAUGUUCCUCGAGUGAAUACCAAGUCUUUAAGGUCACACCAAUUUCUUCACUUUCAAAGUCUUCAGAAAGUCUUCAGAAAUCCAAAUUCUUCAGUCAAAGAACUUCAUUUUUAGGGGUCGACUUUCUCUGUAAAUAUCAAACUCCUCAUAGUCUCAUAGACAUGUGUACACUCACAAACGCAUUAGUCCCUUAACCUAUAAGUCUUAAAUACACCAAAAUCACUAAGGGGCACUAGAUGCACUUACAUCUAUGUACCCUCAUAGACCGUAAGCGGAAGUGUUUCACAACACGGUUGAUGUAGUCGAACUGCUUCUCAUGUCAACCGAACGCACGACACCUCCGCGUUCUACACACGUUCAGCUCGGUGAUGUCCAUCACCUUCUUGAUCCAGCAAGAUGUCGAGGUAGUAGAUGAGCUCUGUCAGCACAACGGCGUGGAGACGGUGAUGGUGAAGUGAUCUCCGCAGGGCUUCGCCUAAGCACUAUGAAAAUAUGACCGGGGGUGUAAACGGUAGAGAGGGGCGCCGCACACGGCUAACAAUUGAUCUGGUGUGUGCUAGGCGCCCCCUCCCACAUAUAUAUAGGUGGGAGGGGGAGGGGAGAGGCCAGGGCGCGCCCUAGGGAUGGCCGCUGGGCCCCUAGGGGCCCUGCCUUGCCCUGCGCCCCCUGCCAUGUUUCCCUAAGGGGGAAGGAAAGAGGGGGGAGGGAAGGAAGUGGGAAUCCUAAUCCACACUUUCCAUUCCCUUCUCCCCUUUCCUUCUCCUCCUUAGGCCGGCCCAUAUGGGGGGUGCACCAGCCCCUUGUGGCUGGUGUGUUUCCCCUCUUGGCCCAUAAGGCCCAUUAUCUUUUGNNNNNNNNNNNNNNNNNNNNNNNNNNNNNNNNNNNNNNNNNNNNNNNNNNNNNNNNNNNNNNNNNNNNNNNNNNNNNNNNNNNNNNNNNNNNNNNNNNNNNNNNNNNNNNNNNNNNNNNNNNNNNNNNNNNNNNNNNNNNNNNNNNNNNNNNNNNNNNNNNNNNNNNNNNNNNNNNNNNNNNNNNNNNNNNNNNNNNNNNNNNNNNNNNNNNNNNNNNNNNNNNNNNNNNNNNNNNNNNNNNNNNNNNNNNNNNNNNNNNNNNNNNNNNNNNNNNNNNNNNNNNNNNNNNNNNNNNNNNNNNNNNNNNNNNNNNNNNNNNNNNNNNNNNNNNNNNNNUUCGGUCACCAAAUCACAUAACUCAUAUAAUAUUAUAUCGUCAUCUAACGUUAAGCGUGCGGACCCUACGGGUUUGAGAACUAUGUAUACAUGACCGAUACACCUCUCUAGUCAAUAACCAAUAGCGGAACCUGGAUGCCCAUAUUGGCUCCUACAUAUUCUACAAAGAUCUUUAUCGGUCGAACUAUUAUGGCAACAUACGUAAUUCCCUUUAUCCAUCGGUAUGUUACUUGCCCGAGACUCGAUCGUCGGUAUCUUCAUACCUAGUUCAAUCUCGUUAUCGGCAAGUUUCUUUACUCGUUCCAUAAUACAUCACCUCGUGACUAACUCCUUAGUUGUUUACUUGCAAGAUUAUGAUGCGUAUUACCGAGAGGGCCCAGAGAUACCUCUCCGAUACUCAGAGUCACAAAUCCUAAUCUCGAUCUAUGCCAACUCAACAAACACCUUUGGAGAUACCUGUAGAGCAUAUUUAUAAUUACCUAGCUACGUUGUGACGUUUGAUAGCACACAAGGCAUUUCUUCGGUAUCUGGGAGUUGCAUAAUCUCAUAGUCGAAGGGAUAUGUAUUUGACAUGAAGAAAGCAAUAGCAAUAAAACUGAACGAUCAUUAUGCUAAGCUAACGACUAGAUCUUGUACAUCACAUGAUUCUCCUAAUGAUGUGAUUCCGUUAUGAAAUGACAACUCAUGUCCAUGGUUAGGAAACCUUAACCAUCUUUGAUUAAUGAGCUAGUCAAGUAGAGGCUCACUAGGGACACGGUGUUUGUUUAUGUAUUCACACAUGUAUUUAGGUUUCCGAUCAAUACAAUUCUAGCAUGAAUAAUAAACCUUUAUCGUGAAUAAGGAAAUAUAAAAUAACAACUUUAUUAUUGCCUCUAGGGAAUAUUUCCUUCAGGGAUCCCUAGGACUCUUUGAGCAUCAAUUGGCCACAAUAUUUGCCUCACCAAACCUUCAUCCCAACCAUUUGUGACUGGAUCAAUAAGGUCAGAAACUCUCGUCAUUAGAUUCCCUUGUCUAGCAGUAAUAAUUCUCCUAUUUGCACAAUUCGGGAUCCAUGCAUCUCUCCAUAUGUCAAUAUUUUGUCCAUUUUCCAACUCUCCGUAUAUAACCAUUUCUAAGAGAUUCCACUCCCGCCAUAAUGCUUUGCCAUGUGAAGGAGGAACCAUUUUUUAAGCUUGUGUUCAUUAAUUCGCCCUCCGGAAAAUACUUGGAUCUUAAUAUUGUAGCACAUAGUGAGUCUGAAUUAUCCAGGAAACGCCAAGCUUGUUUAGCUAACAAUGCCAAAUUGAAACAGUGUAUAUCUCGGAAUCUCAUUCCUCCUUGACCUUUAGGAACACACAUCUUCCACCACGCCAUCCGGUGCAUCCUUUUUUGAUUGUCCUCGUCACCCCACCAAAAUUGCGACAUCGCAUCAAUGAUUCCUUUUCAAAAAAAUAGGAAUUUUAAAGCCAGACAUGGCAUAAGUUGGGAUCGCUUGAACAACAGAUUUGAGAAAAAAAUCCUUUCCUCCAGCAGAUAACAUUUUUUCUUUCCAUCCACUAAUUUUCAUAAUAACUCUAUCAAUCAGGAACUGGAAACAAUUGCUCUUGUACAUCCCCACAUUAGCAGGUAAACCCAGAUAUUUGUCAUUAAGUGCUUCGGUCAUAAUAUUCAAAAUAAUACAAACUUGCACCUUGUCUUCCACUUUUGUGUUGGGGCUAAAAAAUAUCCUUGAUUUUUCAACACUCACCAUUUGCCCUGAGGCAGCACAAUAGGAAUCCAGAACCGCUCUCAAAGCCUCCGCAUUACUUGCAUUCGCUCGCAUAAGGAUCAACGAACCAUCCGUGAAAACUAGAUUGGACACUAAAGGAGCUUCACUGCUAACCUAAAUUCCGGAAAUAUUUCCUAUCUCCUCCGCGUUUGCUAAGAGAGAAGUUAGGCCCUCCGUGCAUAAUAAGAACAAGUAGGGGGGGUGUAAGUGCAUCUAGUGCCACCCCUAGUUAGUUUUGGAGUAUUGACGACAAACUUGGUUGAGAGACUAAUGUGUUUGUGGGAAUUGCAGGAUAACAUAGGUAGUAGUCCCUUAUUGAAUCGGUUUACCUACCAAAGAUGACCCCUAAAAAUGUGUGUAUACAUUGAAGACAAUGGUGGUUCAUGAAGACGUUCACGAUGAAGAUUAUGGCAUGUGAAGACAUUCACUUGAAGACUAUGGAGUGUGAAGACAUAGUUGUUUCAUAGUUUCCUUUUCUUCUUUGUUGAGUCAUAGGAACCACCGUAUUGUUAAGUGGGGUCCAAGUGAACAAAGUCAGAGUGACUGAUGUGAUGCUCAACUGAAAGCACAAGUGCUCCCUGGGUGAUUUUGGUAAUUAAUGUCAACAUAUCUCUUGUUGGACUAAUGCUUUCAUCUAGAAUGCUUCAGAUAAGUUCAACAAUGGAGUGGCAUGGACUAGAGGAUGUGGAACCCUUUCGAGAUGAUAAGGACAAAGGAUUGGCUCAAGCUCAAAGCUCAGGACUCUACAUUUUCUACUUCAGUGAUCCAAGAUCACAUUGAGACCAUAGGAAAGCCAAUACCAUUAAGAGGGGACGAGGUGUUGCUUAAUGGCUUGCUUGCUCAAAGUGCUUAGUGAUAUGCUCCACGACCCUAAACUACUUUCUCAAAUCCACAUAUGUCCCAAACCAAAAGUCAAACUCGGCCCUACCAAAAUUUCCUAUCCGACGCCACCGAGUUCUCCUGACAUAGCCACUGCUAGAAACCCUAAUCAAUUUGGUCUCACCGAUGGGAUCUCGGUCUCAUCGAGAUGGGCUUGCAAACUCUCUGUUGCCUAUUGCAUUAAUUUUGGUUCCACCGAAAUAUGCAAUCGGUCUCACCGAGUUUGAUUGGCCAACUCUCUGUUUUUCUUAUUACCAAAAUCGGUCCCACCAAGUUUGUGUAAUCGGUCCAACCAAGAUGAGGCUUUACCUUAACCCUAGCGCAUCGGUCCCACCGAGUUGAUCAUGUUGGUCCCACCGAAAACCCUAACGGUCACAUUAUGAACUAAAUCAGUCUGACUGUAAGUGCAUCUAGUGCCCCUUAGUGAUUUUGGUGUAUAGAAGACUUAUAGGUUAAGGGACUAAUGCGUGUGUGAGUGUACACAGGUCUAUAAGUCUAUGAGGAGUUUGAUAUUUACAGGAAAAGUCGACCCCUAACAAUGAAUAUCUUUGACUGAAGAUUUUGGUAUUUCUGAAGACUUCCAUGAAGACUUUGAAAGUGAAGAAAUUGGUGUGUCUGUGAAGACUUGAUAUUCAUGCAAGGAUUAUGAAGCUUGAAGACUUUCGUUUUCAUAGUUUUGUUUUUCUCUUUCUUGAGUCAUAGGAAACACCGUACUGUUAAAGGGGGUCGAGGAAAUACUAAGGAAAAAUUUCCAUGUGAUGCUCAACUCAAAAUCCUACACCUACCAAUCCCUUCGAGUGAAGCCAUCGGAAAUCUCAUACAGUUCAGUCAAUUUCUUCAGUGACAAAGACGAAGUUCUUCUGGUCUCUGAGAAAUUUGUCCUGACUGAGGAGUUAGGAAUUCGCCAGGGCGGAUUGACUACACAGUGAGGAACAUGAUAGCCCUCAGGAUUUUGGUACUCAAAAUUCCGACCGUUGAUGUGCUAUGCGCCAGCUGUUCCAAAAUAUCUAUCCACCUAACGGUCAUAUCAUUGAAGGGCAUUUAUGUCUUAUCAUGUCGGGCUGCUCCCUAGGCUAUAAAUAGCCGCCCCCUACAACCACUAGCCAGUUGAGGCUGCUCCGAGAGAAACCGACACUUGUCAUUUGAGGGCAACCCAUCCUCCGAGGACUUUGAGCGAAAAUCAUCAAGUGAGGAAAAACCAAAAACACAAAACACAAACACCUACAAACCCCAAGUGAUUGAGCAUCACUAAAGAGAUUGAUCCUGAGUGGAACCGAUGCUUGUUACCUUUGAAGACUGUGCUUCUUCCAGACGGUUAGGCGUCAUGGUCUAGAGCAUCCAAGAGGAACUGUGGAUCGCCGGGUAACCAAGUUUGUGAAGGUUUGGAAGUCGCCUGAAGACUUACCACGAGUGAUUGGACGAGGUCUGUGUGACCUUAGUUCAAGGAGAAUACGGUGAGGACUGGGUGUCUUGGACUAAGUGUCCUUGACUGGGUGUCCGGGACUGGGUGUCCUCGAGUUUAAAUACUCAGCCGCUCCGACUAGACGUACAACUGAGACAGCAGUUGGAACUGGUCUACCAAAUCAUUGUCUUCACCUAGCUUACUGGUUCUAUUUCUUCAACUCUUUCAUUUCCUCAUAAUUGUGUUGUGUGUUUGUUCAUAUCUGUGUUAGAAGACCUUGACUGAAGACUUUCUCAAUUUCCUCAGUUCAAUUUCUUCAGUCUGUUUGUCUUCAUCCUGUGUUAUCCUGUGAUUUAUGCUUCCUGUACUCUGUGCCUGUCUUCAUUUCAUCAUGAUGACUAUGCUUGUAUUCUGUUAUGUUUACCUUUGAGUACUUAUUCCGCUGCCAGUAGUUCUUCGCUAAGGAAUUUCCUCACCGGCAAAUUCCUCAGUGAAGAAUUUCAUGAAAAUCGCCUAUUCACCCCCCCCCCCCCUCUAGUCAAUAUAACACACUUUCACUGAUCGGGUUGUAUGAUUUGGUCCCACUGAUUUUGGUGAUUUGUGUGUAACGGUUACAUUUUGUGUGGAGGCUAUUUAUACCCCUCCACCCACUCUUCAUUCAUGGAGAGAGGCAUCAGAAUAUGCCUACACUUCCAACAUACAUUUUCUGAGAGAGAACCACCUACACUUGUGUUGAGGUCAAGAUAUUUCAUUCUAACCACAUAAAUCUUGAUCUCUAGCCUUCCUCAAGUUACUUUCCACUCAAAUCAUCUUUCUACCAAAUCCAAUCCUAUGAGAGAGAGUUGAGUGUUGAGGAGACUAUCAUUUGAAGCACAAGCGCAAGGAGUUCAUCAUCAACACACCAUCUAUUACCUUUUGGAGAGUGGUGUCUCCUAGAUUGGUUAGGUGUCACUUGGGAGCCUCCAUCAAGAUUGUAGAGUUGAACCAAGGAGUUUGUACGGGCAAGGAGAUCGCCUACUUCGUGAAGAUCUACCCUAGUGAGGCAAGUCCUUCGUGGGCGAUGUCCAUGGUGGGAUAGAAAAGGUUGCUUCUUCGUGGACCCUUCAUGGGUGGAGCCCUCCAUGGACUCACGCAACCAUUAUUCGUGGGUUGAAGUCUCCAUCAACGUGGAUGUACGAUAGCACCACCUAUCGGAACCACGCCAAAAAUCUCCGUGUCUCCAAUUGCAUUUGCACACUCCAAUCCCAUCCCUUUAUAUUCUUGCAACUUGCAUGAUUUACUUUCCGCCGCUCAUAUACUCUUGUCAUGAUUGCUUGGUAUGUAUUGUGAAUGUGUGAACUAUUGGGGAACAUAGUUAUUUCAAAAAAAUUGCUACGCACACGCAAGAUCAUGGUGAUGCAUAGCAACGAGAGGGUAGAGUAUCGUCCACGUACCCUCGUAGACUGUAAGCAGGAGCGUUAUGAGAACGCGGUUGAUGUAGUCGUACGUCUUCACGAUCCGACCGAUCCAAGUACCGAACGUACGGCACCUUCGAGUUCAGCACACGUUCAGCUCGGUGACGUCCCACGAACUCCGAUCCAGUAGAGCUUCGAGGGAGAGUUCCGUCAGCAUGACGGCGUGAUGACGAUGAUGACGAUGCUACCACGCAGGGCUUCGCCUAAGCACCGCUACGAUAUGACCGAGGUGGAUUAUGGUGGAGGGGGGCACCGCAGACGGCUAAGAAUAAAUGUCAACUUGUCUGUUCUAGGGUACCCUCCUGCCCCGUAUAUGAAGGAGCAAGGGGGAGGCCGGUCGGUCCUCCUAGGGCGCGCUAGGAGGAGGAGUCCUCCUCCUAGUAGAAGUAGGAUUCCCCUUUCCUACUCCUACUAGGAGGAGGAAAGGAAGGGGGGAGGGGAGAAGGAAUGAGAGGGAGGAAAGGAGGCAAGGGGGGCCGGCCCCCUAGUCCAAUUCAGUUUGGGCUAGGGGGCGCGCGCCUUGCCUCCUCUCUACCACCACUUGGCCCAUGAGGCCCAAUACUUCUUCCCCGUAUUCCCGUAACUCCCGGGUACUCCGAAAAAUACCCGAAUCACUCGGAACCAUUCCGAUGUCCGAAUAUAGUCGUCCAAUAUAUCGAUCUUUACGUCUCGACCAUUUCGAGACUCCUCGUCAUGUCCCCGAUCUCAUCCGAGACUCCGAACUACCUUACGUACAUAAAAUCACAUAAACUCAUAAUACCGAUCGUCAACGAACGUUAAGCAUGCGGACCUUACGGGUUCGAGAACUAUGUAGACAUGGCCGAGACACGUCUCCGAUCAAUAUUGGCUCCUACAUAUUCUAUGAAGAUCUUUAUCGGUCAAACCGCAUAACAACAUACGUUGUUCCCUUUGUCAUCGGUAAGUUACAUGCCCGAGAUUCGACCGUCGGUAUCUCAAUACCUAGUUCAAUCUCAUUACCGGAAAGUUUCUUUACUCGUUCCGUAAUGCACUAUCCCGCAACUAACUCAUUAGUUGCAUUGCUUGCAAGGCUUAUAGUGAUGUGCAUUACCAAGAGGGCCCAGAGAUACCUCUCCGUCAAUCGGAGUGACAAAUCGUAAUCUCGAUCUAUGCCUUCUCAACAAGUACCAUCGGAGACACCUGUAGAGCACCUUUAUAAUCACCCAGUUAUGUUGUGACGUUUGGUAGCACACAAAGUGUUCCUCCGGUAAUUGGGAGUUACAUAAUCUCAUAGUCAUUGGAACAUGUAUAAGUCAUGAAGAAAGCAAUAGCAGUAAACUAAAAUGAUCAAGUGCUAAGCUAACGGAAUGGGUCGAGUCAAUCACAUCAUUCUCUAAUGAUGUGAUCUCGUUAAUCAAAUGACAACUCGUGUCUAUGGUUAGGAAACCUAACCAUCAUUGAUUCAACGAGCUAGUCAAGUAGAGGCAAACUAGUGACACUAUGUUUGUCUAUGUAUUCACACAUGUACUAAGUUUCCGGUUAAUACAAUUCUGGCAUGAAUAAUAAACAUUUAUCAUGAUAUAAGGAAAUAAAUAAUAACUUUAUUAUUGCCUCUAGGGCAUAUUUCCUUGAGUCUCCCAUUUGCACUAGAGUCAAUAAUCUAGUUCACAUCUUUAUGUGAUUAGUUCACACCUCCAUGUAACUAAUACCCAAAGGGUUUACUAGAGUCAAUAAUCUAGUUCACAUCGCUAUGUGAUUAACACCCAAAGAGUGAUCAUGUUUUGCUUGUGACAGAAGUUUAGUCUACGGGUCUGCAACAUUCAAAUUCAUAUGUAUUUCACAAAUUUCUAUGUCUACAAUGCUCUGCAAGUAGCUAUUCUAGCUAAUUGCUCCCACUUCCAAUAUGUAUCCAGAUUGAGACUUAGAGUCAUCUAGAUCGAUGUAAAAAUCUUGCAUCGACGUAACUCUUAACGACGAACUCUUUUUAUCACCUCCAUAACCAAGAAAUAUUUCCUUAGUCCUCUAAGGAUAAUUUUGACCGUUGUCUAGUGAUCUACUCCCAGAUCACUAUUGUACUCCCUUGCCAGAAUCAUGCUAAGGUAUACAAUAGGACUGGUAAACAACAUAUCAUACUUUAUAGAACCUAUGACUAAGGCGUAGGGAAUGACUUUUCAUUCUCUUUCUAUUUUCUGCCGUGGUCGGGUUUUGAGUCUUUACUCAACUUCACACCUUGCAACACAGGCAAGAACUCCUUCUUUGACUAUUCCAUUUUGAACUACUUCAAAAUCUUGUCAGGAUAUGUACUCAUUGAAAAAACUUAUCAAGAGACUUGAUCUAUCUCUGUAGAUCUUGAUGCUCAAUGUGUAAGUAGCUUCGUCGAGGUCUUUCUUUGAAAAACUCUUUUCAAACACUCCUUUAUGCUUUCCAGAAAAUUCUACAUUAUUUCCGAUCAACAAUAUGUCAUUCACAUAUACUUAUCAGAAAUGUUGUAGUGCUCCCACUCACUUUCUUGUAAAUACAGGCUUCACCGCAAGUCUGUAUAAAACCAUAUACUUUGAUCAACUCAUCAGAGUGUACAUUCCAACUCCGAGAUGCUUGCACCAGUCCAUAGAUGGAUCGCUGGAGCUUGCUCAUUUUUUUAGCACCUUUUAGGAUCGACAAAACCUUCUAGUUGCAUCAUAUACAGCUCUUCUUUAAGAAAUUCAUGAAGGAAUACAGUUUUGACAUCCAUUUGCCAGAUUUCAUAAAAUGCGACAAUUGCUAACAUGAUUCGGACAGAAUUUUAAGCAUCGAUACGAGUGAGAAAAUCUCAUCGUAGUCAACACCUUGAACUUAUCGAAAACAUUUUGUGACAAUUUGAGCUUUGUAGAUAGUAACACUACUAUUAGCAUCCGUCUUCCUCUUGAAGAUCCAUUUAUUCUUAAUGAUUCAUUGAUCAUCAGGCAAGUCAAUCAAAGUCCAUACUUUGUUCUCAUACAUGGAUCCCGUCUCAGAUUUCAUGGUCUCAAACCAUUUCACGGGAUCUGGGCUCAUCAUCGCUUCCUCAUAGUUCGUAGGUUUGUCAUGGUCAAUUAACAUGAUAUCCAGAAUAGGAUUACCAUACCACUCUGGUGCCGAUCUCACUCUGGUUUACCUACGAGGUUCGGUAGUAACUUGAUCUGAAGUUACAUGAUCAUCAUCAUUAACUUCCUCGCUAAUUGGUGUAGGAGUCACGGGAACAUAUUUCUGUGAUGAACUACUUUCCAAUAAGGGAGCAGGUAUAGUUACCUCAUCAAGUUCUACUUUCCUCCCACUCACUUCUUUCGAGAGAAACUCCUUCUCUAAAAAGGAUCCAUUCUUAGCAACGAAUGUCUUGCCUUCAGAUCUGUGAUAGAAGGUGUACCCAACUGUAUCCUUUGGGUAUCCUAUGAAGACACAUUUCUCCGAUCUGGGUUUGAGCUUAUCAGGAUGAAACUUUUUCACAUAAGCAUCGCAACCCCAAACUUAAAGAAACGACAACUUUGGUUUCUUGCAAACCAUAGUUCAUAUGGCGUCGUCUCAACGAAUUUAGAUGGUGCCCUAUUUAACGUGAAUGCAGCUAUCUCUAAUGCAUAACCCCAAAAUGAUAGUGGUAAAUCGGUAAGAGACAUCAUAGAUUGCACCAUAUCUUAUAUAGUACGGUUACGAUGUUCGGACACACCAUUACGCUGUGGUGUUCUAGGUGGCGUGAGUUGCGAAACUAUUCCGCAUUGAUUCAAAUGAAGACCAAACUCGUAACUCAAAUAUUCUCCUCCACGAUCAGAUCAUAGAAACUUUAUUUUCUUGUUACGAUGAUUUUCCACUUCACUCUGAAAUUAUUUGAACUUUUCAAAUGUUUCAGAUUUAUGUUUCAUCAAGAAGAUAUACCCAUAUCUUUACUCAAAUCAUUUGUGAAGGUCGGAAAAUAGCGAUACCUGUCGCGAGCCUCAACACUCAUCGGACUGCAUACAUCAGUAUGUAUUAUUUCCAUCAAGUCUGUUGCUUGCUCCAUUGUUCCAGAGAACGGAGUCUUAGUCAUCUUUCCCAUGAGGCAUGGUUCGCAAGCAUCAACCGAUUCAUAAUCAAGUGAUUCCAAAAGCCCAUCAGCAUGGAUUUUCUUCAUGCGCUUUACACCAAUAUGACCUAAACGGCAGUGCCACAAAUAAGUUGCACUAUCAUUAUUAACUUUGCAUAUUUUGGCUUCAAUAUUAUGAAUAUGUGUAUCACUACAAUCGAGAUUCAAUAAACCAUUCACCUUGGGUGUAUGACCAUUGAAGGUUUUAUUCAUGCAGACAGAACAACAAUUAUUCCCUGACUUUAAGUGAAUAACCGUAUUGCAAUAAACAUGAUCAAAUCAUAUUCAUGCUUAACGCAAACACCAAAUAACAUUUAUUUAGGUUCAACACUAAUCCCGAAAGUAUAGGGAAUGUGCGAUGAUGAUCAUAUCAAUCUUGGAACCACUUCCAACACACAUCAUCACUUCACCCUUAACUAGUCUCUGUUCAUUCUGCAACUCCCGUUUCGAGUUACUAAUCUCAGCAACUGAACUAGUAUCAAAUACUAAGGGGUUCCUAUAAAAACUAGUAAAGUACACAUCAAUAACAUGUAUAUCAAAUAUACCUUUGUUCACUUUGCCAUCCUUCUUAUCCUCCAAAUACUUGGGGCAGUUCUGCUUCCAGUGACCAGUCCCUUUGCAGUAGAAGCACUUACUCUCAGGCUUAGGUCUAGACUUGGGCUUCUUCACUUGCGUAGCAACUUGCUUGUCAUUCUUCUUGAAGUUCCCCUUCUUCCCUUUGCCCUUUCCUUGAAACUAGUGGUCUUGUCAACCAUCAACACUUGAUGCUUUUCUUCAUUUCUACCUUCAUCGAUUUCUGCAUCACGAAGAGCUUGGGAAUCAUUUCUGUUAUCCCUUGCAUAUUAUAGUUCAUCAUAAAGUUCUAGUAACUUGGUGAUAGUGACUAGAGAACUCUGUCAAUCACUAUCUUUUCUAGAAGAUUAACUCCCACUUGAUUCAAGUGAUAGUAGUACUCAGACAUUCUGAGCACAUGCUCACUAGCUGAGCUAUUAUCCUCCAUCUUGUAGGCAAAGUGCUUGUCAGAGGUCUCAUACCUCUCGACACGGGCAUGAGUAUGAAAUACAAAUUUCAACUCUUAGAAUAUCUUAUAUGUUCCGUGGACUCCAAAACGUCUUUGAAGCCCUGAUUCUAAGUCGUAAAGCAUGGUGCACUAAACUAUCAAGUAGUCAUCAUACCGAGCUUUGCCAAACGUUCAUAACGUCUGCAUAUGCUCCUGCAAUAGGUCCGUCACCUAGAGGUGCAUCAAGGACAUAAUUCUUCUGUGCAGCAAUGAGGAUAAUCUUCAGAUCACGGAUCCAAUCCACAUCAUUGCUACUAACAUCUUUCAAUUUAUUUUUCUCUAGGAACAUAUCAAAAAUAAAUGGGGAAGCUAUGUGCGAGCUAUUGAUCUACAACAUAGAUAUGCAAAUACUAUCAGGACUAAGUUCAUGAUAAAUUUAAGUUCAAUUAAUCAUAUUACUUAAGAACUCCCACUUAGAUAGACAUCCCUCUAGGCAUCUAAAUGAUCACGUGAUCCAAAUCAACUGAAACAUGUCCGAUCAUCACGUGAGAUGGAGUAGUUUUCAAUGGUGAACAUCAUUAUGUUGAUCAUAUCUACUAUAUGAUUCACGCUUGACCUUUAGGUCUCCAGUGUUUCGAGGCCAUAUCUGCAUAUGCUAGGCUCGUCAAGUUUAACCCGAGUAUUUCUGCGUGUGCAAAACUGUCUUACACCCGUUGUAGAUGAACGUUGAGCUUAUCACACUCGAUCAUCACGUGGUGUCUUGGCACGACGAACUUUGGCAACGGUGCAUACUCAGGGAGAACACUUCUACGUUGAAAUUUAGUGAUAGAUCAUCUUAUAAAGCUACCGCCGAACUAAGCAAAAUAAGAUGUAUAAAAGAUAAAUAUCACAUGCAAUCAAAAAUAUGUGGCAUGAUAUGGCCAUCAUCAUCUUGUGCCUUUGAUCUCUCCAAAGUACUGUCAUGAUCUCCAUUGUUACCGGCAUGACACCAUGAUUUCCAUCAUCUUGAUCUCUAUCAAUGUGUCGUCACAUGGUCGCCUCGCCAACUAUUGCUUUUUCAACUAUUGCUAUCGCAUAGCGAUAAAGUAAAGCAAUUACAUGGCACUUGCAUCUUAUGCAAUAAAGAGAUAACCAUAAGGCUUCUGCCAGUUGCCGAUAACUUUAACAAAACUUGAUCAUCUCAUACAACAAUUUAUAUCUCAUCACGUCUUGACCAUAUCACAUCACAACAUGCCCUGCAAAAACAAGUUAGACGUCCUCUACUUUGUUCUUGCAAGUUUUACGUGGCUGCUAUGGGCUGAGCAAGAACCGUUCUUACCUACGCAUCAAAAACCACAACGAUAUUUCGUCAAGUUAGUGUUGUUUUAACCUUCAACAAGGAUCGGGUGUAGUCACACUCGGUUCAACUAAAGUUGGAGAAACUGACACCCGCCAGCCACCUGUGUGCAAAGCACGUCGGUAGAACCAGUCUCGUGUAAGCGUACGCGUAAUGUCGGUCCGGGCCGCUUCAUCCAACAAUACCACCGAACCAAAGUAUGACAUGCUGGUAAGCAGUAUGACUUGUAUCGCCCACAACUCACUUGUGUUCUACUCGUGCAUAUAACAUCUACGCAUAAACCUGGCUCUGAUGCCACUGUUGGGGAAUGUAGUAAUUUCAAUAAAAUUCCUACGCACACGCAAGAUCAUGGUGAUGCAUAGAAAUGAGAGGGAAGAGUAUCGUCCAUGUACCCCCGUAGACCGUAAGCGGAAGCGUUAUGAGAAUGCGGUUGAUGUAGUCGUACGUCUUCACGAUCCGAUCGAUCCAAGUACCGAUCGUACGGUACCUCCAAUUUCAGCACACGUUCAGCUCGGUGACGUCCCAUGAACUCCGAUCCAGUAGAGCUUCGAGGGAGAGUUCCGUCAGCAUGACGGCGUCAUGAUGAUGAUGAUGAUGCUACCGAGCAGGGCUUCACCUAAGCACCUCUACGAUAUGACCGAGGUGGAUUAUGGUGGAGGAGGACACCGCACACGGCUAAGAACAAUGUCAACUUGUCUGUUCUAGGGUGCCCCCCUGCCCCGUAUAUGAAGGAGCAAGGGGGAGGCCGGCCGGCCCUCCUAGGGCGCGCCAGGAGGAGGAGUCCCCCCUUUCCUACUCCUACUAGGAGGAGGAAAGGAAGGGGAAAGGGGAGAAGGAAGGAGAGGGAGGAAAGGAGGAAAGGGGGGCCGGCCCCCUAGUCCAAUUCGGUUUGGGCUAGGGGGGCCACUCGCCCUGCCUCCUCUCUUCCACCACUUGGCCCAUGAGGCCCAAUACUUCUUCGCCGUAUUCUCGUAACUCCCCGGUACUCCGAAAAAUACCCAAAUCACUCGGAACCUUUCUGAUAUCCGAAUAUAGUCGUCCAAUAUAUCGAUCUUUACGUCUCGACCAUUUCGAGACUCCUCGUCAUGUCCCCGAUCUCAUACGAGACUCUGAACUACCUUCGGUACAUAAAAUCACAUAAACUCAUAAUACCGAUCGUCACUGAAUGUUAAGCGUGCGGACCUUACGGGUUCGAGAACUAUAUAGACAUGAACAAGACACGUCUCCGAUCAAUAACCAAUAGCGGAACCUAGAUGUUCAUAUUGGCACCUACAUAUUCUACAAAGAUCUUUAUCGGUCAAACCGCAUAACAACAUACGUUGUUCCCUUUGUCAUCGGUAUGUUACUUGCCCGAGAUUCGAUCGUCGGUAUCUCAAUACCUAGUUCAAUCUCAUUACCGGUAAGUUUCUUUACUCGUUCCGUAAUGCACUAUCCCACAAUUAACUCAUUAGUUGCAUUGAUUGCAAGGCUUAUAGUGAUGUGCAUUACCAAGAGGGCCCAGAGAUACCUCUCCGACAAUCAGAGUGACAAAUCCUAAUCUCGAUCUAUGCCAACUCAACAUGUACCAUUGGAGACACCUGUAGAGCACCUUUAUAAUCACUCAGUUACGUUGUGACAUUUGGUAGCACACAAAGUAUUCCUCCAAUAAUCGGGAGUUGCAUAAUCUCAUAGUCAUAGGAACAUGUAUAAGUCAUGAAGAAAGCAAUAGCAGUAAACUAAAACGAUCAAGUGCUAAGCUAGCGGAAUGGGUCAAGUCAAUCACAUCAUUAUCUAAUGAUGUGAUCCCGUUAAUCAAAUGACAACUCAUGUCUAUGGUUAGGAAACAUAAUCAUCAUUGAUUCAACGAGCUAGUCAAGUAGAGGCAAACUAGUGACAGUCUGUUUGUCUAUGUAUUCACACAUGUACUAAGUUUCUGGUUAAUACAACUCUAGAAUGAAUAAUAAAUAUUUAUCAUGAUAUAAGGAAAUAAAUAAUAACUUUAUUAUUGCCUCUAGGGCAUAUUUCCUACAUGAACUUGUGCUAAAACUCCACUUCAACUUAAAGAAUUUAAAAAUUGCAACUUUCUUUGCUAAGAGUCUAUUCACCCCCCUCUAGAGACCUCUUCUCUAUCCUCUCAAUUGGUAUCAGAACAUUGGUCUCCAUUGCUUUGGUUUGAACACCUUUGUAGGAAGAUGGAUGAGUCUACGUUGAGGAGUCUUAAACGUAGAGUGCCUAUACUUGAUGGAGAGUACUUUCAUGAGUGGAAAAAUGAGAUCCUUGAGAUUUUCCAUGUAUAUCAUUUGGAUAAGUACAUUACUAGUCCUUGUGCACCUCAUGUUGAUCCUUUGCAUCCUACACUUGAUGAGUCUAUUGACAUGAUCCGCAAUCUUAGAACUGUGAAUUUAAUCACUAGAGGUUUGCCUAGAAACUUGCUUGCUAGCUUGCCUACUCUUGAUUGUGCCUACACCAUAUGGGGAUUCCUUGAGGAACGUUUUCCAAACUAUUCCUUGAAAAAUCUAGAUGAGAUUCUUCAUAAGUCUAUUGCCUUGAGUAAGAUGAGUUCCAAUGACUCCAAAUUUGGUGAUUGUUUAUUUGAGCUUACAAAUCUUACGAGUGUCAAAGGAGAUGUUGGAAUCAUUAGCAAUAUCAUUUCCGAAGUCAUUAGAAUUCAUAGAGAUGAACAUUGUUACGGUCACACUUCUAAUGAAUCACUCUCUCUAGGAAUCGAUCCACCUUAUGACGGUGUUGAACAUGGACACUAUGAUGAGGAUGAUGAUAGUGACUAUGAUCUUGAUGAUGCAAUGAGACACUUUGAUCUUAUGGCUAAUCUUCGCGGCUACUCGGCUGGAGGAAAGGAAUGGGUUCUUGAUAGUGGGUGUACCAACCAUAUGACUGGAGACAAAGACAUGUUUCGUGAGCUUGCUGAAAACGACGGCCCUCGAAAGUAUGUCACUUUCGGUGAUAACUCAAAGGGUAAGGCGGUUGGCCUUGGUAAGGUGGCCAUCUCACAUGAUAGCUCCAUACAAAAUAUUAUGCUCGUUGAAUCUCUUGGCUACAAUUUAAUUUCCGUAUCUAGACUUGCUGACUUUGGUUUCAGUGUCCUAUUUACUGAAGUAGAUUGCCAAGUGUUUCGUAGAGAUAACCAUAAAAUGGUCUUUACCGGUACACAUAGAGGUGAUCUUUACAUUGUUGAUUUCACUAAGAAGGCUCAACCUAGAACUUGCCUAAUUGCUAAGUCCUCGAAAGGUUGGUUGUGGCAUAGAAGGUUAGGUCAUGUGGGCAUGCGAAAUCUUGAUAAGCUUAUUAAAGGUGAUCAUAUCCUUGGAGUAAAAGAUGUUAUAUUUGACAAGGAUAGACUUUGUAGUGCUUGUCAAGCAGGAAAACAAGUUGGAGGAAGCCACCCCAUGAAGAACAUUAUGACCACGAGAAGACUGCUCGAGCUACUUCAUAUGGAUCUUUGUCCCAAUGCCUAUAAGAGUCUCGGUGGUAACUCAUUCGGUCUAGUUAUAUUUGAUGAUUUUUCAAGAUUUACGUGGGUAUUCUUUCUUGAUGAUAAAUCGCAGGUCCAAAAGAUCAUCAAGAACUUUUCUAGGAAGGCCCACAAUCAAUUUGAAGUGAAGAUCAAGAAGGUUCGCAGCGACAACAGAACAGAGUUCAAGAACGCAAAUGUGGAUACCUUUCUUGACGAAGAAGGGAUCUCACAUGAGUUCUCGACUACGUACACGCCUCAACAAAAUGGAGUUGUUGAGAGGAAGAACCGAACUCUUAUUGAGAUGGCGAGGACAAUGCUUGAUGUGUCCAAGACUCCAAAGCACUUUUGGGCGGAAGCCGUUCAGACAGGUUGUCAUGUAACGAAUCGCCUGUAUCUUCACAAGCUACUCGGCAAGACGGCAUACGAGCUUCUCACCGGUAACAAACCCCAAGUUGGAUACUUUCGAGUAUUUGGCUCAAAGUGUUACAUUCUUGACAAGCAUCGUCGUUCUAAAUUUGCUCCUAAAUCUCACGAAGGAUUCCUACUUGGUUAUGGCUCAAACUCUCACACUUACCGUGUCUACAACAAUUUCACCCGAAAGGUUGAAGAGACGGUAGAUGUGAAGUUUGAUGAAUCUAACGGCUCGCAAGUAGAGUAAUUGCCAAUUGAUGUAGGAGUUAAAAAUCCUUCGGAAGCAAUCCAAGACAUGUCUAUUGGCAAGAUCCGUCCAACGGAGGUGAAGGAGAGUACCUCGCCCGUCCAAGUGGAAGCUUCUACCUCACAACAAGGUGAACCAAGAGUAGACAUGGAAGCAUCCACGAGUGGGACACACCAAGAUGAAGAAAAUGAGGAAGUACACCAAGAUGAACCUCAUCAACCUCCUUAUCCACCACGACAAGGGAACAAUGACGCCAAUAAUGAACAAGGCCAAGAAGAAGGUCAAGAUGAUGAAGAAGAUGUUCCACCCCAAGAAAAACAAAAGCUAUCACGAGUUCGAGCAAGAGUCGCUAGAGACCAUCCCGUCGAGCAAAUCUACAAUGAUAUCCAAACCGGGAGAAUCACUCGCUCUAAAUCUCGUUUGGCUAAUUUUUGUGAACAUUAUUCAUUCAUCUCUAGUAUUGAACCGAUGAAUGUUGAAGAAGCAUUGGAAGAUCUGGAUUGGAUAAAUGCCAUGCAUGAAGAGCUACACAACUUUGAGAGAAAUCAAGUGUGAACAUUGGUCGAGAAUCCCGACAACAACCACAACAUCAUUGGUACCAAAUGGGUAUUUCGCAACAAGCAAGACAAAGAUGGUCAAGUCAUCCGCAACAAAGCUCGUCUAGUCGCCCAAGGCUACACUCAAGUCGAAGGUAUGGACUACGGUGAGACAUAUGCCCCCGUUGCUAGACUUGAGUCCAUCCGCAUCUUGCUUGCCUAUGCUAAUCGCCAUGAUAUCACUUUAUACCAAAUGGACAUUAAAAGUGUUUUUCUAAAUGGUGAAAUUAAGGAGGAAGUUUAUGUUAAACAACCUCCCGGCUUUGUCAAUCCUAAGAAACCCGAUCAUGUUUACAAACUUCACAAAGCUCUUUAUGGUCUUAAACAAGCUCCUAGAGCGUGGUACAAAUGCUUGACCAAGUUCCUUAUUGAUAAAGGCUUUGAGAUUGGAAAAAUAGAUUCUACUCUUUUUACUAAAAGGGUUAACGGUGAAUUGUUUGUGUGCCAAAUCUAUGUUGAUGAUAUCAUAUUUGGUUCGACUAACCCUCUUUUUAGUGAAAGUUUGGGAAGCUAAUGUCGGAGAAGUUUGAGAUGUCUAUGAUGAGUGAACUCAAGUUCUUUCUUGGUUUGCAAAUCAAGCAAACUAAGGAAGGCAUCUUUAUCUCUCAAACAAAGUACACCAAGGACUUAUUCAAGAAGUUCAACAUGCAAGAAAGCAAAGGUAUGAAAACUCCCAUGCCUACUAGUGGACAUCUUGAUUUGACUAAGGAUGGUAAACGGUUGACCAAAAGGUUUACCAAUCUAUGAUUGGUUCAUUAUUAUAUCUAUGUGCCUCCCGUCCCAAUAUCAUGCUAAGUGUGUGCAUGUGUGCAUGAUAUCAAGCAGCCCCCAAAGAAUGUCAUCUUAAGGCUGUGAAAAGGAUAGUAAGAUACUUAAUACACACACCAAAUUUUGGCAUUUGGUAUCCUAAGAGGUCAUCUUUUGAUCUUGUUGGCUAUUCCGAUUCGGACUAUGCCGGAGACAAGGUUGAUAGAAAGUCCACUUCGGGUACUUGUCAAUUUCUUGGUAUAUCUCUUGUAUCUUGGUCCUCCAAGAAACAAAAUUCGGUAUCAUUAUCCACUGCCGAAGCGGAAUACAUUGCCGUCGUUUCAUGUUGUGCUCAAUUACUUUGGAUGACCCAAACUCUUAAAGAUUAUGGGAUCAAUGUGAAACAUGUUCCAUUGCUUUGUGACAAUGACAGUGCUAUUAAGAUCGCUCACAAUCCCGUGCAACAUUCUCGAACUAAGCAUAUUGAAGUUCAUCAUCAUUUCAUUCGAGAUCAUGUUGCUAAAGGGGACAUUGAUCUUAAACAUGUUUGUACCGAUAAGAAAUUGGUGGAUAUAUUCACCAAACCGCUUGAUGAGAAAGUCUUUUUCCACUUGAGAGGUGAAUUGAACAUCAUUGAUGCUUCAAACUUGGAGUAGGGACUCCAUUUGGAUACAUGCAAGGCAUGGAUCUAUGACUAAUCCUUGAUAUCUCUCUGAUGAUGAUCAUAUGUCUUGGAUAUAUUUGCACUCUUGCAUGCUAUCUAAACCCUUGUAGGUACUUGGAUGAAUCUAAAUCUAUGAGAUUGCAACUCACUCACAUCUUGAGCAAUCUCUACAUCACCAAGUCUCUACUCAAUGGUGGUUGAAAACAAGGAAGCAUGAAACACUUCAACUUAUCCUUUGACAAAUUCUAUGUAUCAAAUUUCAUUUGGUAUCAAAUUUCAUGAUUGUCAUUUUGGAUACACAAGUGCUCUUCCUUGGAAAACUAACCCAUGUAGGUAGAUGAACUCAACUCCAAGUGGUGCUCCCAACCACUCUUGCGCUACAUCAACCUUGAGCUACCCACGCAAGUUCAACUACAUGAUCAAGAUCAACACCACCACCCAAGGUAUGUAAUUCCAUCUUAGAGAAGCUUUACCUCAAGUCUUAGGUCAAAGCAACUCAACAAGAUGUGAAUACAUCAAAUGCUUAAACAAAAAAUGGUAACCCCAUUUUAAGCUUAAAUGAUGAGUAUGACUUACGAUCAAGUGUUCUCACUUGACUCCUCAGUCAAUAUACUCUAACAUAGGUGACUUUGUCACCGCCCAAUUCUAGAUGAAGGUCUCUAGUGUUUCCUUGAGUUUUUGCAUACUUCAUCUAGAUUUUCUUUUCUCUGUUUUAAUUCUGCAUUUCCCUGCAUCCAAUUCAUUGCAAAUCUUUUAGUUAAUUCCUUGCAAAUCUUUGUGAGAUAUUUUUGCCUAGUGAGCUGACGUGACAAGUGUUCUAUCUGCGUUGAACUCGGUCAUAUACCGAUCUAUUGCUUUCGGUCACACCGAACCAAUUCGGUGCCACCGAAGACUACAACUUGGUAUCACCGAUUUCACUGCAGAGAAGACAAUUUGCCAUUUGUUCCUAUAGUUUUAUUCUAGCUCCACUUGAUGAUUCUUAUCCUCUACCAGCAUCAUGAUCUAUAUGCUGCUUUGCUCUGUGACUCAAGGACCAAACCUAUUUGACUCAUACUCCAGAAGAUCCCUUCUUGGAAAUUGAUGUCAAAGGGGGAGAGAGAUCACAUCAAAGCUUAUUCUCUUCAAAGAGGGAGAAGGAGAAAGAGAAAGAGGUAGAGAGAGGUAAUCACAUCAAAGGCCCCAGAUGCUUGGUGUUCAAGAGGAGAGAAGUCACAUGUCUUUAAGAGGGGAAAGACAUGUCUAUGUUAUGUUUAUGGUUAUGAUCUGUUUUGCUCUGAUUUUGUUUCCCUAUGUUCUCCCAUUAUCCAAUACAAGAUUCAGGGGGAGAAAGACUGUUAGGGAAGGAGAUCUAUGAAUUCAUUGCAUAUCUUUACCUUUUGGGGACAUGUCUAUAUCAAAUAGAGUACUCAGUACUCACUCACUACAUGUCAUCCCAGUCUUGGUACUCUUGUAGUUUCUUUUGGUUGCUCUGGUUGGUAAAUGUAUCUGUGUUAUCUAACCCUGUUUACUCAGGUUCAUUCCCUCCUAAGCUAACUCAAGGCCACAAGGUAAGUAUAUGCAUCACACUCAUAUGCAUGAGGAUUUCUUACUGAUGUACAUAUUGUUUGCAAGAAAGACUUAUGAGCAUGUAGGUACAUUUCCUAUAUUUACAUUUUUUGCUCUUAUGCAUAUAGCCAAGAUACAUGUAACACAUUGCUUACUCUAUCAUGCUAUGCAUUCACAUGCUCUUAUAGUCCAUAUUUACAUGAUUGCAUACAUAUAGGGGGAGCCUAUGCAUGUUACAUGUCUUUCCAAAUCUUUACUCGUUAUUCUCUAUAUCUUUAUCUAAAGCUUUGAUGUAUGUUGUCAUCAAUUACCAAAAAGGGGGAGAUUGAAAGCACAAAUGCUCCCUGGGUGAUUUUGGUAAUUAAUGUCAACAUAUCUCUUGUUGGACUAAUGCUUUUGACUAGAAUGCUUCAGAUAAGUUCAACAAUGGAGUGGCAUGGACUAGAGGAUGUGGAACCCUUUCGACAUGAUAAGGACAAAGGAUUGGCUCAAGCUCAAAGCUCGGGACUCUACAUUUUCUAUUUCAGUGAUCCAAGAUCACAUUGAGUCCAUAGGAAAGCCAAUACUAUUAAGAGGGGAUGAGGUGUUGCUUAAUGACUUGCUUGCUCAAAGUGCUUAGUGAUAUGCUCCACAGCCAUCAACUACUUUCUCAAAUCCACAUAUGUCCCAAACCAAAAGUCAAACUCGGCCCUACCGAAAUUUCCUAUCCGGUGCCACCGAGUUCUCUUGACAUAGCCAGUGCCAGAAACCCUAAUCAAUUCGGUCUCACCAAUGGGAUCUUGGUCUCACCGAGAUGGGCUUGCAAACUCUCUGUUGCCUAUUGCAUUAAUUUCAGUUCCACCGAAAUAUGCAAUCGGUCUCACCGAGUUUUCUUAGCCAACUCUCUGUUUUGCUUAUUACCCAAAUCGGUCCCACCGAGUUUGUGUAAUCGGUCCAACCAAGAUGAGGCAUUACCUUAACCCUAGCGCAUCGGUCCCACCGAGUUGAUCAUGUCGGUCCCACCGAAAACCCUAACGGUCACAUUAUGAACUAAAUCGGUCUAACCGAGUUGUGUGAUUCAGUCCCUCUGAGUUUGGUGAUUUGUGUGUAACGGUUAGAUUUUGUGUGGAGGAUAUUUAUACCCCUCCACCCACUCUUCAUUCGUGGAGAGAGCCAUCAGAAUAUGCCUACACUUCCAACAUACAUUUUCUGAGAGAGAACCACCGACACUUGUGUUGAGGUCAAGAUAUUUCAUUCCAACCACAUAAAUCUUGAUCUCUAGCCUUCCUCAAGUUGCUUUCCACUCAAAUCAUCUUUCUACCAAAUCCAAUCCUAUGAGAGAGAGUUGAGUGUUGAGGAGACUAUCUUUGAAGCACAAGAGCAAGGAGUUCAUCAUCAACACACCAUCUAUUACCUUUUGGAGAGUGGUGUCUCCUAGUGUAACGCCCCGAGACCGUUGUGCCAGGUGUCUUCCAGUUAUUCGCUGUUGUUGCCUUGUCAUUUGUUUGUGUGUCAUGCAUUUCAUAUCAUGUCAUCAUGUGCAUCGCAUUUGCAUACGUGUUCGUCUCAUGCAUCCGAGCAUUUUUCCCCGUUGUCCAUUUUGCAAUCCGACACUCCUACGUCCUCCGGCGCCCUCUUCUGUCUCUUUUCGUGAGCGGGUGUUAAACUUUCUCGGAAUGGACCGAGAUUUGUCAAGCGGCCUUGGUACACCACCGGUAGACCGCCUAUCAAGUUUCGUGCCAUUUGGAGUCCGUUUGAUACUCCAACGGUUAACCGGGGAACCGUAAAGGCCUCGUGUGUGUUGCAGCCUAACACCCCUCCAAAACGGCCCAAUAACUCAUCCAAACCCCAUCCAUCCUCUCGGUCGUUCGAUCACGAUCGCGUGGCCGAAAACCGCUCCUCAUUUGGACUCUCCUAGCUCCCUCUACCUAUAUAUAUAUAUAUAUAUAUAUAUAUAUAUCCUCUCCCCCGAAAAUUUCGCGGAUGAACCCUAACCUCCUCCUCCUCCGCGUGUCCGGACGCGUCCGUGCCGUGCCGGACNNNNNNNNNNNNNNNNNNNNNNNNNNNNNNNNNNNNNNNNNNNNNNNNNNNNNNNNNNNNNNNNNNNNNNNNNNNNNNNNNNNNNNNNNNNNNNNNNNNNNNNNNNNNNNNNNNNNNNNNNNNNNNNNNNNNNNNNNNNNNNNNNNNNNNNNNNNNNNNNNNNNNNNNNNNNNNNNNNNNNNNNNNNNNNNNNNNNNNNNNNNNNNNNNNNNNNNNNNNNNNNNNNNNNNNNNNNNNNNNNNNNNNNNNNNNNNNNNNNNNNNNNNNNNNNNNNNNNNNNNNNNNNNNNNNNNNNNNNNNNNNNNNNNNNNNNNNNNNNNNNNNNNNNNNNNNNNNNNNNNNNNNNNNNNNNNNNNNNNNNNNNNNNNNNNNNNNNNNNNNNNNNNNNNNNNNNNNNNNNNNNNNNNNNNNNNNNNNNNNNNNNNNNNNNNNNNNNNNNNNNNNNNNNNNNNNNNNNNNNNNNNNNNNNNNNNNNNNGCCCCGCCGCCGCUCGGUUUCCUCGUCGUCCGCGCGCCGCCUCCUCCUCCACCGCACCCGCUCGGCCCCACCGCCUCCUCCUCGUCACGCCGCUGUGUCCUUGUCGCCGAAGUCCGCGCCGACCUCGUCGGCAUCAUCCUCCGUCGCCGGAUCUGGAGGUGGACCAGAUCCAUCAGGCCACCGAACCAAACGUCGCGCCCACGUCCUGGAUCUCCUUGUCCCGCACGUCUCCGUCCCGAGUUGACUUUUUCGGAGGUUGAUUUUUCUCUAAGUCCCAGAUCUGUGAUGUUUUAUAGCCCUGUUCAACAUAUCAUAACUCCUCAUCCGUAGAUCCGUUUUGCAUGCAUGAUAUAUCAAAAUGUUCAUCUGGAUGUGCUCUUCAUUUUGUUCCACUGUGCCAUGCUUGUUUGAGUCCAUCUUGAUGCCUAAACGACUGUUGCAAGAGUGCUAUAAAAUGUUAGGUCCUGAUUCUUAUCAGAUUAUGAGCAUUUGUCAUUUUUGCCAUGAUUAUUAUGUGCUGCAUAUGGGCAUGAGCUCUACAUGUGUUCUAUUCUAUGCCAUGCCAUCUUUACAGGGGUGCUUACCAUGUAUUUUUGUGAUCAUUGUGGUGACUAGCACAAGCAUGCAAAGUAGCUCUCGUGAUAUUGCUGUUUUCAGAGACUUAGAAUUUCACUAAGUAAUUUCCCUGAUGUUAUUUUAAUGCCAUGUAUUCAUGUUACUACAGAGAGAUCCAUGCUUCUUUUGAGUAUGUUCAGUAAGGAUUAUUUUGACAUAUGGUUAUGAUCUAUCCAUCCAUGUCCCUGUUUGCAUUUAUGGAGUGCCCUAGCAUGACCUAAUCUUGCUCUACUUUUGCUAUAAAAUGUUCCUGGCAGAUUGUUUACGUGUUAAUCAAUUUUGCCAAGGUUGUUGUAGUUGAUCCAUGUAUGCUAUGAGAUUGUUCUUGCUUUGGUUGGCUUCCUGAUCAUGUAUUCUUGCUAGUAGUAUGCUUAGUUUGUCAUUCAUUGCCUUUUGUUGAGUGCAUCGAGCUCGCAAACAUGACUUCAUAAUUCUGUUUAUGCCAUGUCCAGUUUUCUGCUAAGUCUGAAUCUGUUAACGAAACUUACUAUGUUUACAUGGGUGCCAUCAUAUCUUAUGAUCCCUUUUGGCUUAUGGUCAGUAAGGGACUUUUGUUAUAUCAUUUGAGUAGAUUCAUGUCAUGCCUUGUAUUGCUAUGUUCUAAUCCUGUAGCAUGUUGUUAUCUUGCUCUAAACAUUGCUUCCUGAUGUUAAUUCCUGAAUGUUGUUAUUUUCACUAAGUCUGCUAUGUUGUUAUCUUUUGCACUUUUGUCAUGCUUGUUUGAACCUGCUCUUGUGUGAUAAUUCAGUGUUCAUUUUUGUCAAGCAUCUUGAGUAGAUCACCGACAUGUGUUUUGUUGCUAUGUUAGAGUGCAGUAGCUUAGUUUCUUGUUGCAUUCUAGAUGGCAUCGUGCUAUUUAUCGUAGAAUUGUGCCAUUCUUGUUUUGCUUGCCAUUUGCAAACCGUGCAUCCGAUUCCGGUGAUCUUUAUAUCAAUUUCGACCGAAAUCAACUCAUCUUUCCAGCAGCGUACUUGGUUUGCCAAGUUGAGUCUUGGUUCAACCUUUUCCUUCCGGAGCACGCAUAUGCAUUGCAUAUCACAUCCCGCAUAUCAUGCCAUGUUUUGCAUCAUGUUGCUUGCGCAUUGCACCAUGAUUGAUUGUUGGUCUUUUUGCUUGUGUUCUUGCCUUCGAUAGAGCCGGGAGACGAGUACGUGAUCGAGGAACCCGUUGAGUACGCUUACGAGGAUCAAGCUUACGUCAACUCGGAGAACUUUGCAGGCAAGAUGACCACACCCUCGAAAUCACUUCUAUCUUUGCUUGCUAGUUGCUCGCUCUUUUGCUAUGUUGCGAUACCUACCACUUGCUAUAUCGUGCCUCCCAUAUUGCCAUGUCAAGCCUCUAACCAACCUUGUCCUAGCAAACCGUUGUUUGGCUAUGUUACCGCUUUGCUCAGCCCCUCUUAUAGCGUUGCUAGUUGCAGGUGAAGAUGAAGUUUGUUCCUUGUUGGGAUAUCACAAUAUCUCUUAUUUUAACUAAUGCAUCUAUACACUUGGUAAAGGGUGGAAGGCUUGGCCUUAUGCCUGGUGUUUUGUUCCACUCUUGCCGCCCUAGUUUCCGUCAUACUGGUGUUAUGUUCCUUGAUUUUGCGUUUCUUACGCGGUUGGGUUAUAAUGGGAACCCCUUGACAGUUUGCUUUGAAUAAAACUCCUCCAGCAAGGCCCAACCUUGGUUUUACAUCUGCACUAACAAUCUAUCACCUUCCCUUGGGUUCUGCAGACUCAAGGGUCAUCUUUAUUUUAACCCCCCCGGGCCAGUGCUUCUCUAAGUGUUGGUCCAACCUGAGCGAUGCCUGGCGCCCCCUGGGCAACCAGGGUCUAUGCCAACCCGACGUCUGGCUCAUCUGGUGUGCCUUGAGAACGAGAUAUGUGUAGCUCCUAUCGGGAUUUGUCGGCACAUCCGGGCGGCUUUGCUGGUCUUGUUUUAUCACUGUCAAAAUGUCUUGUAACCGGGAUUCCGAGUCUGAUCGGGUCUUCCUGGGAGAAGGAAUAUCCUUCAUUGACCGUGAGAGCUUGUGAUGGGCUAAGUUGGGACACCCCUGCAGGGUUUUGAACUUUCGAAAGCCGUGCCCACGGUUGUGGGCAGAUGGGAAUUUGUUAAUAUCCGGUUGUAGAGAACUUGACACUUAACUUAAUUAAAAUGCAUCAACCGCGUGUGUAGCCGUGAUGGUCUCUUUCCGGCGGAGCCCGGGAAGUGAACACGGUUCUUGUGUUAUGCUUGAACGUAAGUAGUUUCAGGAUCACUUCUUGAUCACUUCUAGUUCACGACCGUGCUUUGCUUCUCUUCUCGCUCUUAUUUGUGUAACCCCUAAUGGAGGUUGAUACAAUAGUUAGGAAGUAAAUGGGAAUUGUCUGAUUGUAAUUUUGCUAAUCUUUUGCAUAUGUGUCUCAGGCAUAUGAGCAAACUUGGUUUGGCUAGCAAAUUAAAAUGAUCCUAUUAGUGGCAGCUGCAGCUAUUCUGACAGUUCGCUAAAGACCGGUGCGUAAUUGACAGAAAAUAGUUUCAGUUGAGUGAUACUUCACAAACGUAUAUAUAAUUUUUGUUCUGUGCAUGCUAUAUUCAGAUCAUUUAUACAUGCUUUUGGUGCACAUUUAUAUACGAUUAUUUUUAUUGGACACCACUAGGCAUGGGACUAAUAAAUUUUGGAUGCUAUCAAACUAGUGGUACCAUCCGAUAAAAAGCAUCAUAAAUGUCUGAUGUAAUAGUUAGGCUCUGCGUGAGUUAAUUCGGUUCAUUAAUUGAUUGCUCCGUCAUAACUCUUCCCGCAUCCAUCAGCAUGGGUUGUUACCUUAGAACAAGUACAAUAAACUUAUGUAAGAGCAUCUCUAGCAGACUCCGUAAAACACCGCGACCCGCAAAAUAACCGUCAAAAUACGGAUUGGCGCGGAAAAUUCUGCCCGAACAGACCCCGCAAACACGUCUGACCCGUAAAAUUUUUUGCGGGACGCAGCAAAAGAUCGCCCUGAACCUUUAGAUUCAUGGGGUGGGAGGCCGACCCGACCUCGCCCCCUAUCCGCAGCGAGAUUUGGCGUGAGGGAAAUUUCCGCACGGUCGUUCCCACUCCCCCCCCCCUCCUCGGCCACCAUUGCCCCGCCAUCGCGUGCUCUGGUCCAUCUUCCCGCCAUUCUUCGCGCCAUGGAAGCCUCCCAGCCAUCCCCUGUCACCGUAGAGGUCGCGCACACGCAAUCCCCUUCAACGGAUCUCAUCGCUGGCCAUGUCGCCCCACCGUCGCCCGAGGCACCAACGCGCCUGCCCGCAAGCGGCAGGGCAACGUUGUCGUGCAGGGUGGCAAUCCGGCUGGCCCCGCCGAAAAGGCACGCACGUUGGGCGGCGCCGUCGCUGCAUGAUUUGCCCGGCCGCCGGCGGAGAAGGUGAGUAAGGUUUCGGGCGUGAAGCGGAAGAAUGUUCAUACGAAAAGGCCGGCGCCUUCGUCCACUCCCUCCGCCCCGGCGAGAUGUUCCCCGACGAUGCCGUUCAACGGCGCUGCUUCCACCGCAGGCAAGGUGUUCGAUGAAAUGGUCGGAAGGUAUGAAUCUUCGAUCCCUUGUUCUUGCUUCGCUUUUUGCCAUCGUGUUAGCUCGUGACUUGAUGUCACUCAAUGUAGCGGUGGUUUGAACAAUGCCACUGCUGAGUUCAUGAACUUGUUGGACACCAAUGCCGUUGUCGGUGCCAAAACCGGCGGAUCUCGGGUAGGGGGUCCCGAACUGUGCGUCUAGGCCGGAUGGUAACAGGAGGCAAGGGACACGAAGUUUUACCCAGGUUCGGGCCCUCUCGAUGGAGGUAAAACCCUACGUCCUUCUUGAUUAAUAUUGAUGAUAUGGGUAGUACAAGAGUAGAUCUACCACGAGAUCAGAGAGGCUAAACCCUAGAAGCUAGCCUAUGGUAUGAUUGUUGAUGUGUAUGUUGUCCUACGGACUAAAACCCUCCGGUUUAUAUAGACACCGGAGAGGAUUAGGGUUACACGAAGUCAGUUACAAUGGUAGGAGAUCUACAUAUCCGUAUCGCCAAGCUUGCCUUCCACGCCAAGGAAAGUCCCUUCCGGACACGGGACAAAGUCUUCAAUCUUGUAUCUUCAUAGUCCAGGAAUCCGGCUGAAGGUAUAGUCCGGCUAUCCGAACACCCCCUAAUCCAGGACUCCCUCAGUAGCCCCUGAACCAGGCUUCAAUGACGACGAGUCCGGCGCGCAGAUUGUCUUCGGCAUUGCAAGGCGGGUUCCUCCUCCAAGUACUUCAUAGAAGAUUUUGAACACAAAGAUAGUGACCGGCUCUGCAAAAUAAGUUUCCACAUAUUGCCAUAGAGAGAAUAAUAUUUACACAAAUCUAAUCUGCUGACGUAUUCCGUAAUGUGACACACCACGGCCAAGCCUUUAUUCGAGUCAUUUCAUUAUCCCACCUCAGCGCGUCAUGCGAGGCGGUUUCCUUGGCACGUCUUGUUAAAGCAGAGAUCGUGUCCCCUUAUCCCGGGAUUCUCAUCAGUACGGGCGUGGGUAACCCAACCGCGCCAUUGAUCACGGCACUUGGAGAUAAGCGAGUUUUACCAGGCUGGUGGGGACAUGUAGUUGCGUCCACCCAUAUAAGGGGAUAAGGAUCCACCUUCUCACCUACACCUUCUUCCUCCUUCGCCUAUCCAUUCUUGCGCACUCGAGCUCCAGCGCCCAAAUCCGCACUCCCCAUCUCAACCUUCUCCGGCCAUGUCCGGAGCGGGAGGCAAGUGGAUGGUCUCCUCCGUCACGGAGGGACACAUCAAAAAGCUGAGGAAGGCAGGAUACCUGUCUAACGACAUCGCGUACCGGCUUCCCAAAAAGGGGCAGCUCAUCCCCACCCCUAGGCCCCAUGAGAGGGUGGUGUUCCUCCCCCAUUUCCUCCGCGGACUGGGCUUCCCUCUCCACCCAUUUGUCCGGGGGCUCAUGUUCUACUACGGCCUGGAUUUCCACGAUCUGGCCCUGAACUUUGUCCUCAACAUCUCGGUGUUUAUCGUCAUAUGCGAGGCUUUCCUCCGCAUCCGCACCCAUUUCGGCCUAUGGCUCAAGACUUUCAAUGUCAAGCCGAAGGUGGUGCGCGGCAACCAGGCGGAGUGCGGAGACGCCAUGGUGGGCAAGAUGGCCAACGUCCUAUGGCUCGAGGGCUCCUUUGUGGAGACCCUGAAGGGGUGGCAAUCGGGGUGGUUUUACAUCACCGAGCCGCGCGACCCCGAAUGGGUCGCAGCCCUCGUGUUUCGAUCCGGACCCCCUACGCGGCUCACCUCCUGGAAGGAUACGGGCCUGUCAUGGGGUAAAAAGGAGAGCUGACCGGACUCCAAACAUGCAUCCAAACCCUGGUGGACAAGAAGCUCAAACUUGUCAACGUUGUCCAGGUUAUGCUCAUCCGCCUGAUCCUCCCGUGUCAACAACGGGCUUUCAACCUGUGGGAGUUCGACCCGGCGCAGCACCAAACGCUAAGAAGGCUCUUCGACACGAUGUACGAAGAUGCCUGGAAGGUGCUUUUCAAGGGCGUCGAGGCUCCCGCAUCCACUACCGAGGAUCGCAGAUUCAGUACGCAGCAUCACGCUCAUGCGGUAAGCUGUUUUUUUCCUUUUACAGGGUAUCAGUUUUUCAUAGUUUGACUCCAUGCGGGAUCUAAACUCCCUUACCUUUGACAUGAUUGGCAGGUGACGUCCGGACAGAUCAACUGUCCGGCUCCUUUGCCCGAAGGCCCAGCGGACGCUCGCUUGGCGAAGCUGCUGGUUCCGGCACCCUAUGUGGUGUCGGAGAAGAAGGCCGCGAAAAAGGCCACGGGGACUCGAAAGAGUGCCCGGCGCCAGGAGGUGUCGGACCCAUCAUCCGACGGUUCCAAGGUGCAUUCCUCCCAUGAAGACGAGAAGCAAGAAGAAGAGACCUCUCCCCCUCCAGCGGGAGGAGAGAAGAAAAGGAAGGCCACUCUCUCUGGGGAGGCCGGAGGGUCCAAGAAGGGGAAAACCCUUCCCCCGGACUACUCCACCAACGCCGACAACGGCGGAGAGGAGUGGCAGCCCAGGGCCAAGCCCCUCGCAAAGUCGUAAGUAUCCGGAUACUAGAGUAAUUCAUAGUAUCCGUUUAUUGCACAGCUUUCCCUUACGUCAAGUAUGUUUAUGCAACCCACCCAAAGACCGGCUCGACGCGUCGUCGAGCGGCUCACUGGACUCGUCGGAUGUGAACUCGCUUCCGACGGCUUCCUUCCCCCGCCCUACAGACGACACCAAAAUGUUGUCCCAACAGGUUCCAAGCCGGGAGGAGGUGGUCCUGGAGGCGCCGCAAGGUGACCUCCCGGACUCUAGGAGUAAAGGGGAUGAAACCCCCCAGGGCUCCAAGUCCGGCUCUAGGCUGGACACCGCUCCGGAACCUUCAAAGGUUCCAGAGUCCGGCGGGGGACCUCCUUCCAAGGGGAGCGAGCCCACCGUGCCGGUGACCCCCGUCCAACCGGAGGCGCCGGACAAUCUGUUGGAGGCGCUUCAAGGCGCCUCCAUCGACGAGGGGCACCGCACCAUUAUGAGUGCGGUGGUCCAGAAGGUUCAGUCCACCAAGAGCGGACUGACUGAACCUUGUACUAGCCUUUUAACAGGCUUUGAGGUAAGUAAAGAAUGAGUAAAUAAUAUUACCGCAUAGACAGUAGCCCCUGAUGCUCUGUUUGGCAUUCGGAAAGAAAAGCCGAAUAGAGGAUCAAAUAAAAUUUGCAGGAGUCUAACAAAAAUGAGUCAAUAUGCGUAUGCAGGCUUCUCCGCUUGCAUCCGCCGCACUAACUGUGGAGGUGGAUACGCUAAGGCAGAACCUCGAGCGGUCCGAGCAAGAGCUCGGGCGUGCCAAGAAGCAGCUCGAGGACAAUGAAGGUAAGAAAUACCUUGUUUAAAUAUAUAUAUAUAUAUAUAUAAAGGUGCAAUUGCAAAAAAUGACAAGAUUAUCGUGGCUAUUGUAGGGGCCACGUCUGAGGUGGCGAACCUUAAGCAAGCGCUGGUCGAGGCCGAGAAGAGGGCGGCCUCGGAACGCACCGAGCGGGAGAAGUAUGAGGCCGAGGUUGGCAAGGUACGGCAAGAGCUCCAGGCUCUCAUGGAAAAACAUGAGAGUUUGGAGCUUGACUCAAAGACGCAAGCGUCCGAGCUCGUGGUGGCUAUUGAAAAUGCCAAGUCUGCCAAGGCCGAAUCCCAGAAGACCCUCCAGGAGUUGGAUGAGGUGAAGAAGAUAGCGGCGGGUAAGGCAUUCUUUAUGCAAAGCAAACACAUAAACGUGAGUUACUUGUUACUUACCCGAAUCCGGAGCUCUCCAGGAGCGUUCGCAGAUCUUCCCUGGAGUGUGUCUGAUGCCGCCGCAUUCUAUAGAGCCGAGGAGGGCAACUCGACAGAGAAGGUGUUCUAGUCUCAGUAUGCUGAGGCCGGACACCCCGUGCCCCUGAGCGACCAGCUGAAGCAACUGGUCGAGCUCCACAAGGCGGCCGAACAGGCCAUGAAGGGCCUCAUUGUUCGGCUGUGGCCUGGAGGGGCUCUGCCUGGGAGCUAUUUUGGGCUGGUGCGGCGGCUGGUGGAGGCCUGUCCAAGGCUCGAAGUCAUCAAGCGCUUCGUCUGCAUUGAAGGUGCCCGUAGGGCCCUUGCCCGUGCUAAGGUGCACUGGGGCAAGCUGGAUGCUGAGAAGCUUGUGAAGGACAGGCCACCGCCGGGGAAAGAGCAUCGCAAGCCCGAGAAUUACUAUAAGGAUGUUCUGAAGGGUGCCUGCCUUGUGGCGGAUGAAUGUUCUAGGGAUGUAAUUUUUGAGUGAAACUUGCUCGUUUUGUCAUGUGCGUUGAAAACUUGUUCAUAUGCGCUAAGCAAUGCUGUUGGAAUUUAAAAUAUUACCUUCUGUGCGGCUAUUUAUCAAUUCUGAGAGAUGGCGAGUCGUGGGCUUCUGCCCCCGUGCCGCUAGUGCUGGGGUGUUCGGGGAUAAACCUGAGCGCUCUUUUUCCCAUGUUUGGGUCCUUCGAGGGAGGCGCUCAGCCCAACAAACAAGGCAAUCGGACUAUAAUGUGUGAACACUCUCACUUUGCCAUAGAAAUCUAUAAUUUUAAAUUUCGGCGAAGCCCCUGGUAUUCGGAAGACCGAGUUCGGUACGCUAUCCACGCCUUGGCCGGACAGAGCCGGCUCCUCGCCCUAAGCGGCAUAAGUCUUUAGGGACUCAAAAAACCUCUUGAACAGCGACCAGCUCUCGCUUCAUCAUGACAGUCAGUUUUAGCUUUCUCCACUGAGGUGCUCGACCCAGCUCAACUGGGGCACAAUCGCAGUGGUUCUCCUAGUGCUACCUUAGCCGAUAUAGCGGAACGUAAGGCACCAAAACAUAGGAGCCGGGCAAACCCAACUAUUGACCCAAGACAUGAUUCAGAGCCGAUGCAUAUAAUGCUAUAAGUUUGGGGUGCCACACUUGUUAAAGUGUUCAGACUUCUCACACCAUAUUGAGGGGUACUAAAGCCCCUGGCGUAUUUUGGCCGUACCAACGUGUACGGGUGCAACAUGUCGUUAAGGAACAUAUAUAAAGAAAAAAGGUAAUGCAAAAAUAGACGAAAGCUAUGCAUUUUUUAUUAAAAAGGGCUGCGAUCAAAGCAGAACGAUACAAAUAGUGCGAUAAGUGAAAGGUUGGACUAGUUAACAUGUCCGUUCCAGGGGCAAGCUGCGGAAUAGUAUGCGGAACAGGUAUACUGCUCGUGAUAGAGACCACCUGGGAGUCCCGUAAUGCGGCGUGGCUUGUCUGCUUCCCUGGUUCUUGCAUCGUUUGUGCGGCAAUUGAACUGCCGAACAGGCCUUCCGAAGGAUCGAGUCCUGAAAGUAAGAGAAAAUUAAAAAAUCGGCAGCCCUUGGUACGGUUUAAGCCGUGUUUUGGGCGUGCCGUGAUGGUGCCCCUCCCCCUGUACCCAUGGUAUCUCUAGAGCGUAGUUAUGUACGUGAAGUACUGGCGUCGCCUUUUUGCGAGGGUUGGGGUUGGGGCCACAUUGCUACGCCUUCUCACAUCGUGCCAGGCGGUCUUGUUGUAGGUUACUCCGGGCGCGCUUGACGGUGUCCGGCCGUUUAGUGGCCAGACUGGAGAACUGCCUGGAGAGGCUGCUUUGUAUUUCCGCUGCAAGGGCCGUCGUGUGCUCCUCCGUUCGGAGGGAGUGUUCGGUGUUUCCAUUGACCGUAAUUACUCCUCGAGGGCCUGGCAUCUUGAGCUUAAGGUAUGCAUAGUGCGGUACCGCAUUGAACUUGGCGAAUGCGGUUCGCCCGAGCAGUGCGUGAUAACACUGCGGAACGGGACUAUGUCGAAGAUUAACUCCUCGCUUCAGAAAUUAUCCGGAGAUCCGAAGACCACUUCAAGUGUGACUGAGCUUGUACAGUUGGACUGUACACCUGGUAUUACGCCUUUAAAGGUCGUUUUGGUGGGCUUAAUCCUCGAGCGAUCUAUGCCCAUCUUCCGCACUGUAUCCUGGUAAAGCAGGUUCAGGCUGCUGCCGCCGUCCAUAAGGACUCUAGUGAGAUGAAAUCCGUCAAUAAUUGGGUCUAGAACCAAUGCGGCGAAUCCGCCAUGACGGAUGCUAGUGGGAUGGUCCCUUCGAUCAAAGGUGAUCGGGCAGGAGGACCAUGGGUUGAACUUUGGGGCGACUGGCUCUACCGCGUAUACGUCCCUUAACGCGCGCUUUCGCUCCCUUUUGGGGACGUGGGUUGCGUAUAUCAUGUUCAUCGUCCGCACUUGUGGGGGAAAAACCUUCUGUCCACUGUUGUUCGGCGACCGGGGCUCCUCGUCGUCAUCGCUAUGCAGCCCCUUGUCUUCAUUUUCGGCGUUUAACUUGCCUGCCUGCUUGAACACCCAACAAUCCCUGUUGGUGUGAUUGGCCGGCUUUUCGGGGGUGCCAUGUAUCUGGCACAAGCGGUCGAGUAUUCGGUCCAAACUGGACGGGCCCCUAGGAUUCCUUUUGAAUGGAUUUUUCCGCUGACCGGAUUUAGAGCCUCUGAAUCCGGCAUUAACUGUCGUAUCCUCAGCAUUGUCGCCGUUAAUGCGGCGCUUCUGCUUGUUGCGACGCGACCUGCCACUACUGUCCCUGGUGUCCGAAUUACCGGGGUUCUUGGUCAUAUUGUUGCUACGAGCAAGCCAGUUGUCUUCUCCCACGCAAAAGCGGGUCAUGAGUGUCGUGAGUGCUGCGAUUUCGGCUUUUCCUGUCCAAGGUGCCGGGCCAGCCACUCGUCACGGAUAUUGUGCUUGAAGGUUGCUAGGGCCUCAGCGUCCGGACAGUCGACUAUUUGAUUUUUCUUUGUUAGGAACCGUGUCCAGAAUUGCCUGGCCGAUUCCUCUGGCUGCUGAAUUACGUGACUUAGGUCAUCGGCGUCUGGGGGUCGCACAUAAGUGCCCUAGAAAUUGUCGAGGAAUGCGGCUUCCAGGUCCUCCCAACAACUGAUUGAUUCUGUUGGCAAGCUGUUAAGCCAAUGCCGAGCUGGUCCUUUAAUCUUGAGUGGGAGGUAUUUGAUGGCGUGGAAAUCAUCGCCGCGGGCCAUGUGGAUAUGAAGGAGAUAAUCCUCGAUCCAUACCACAGGAUCUGUUGUGCCAUCAUAUGAUUUGAUGUUUACGGGUUUGAAACCCUCGGGGAUUUGAUGAUCCAUUAUUUCGUCUGUGAAGCAUAGUGGGUGUGUGGCGCCUCUGUACUGGGCUAUAUCAUGACGUAGCUCCAAUGAGCUUUGUCUACUGUAUUCGGCCCUGCCGAAUUUGUGGCCGGCGUGACGGUUACGUCUCGAGCCGUGGGGUGCCCCCGCGAUCCGUAGAUCGAUCUUGUUUGCCUUGCCUUGUCCUCCAACAUAUCUCGUAAGUCCGGCGCAUAUUCACGUGCCUUGGUAUGGGGUGCGGCUUGAGUGGAGGGCCGAGAGGCCUCUCUGUCGCGGCCAUGAGGUGGCCGGUCGGCCGCAUCAAGUGCUUCCUCCUCUAAUUGGGGUAGCAACCUGCGCUUUGGGUAGCUCUUGGAGGGGCGCUCGAGUUUAUGCUCUUCGGCCGCAAGGACUUCAGUCCAUCUGUCGACUAGCAAAUCUUGAUCAGCUCUAAGUUGUUGUUGUUUUUUCUUGAGGCUUCUUGCCGUGGCCAUAAGCAUGCAUUGAAAACGCUCUUGCUCGACGGGAUCCUCUAGCACGACGAAUUUGUCGUCGUCGAGGCUUGCCUCAUCUUCGGAGGGAGGCAUAUAAUUAUCGUCCUCGACCUCUCUGUCUGCCGCUCUCUCAUGAGGGCUGGUUUCUCCAUCCUCCUGUGCUAAAUCUUGCUGGAGGGGGUUUUCUUCGGCACUUUCCGGAGUAUUAUUAUCUCCCGUGCUGGAAUCACCGUAUUUGUUUUGGCGGGAUUUUGAGCGGCGCCGCUGACGCUGGCGCUUAGGCUGUUUCUUGGAGGGGUCAUCCUCCGUUGUUCCAUCGCCAUCUCCUUCUUUUGGGGUGUCCACCAUGUAUAUGUCAUAUGACGAGGUGGCUUUCCAGGGCCUGGUAGGCGCUGGUUCUUCAUCAUCUCCUUCAUCGGCGUCCAUACCGUCGAUGUCUUCGGAGUCGAAGUUGAGCAUGUCGGUUAAGUCGUCAACAGUGGCUACAAAGUGGGUGGUGGGUGGGCUUUGAAUUUCUUCAUCGUCCGUACCCCAACCUUGCUGACCGUAGUCCGGCCAGGGCUCUCCUGAUAAAGAGAGAGACUUCAGUGUCUUCAGGAUAUCGCUUAAAGGCGAGUGCUGAAAGAUGUCCGUGGCAGUAAACUCCAUCAUCGGCGCCCAAUCGGAUUCGAUUGGCAGGGGCACGGAGGGUUCGGAGUCCGAGAGGAGUCCGGCUCCUUGGAGUCACGAGUCUCGCAGAGUACGGGGCUGGUGUUCGGCUCAAUCGCCGUUGGGAUCACAGCCCCCAGGGCACUGUUCGGCGGAAGAGCUAGAUCAUGCUCGUCGGGACAAUGCGGCGUGCUCGGCAAUGGCUCGAAUCCGUCGAAGAUCAAGUCCCCGCGGAUGUCAGCCGUGUAGUUUAAACUUCCAAAUCUGACCUGACGGCCAGGGGCGUAGCUUUCGAUCUGCUCCAGAUGGCCAAGUGAAUUGGCCCGCAGUGCGAAGCCGCCAAAGAGGAAGAUCUAUCCGGGGAGGAAGGUCUCACCCUGGACUGCGUCGCUAUUGAUGAUCGUAGAAGCCAUCGAGCCUGAUGGCGACGACACAGAGGAACUCUCAAUGGAAGCACCAACGUCGGUGUCAAAACCGGCGGAUCUCGGGUAGGGGGUCCCGAACUGUGCGUCUAGGCUGGAUGGUAACGGGAGGCAAGGGACACGAAGUUUUACCCAGGUUCGGGCCCUCUCGAUGGAGGUAAAACCCUACGUCCUGCUUGAUUAAUAUUGAUGAUAUGGGUAGUACAAGCGUAGAUCUACCAUGAGAUCAGAGAGGCUAAACCCUAAAAGCUAGCCUAUGGUAUGAUUGUUGAUGUGUAUGUUGUCCUACGGACUAAAACCCUCCGGUUUAUAUAGACACCGGAGAGGAUUAGGGUUACACGAAGUCGGUUACAAUGGUAGGAGAUCUACAUAUCCGUAUCGCCAAGCUUGCCUUCCACGCCAAGGAAAGUCCCUUCCGGACACGGGACGAAGUCUUCAAUCUUGUAUCUUCAUAGUCCAGGAGUCCGGCUGAAGGUAUAGUCCGGCUAUCCGAACACCCCCUAAUCCAGGACUCCCUCAGCCGUCAACAUCGAUCAAGCCCCAUUCGCUGAUUUCGAUUACAAUGAAAUGGAGGGUGGUGUGGAUGAUCACGGUGGUGAAGAUGAAGUGGAGGAAGUGGAUGAGAGUGCGUAUGAGCAAGCGCAAGCAAAAAAAUGUGAGAUCGAAGAACUACACGAUCUUGAAAGAUCAAAUCUUGAUCAAGGCUUGGAGUGCGGUGUCUCUUGAUGCUUGCAAACCUCCAAGAUAUAUUGGGAAAUAAUCGAAGAUCAAUACUUCCGCAUGAUGGUCAAGCAUCCCAAUAGAACACCACGGACCUUUCGGUCACUCCAAGGUCGUUGGGACGUGAUCAAGUCGAUUUAUAGCCGUUGGGCAGCUUGCUUGGAACAAGUUCGCAGUGCACCUCCAAGUGGAAUCUGACUAUAUGAGUUCGUUUUCACGUUCCAAGUUGUGCACAUCAUUUGCAUCAUAUGAAGUGAUUGCAUCAUUUGACUUUGUUCUAAUUGUGUAGGACAAAAUUGCCCAACAAAGAUACAAAGACAUGAAAGCUUUCGAAGGCAAAAAAUUUAAACUAGAGCAUUGAUGGGAUAUAAUCAAAGAGUGCGACAAAUGGAAGUUGAUUAACAAAGAAUCCCCACCGAAGAGAGGUUCACUUAUGAACAUGGAUGAAGAUGAAGAUGAUGAUGGCCCAAGAAACUUGGACAAGCCCGAUAGUGACAAGAAGACAAAGGAGAAAAUCAAGAGGGAACACGAAGCAUCGAGCUUGCGGGACAAGAUAGAUGCCAUGGUGCAAUCAAAUGAGUUGAUGUUAGCGAAGACAUUGAAGACAAAGAAAAAGUUGGCCGAGAAGAAGGCACGAGAGAAGUAAGAGAAGUGGUAAUUUCUCAAGGACGAGGGGUUGCGCAAGGCGAUCAUUGAGGAGAGAAGAGCACAUGCCGCUGAGAACAAAGCCAUGUCCAAGCUUCUUACCAAAGAGGAUAGGAUCGUGACAUUGGACCGCAAUGAUAUGGACGACAUCCACCAAAGAAUGGCAUGAUAUGGCAAGGAGAGACAUCUUGAAGAGGAGGAUGCUUGCGUCGGCCGGUGCGUGUUACAGUGCUGGCGAUGUUUUCUCAGCGAAAUUUGGAACCAAUGUCGCCGAUGCAUUCAGUGCGCCCGUCGAUGAUUUCGGUGCCGGAGUUGGAACAAGUGCCGGCGAUGGAUUGGAGGGCGGCGAUGACCUCGAUGGAGGUGGUGCGGAGUGAAGAGCGACCAAGAUGAUGACGGACGUGGUCAUCGCUUUUGCAUGAAGUCCUUUUACGUUUGUCCUACAAAACUAUGCUUUUGUUUGUGCGCGACAGAAUAUGAGCUUGUUUCCUGCUUCAUUUGUUCAUACACUAAGUUCAAGGCAUGAUACAAAAUUAUUUUCUUCCAAAACCCCAAUAGUACGUACACUGCUUCUAAGUUAAUAUCAUAUGUUUCCUAUAGAUUGUAGACUUGCUUCUCUUCAUGUGUGAUCGUCUUCAUUGUAGGGAAGAUUCAGGUGUCAUCACACUUCUAGGUGUAUGCAUCGGUCGCUUCCACGUAUGCUUCCAUAUAUGUCUCCGGCGGCGCCCAACUGCUGGAAGCAUACAUCAUCAAAUAUAUGGAAAAUAUGAAGCAUGAUGAUAGUGUUUAAAUGCAAACAAUGAUCUUCACAAUAUAAGAAAAAAAUAUAAGAAGUAGAAGUAUGUUUCUAUUGUCCUAAACUAUCUUGACCUAAGAAAACAUAUAGUAAAGUUAAGAAGCAUGGACAUUAAGAAGCAACCAUCGAUGCAAACAAUCUGGAAUGUCGAAGCACAUAAUGAUGCUUACAAAACAUGGAUAGCUGAAACAUCAAAUUGAGAAUAAUCAGUGCAAUACCUUUGAUUCGGACCAGCUGGCGAUUCAUGCAAUGCAAUACCUUCUCAUUCGGAGGCGUGACUUCAAAGAGUGAAAAACAAAAGAAGCAUGUUUGUAUAUUGCCAGAAACUAUCUAGACUGAAGAAACUCAUACAGUAUGUCAGGAAGCAAGGAUAAAUCGAAGCAUGUGUUAGUGUUAUCUCAAUAUAACUCACGUGUUGGAAGCGUAGAAAUUUAGAAUUGGAAAUCAGGGAUUUUUGCCACCAACAUGUGGGUGCAUAUUCCUGUGAUCUACUCCCUCUGUUCCGAAUUACUUAUCGCAAGUUUGGAUGUAUCUAGAUAUAUUUUAGUUCUAGAUACAUCCAUUUCUACGACGAGUAAUUUGGAACGGAGCGAGUACCAAACAAUUUCACCGGAACCGAUUGGUGGUUUUAUGAGCUUAUACACAUUAACUCUGCAAGAAUACCGGGAUCGAUUUGGGAGGAAACAAAACCGAGCAAACUAGACUAGGUAGGUGCGGGAUUAAGGGGGAUUUGGGCGUGCGCUUUUUUUUUCGGAGAUAGAGGGCGGUUGGAAUAGGAUGUUUUUGGAGGAGGGUUCAAGUCCUGGUGCUUGCAUUAUUUCUUGAUUUAUUUCCGGAUUUCCGGCGAUGCGCUUUCAGUGACAGGAGACGUUCUCGUCGACGACGAGGCGCCUACGGCGACUUUGCAAAUCUCAAAAUGAUAUGCCGGCUCAGUCUCUCAAAGAUGCUCAUAGGGGUAGGGUAUGUGUGUCUGCAUUCAUAGGGAUGAGUGUAUGCGCGUAUGUAUGAGCGCUUGCGUCUAUACUGUGUUCUAAAAAAAUUCUACAAGAAUACCGGGAGCGAUUUGGGAGGAACAAAACCGAGCAAACUAGACUAGGCAGGUGCGGGAUUAAGAGGGAUUUGGGCGUGCUUUUUUUUGGAGAUAGAAGGCGGUCGGAACAGGAUGUUUUUGGAGGCUCCCAAACCUUGCGAUGGAAAGGAAUUUGACAGGAGAUAAUUGAUCUGAAGAUUGGACUUGAUCAGACGUCUCAUACCUCCAAAACUAUUACAUUAUUUUUGUUGAUUCUCGUCCACCUGGGCUGUCCACGUGGGCUACGGAGCAAACUCUGCACAACAUGUCCUCUGGUUUUUUUUCAUAUGUGCACAACCUGUUCAAAGAGAAGGAUUGGAGAAGAGUGAACACAAAGCAUGCUACCAUUGUCUAUUUUUUUUCUCGAGAGUAUGCAAAUUGCGUACCAUAGUUUGUAGUAGACGAUGGAAAGAUAAUGUACAGAGUGAAAUGCCAGAAAUGCCUCACAGCCACGUUGUCUGUGUGAAUACAUUAGUUUGAGCAACAAUUAAUUCCGAGCAGAGGUAGUACAAUCUUUUUAGGGAAUAUAAUGUUAGUUCUUCGUACUGUUAUGAGACUUGGCUAAUGAUGAUUACAUUACGCAAACAAAAAAAUAUUAAGAAAACCAUAGAGGCCGCAGGCAUAAGAUAAACUGCCAAAAGGAUGCAUUCUAUCCAAGACAGUAACAAGAUUAUUCAUCGACUAGAUUUGUACAGAUGUCAGUUCAUUGCUAGAUUGGUGCCAGAAUGUAAUUUUUGUGCAUUCUGCAAGAAAAAAGGAUAUGUACAGAAGAACAUGGGAAGGAACUCAUAGCAGCAUUCAGAGAAGAAAGGCAUGACAACCAAUAUUCUCCCAGACCAGACCAGACCAGCUACAUCGACCAAAGCUACAUGGAAUCGAGUGUCCACCGUUCAUCCAAAAGAAAACAAGCACCUAUCGACAAAGCUACAAGGAAUCGGCCAGGUCGUCGGCUUCGGCUUCACUAAACCCGUAGGAGCUGAAGUGCUUCACCCUGAACUUCCACUCGCCCUUGGCACCGUCAAACGAGAUAAACUCCACCCCCUGCUCAUCAGCCUUCUUCACCAACAUCUCCUUGAACUUGUCCAACCUCGGCCCUUGCGUGUACUGCUCACCCGUCUUCUUAUUCAUGCACUUGAUGUUCAGGAGGGUCACCAAAGCAGCUUUGUUCAGGCCCUCGCCAACUGGGGGCUUCUUGCUAUCCUCCUUGUACACAAUCACUUCACGGUUAUUGAAUUCCACAAUCGACUCCAGAUCAAGGCCCCUUACAUCAGUUUCUCCCAAGAAUUUGAUGCUGCCAUAACCUUCACGCCCAACAAUGAAGUCUACAACCUGACUACAGUAGCCUGGCUCAGCACGUUCUUUGGCAGCAAGCUCCUCUAGACUGGGCUCCGUGAAGUAAUCUGCCUGGGAGAGCCUAGGCAUCAUCUUCUCAACGGUAGCACCAUUCAUAUGCCGAGCCACAUCCCCAGGCUCGCUUGAUGCAAUGUGGAUGCCAUUCUCCACUGUACCAGACCGAGUUGGUGUCAUGGCAGCCUUAUUGUGCUCCCUCCCAACAAAAGCAUCUGUACAGUACCUCAAAUCAGAAACAAGCGACAAACAAUUUUGCAAGUCUAGGGGAGAAAGAAUACAGACAGUUCUAAAUAAAUACCUUUAUGUUUGUCAUUAUCAGUUGAAUCCCUUGGAAUUGAUUGUUGGCCAACCACACUACGUGAAGGCCACUGGUCUGUUGGACGGAUUAUCAAACUUCUUGGGUUCUCUCUAGGGAUGAAAAAGGCAUCCGCUUUUGGUGUUACAGGGGAUUCUUCAUCAUCAGCAAAGAAUGGAACCUGAAGGAACAAAAAACAGAACCACACAAUUAUUUCUCAAACGGCUUUCAUAAAACUCCAAUAAUAAAGAAAUAUAAACUAAAUAACAGUCCUAACCUUGCCAUUGGAUGUUGCAUUAUAUUUUCGUGGCAGCAGCUUUAUCCUCCUCUGUGACAAAUGCCUAGGAACCACCAUUGAUAAUGUUCUGCUCGGAAGGGGCUUCUCAGCAACCUGCAGGGCAGAGUAAAUGUUUUUGUCAAGCAAAUGUCCUUCCUCGUGGCUCUAGAUACCUCAGUAGCACGAACUGCUAUAAAUAAUACCCUCCUUGCUCAUCUCUACUAUCCUUCCACGCUGCAGAAACUACUGCAAAUACUUAAAGAUGGUAAAGAAAAUACUAACCGGCAAACUUGAUAUCCCAUAUUCGAUAGAAGGUGAGGAUCCACCAUUCCCAAUGGACAUCUGAGGCAUUGCUGGAAGGGUCCCAAAGGGAUUUGAAACAAGAGUCGGCUGCAUUACCAUAUUGGACUGGCUAGUAGUUCUGCAUCAAGAAUGCAACAGGCUGUUUUACGAACUUACAAUUUGAAAAAAUAAUGCACUGACUACUAAAUUCGAAGAAAAUAGAUGCCAAAUCAUAAUAAUUAAGUGAUAAUAAGUGUUUCUUAGUAUUUAUUAUCCGUGAAUACAAUUAAAUUAUGAACCAAGUAAAAACUCUGUGUUCCACUAUAGAGAUAAACAAGAACACAGCAGCGCAAAGCUAGCAUAUACAAUUGACUCACAGGACCAUUAAGUAGUUUCUUUCUCUACAAGCCUACACUAUCCAUCUCCACAUUAUAUAUCACUUUUGUUUGUUGCACCAUAUUUACGUUCACCUCAUCUGUACUUCCACCCAUAAAAAGGAAAGAAUAAAUGUACAUGCGAUAAGUAAAUGGAAUAGUCAUACUGCUGUCCGAAUGGAGCCAUAUUCAUCGGGUUGGAAACACCAGAGAAUCCACCUGUCAAAGCUUCAAGUGGCAUACACACAAAAGCUCAAAAAAAUUGUUAAUGAGAAGGAAACAUUAAGUAUUAGGGGUCUGAAUACUAACCUGGUUGAGUCUGAGGUUGGAAUGAGAACGAGUUUGUAGGUUGAACAGGGGCAGAUUGUUGAAAUGAUGACUUAAAAAUGAGCAAAGAGCAACUCGUUAUUUGCAAAGCAAAAGAUAUAGAAAACAAAUAUCAAGGAUCAAUGAUUUAUGAAGAAUAAUUAUCUAAACAAAAUAUGGUAAUUGCAAGGGAAUAGGAUGCUUACUGUUUGAAAAGGUGAAGAUGUGUUGCCAAACAUCCCUCCACCUCCAGUGAUUCCGAUGUUAGAUGUAUUGAACAUACUGGUGGAGAAAGCUGGAGUGCUUGAUUGCUGGUUAAAUGAGUGGCCAAAUGGCUGCUGCCCCAUUGUAGGGGAAGACGUAAACAGCCCAGAUGAUUGAGUGCUAUUACUAGUGGAUGACCCAACAUUGAAAGGAUUUGGGUUGUUGAAUAGUGAAGUGGUGGUAUUAUUUCCAAAUAGAGAAGAUGAAGUGUUUGCUGGGAAUGUAGAACCACUUGUUUGUCCAAACGAGGAGGUAGUAGUUGCGGGCGAUGAAAACGGGUUCGGAGUAGUAGCAAAAGCACUCAAAAAAGGUGAGGGUGAGGGGUUAGUAAAUGGAUUCACUGGUGCUGGUUGAUUUGGUUGGAAACUUGGCUGUGGAGAUAAGAAGUUGUUCACUGCUGGAGUUGCAGAAGAGUUUGGUCCACCUGAGGGUUCAAAGUUCAAACAUUAAAAAUUUCACAACUUAAAAUCUAAUGAUACAAGCAGCAAAAUAAUGGGACAUUUGAAAUAGAAGUAAUAUGAGUUCAGUUUAAUUGCAAUUAAGGGGGAAAAGGACUACAGCUAAGCUAUACCAGAAGCCAGAACAUAAUAUCUAUCCCAGUUCAUAGAAAAUAAGAACCAUUAGCCGCAAAUGUCUAGAAAUGAGGUCACAUAUAAAGCAAUAGCAUACUACUCGAUUCCAGAAAUUUCCUUUACCUUUGUCCCCACGCUGAUAAUCUUCCCACCUCAAUUCUUCAUGACUCUUCUCUUUGUAUGCAGGCAUGGCUGAUAUGGAAUCAAGUUUUGCAGCAGGCUGAGAACCACUUGCAGCAGUGUCAGUAUCAGGUGUUUGUACAUAAGGCUGUAUUCUGGUUCCUCCAGAUUGACUUCCAAACGUAGUUUGCCCGAAUGCUGGUGCAGCUGUUUGAGAGCCUGAAACUCAAAAAAGAAACUGAUAAGAUAAUCCGCAAUUACACAACUGCUAGAGCACAUGGAAUGUAACACAGGGUGAUGCACUCAACACCAAGCCAAAAUUAUACAAACAUAACCAAGUAAGUUGAAUAUCCAGUGGGGGAACCUACCGAAUGGAGAAGUUUGUGCUCCAAAGGGUGAAGUUGUUCCGAAGAGGCUGGUACCAGUUGCAGCUGCUGAUUGUCCAAAAGACGGUGAAGAACCAAAACCAAAAGCACUUGCUGGUGUGGUUGAAGUUCCAAAAGCUGGAGCACUACUCACACCAAAUGCUCCGGUACCUGAAGAUCCAAAACCAGGAGUUGUGGUUGAACCAAAUUGCGUCGAACCAAAUGCUGGGGUGCUGGAAGCACCACCAAAUAAGGAUGCUGAUGUUGAGCCAAAUGCUGGAGUCGUUGUGGAGCCAAAUGCUGCCGUUGUUGUGGAACCAAAGGCCGGCGUAGUUGUGGUGCCAAAAGUGCUAUUGCCAAAUGUUGGCUGUGUUUGCUGAAAUGUGCUACCAAAUGGACUAGACUGGCUAGGAGUUGAUCCAAACCCACCAAAGCUUGGCUUUUGUCCAAAUAAAGAUCCUGAAAAUUUUGCAGAGUAGAGAGCGUUAAAUCGCAAGCCAUAAAACUAUCGGUCUAAAAAGGAAACGAGAACAAAACAAAAAUAGUGCUCCCUCCGUCCCAUAAUAUAGGAUGUUAUUACAACCGAGAUAAUCAUAUCUCGGUUGUAAUGACAUCUUAUAUUAUGGGACGGAGGUAGUAGCAUCUAUUACCUUCAGAAACCUACCCUUUAUUUCUAUGCAGUAGCAAAGGGACAGCAUGGACUAACGAGUUUAUAGGGUGACAGUAUUUCAAGUGUUAGUCCUACACUCCUACUGAUGAAGUGAUGAAGGAAAUAGUCCUACCGAUCAUAAACUUCAACUAGUAGCAGCAGUUACUAUUUUUAAUACGUACUUGACAGAGAUAUUUCAAAGUAAAGCUUUAAACUGUAGUGCUAGAUAACACAACCUAAAAGGUUGCUGUAGCAUAGCUUUGUUCUGUCUAUAAUAGUGAGUUGCAAGAUUCAUUGCCAGAUUCUUCUUUGAUAUAUCAAGGUUGGCAAUUAAACACAUAGCAGGUGCUAGACAGGUAAAGAUUCAGUAAAUGCAGCAUAACAAAUGUGUUCCAAGUUGCAGAAGAACAGAAAUUAAAUGCUGAGGUUGCGAGAAUGGUACAAACCACCGCCAAAGUUGUUAGAGGAUGUGGCGCCAAACGCGGGGGCUGGCGAUGUACCAAAAGCUGGCGUGGAGCUCCCAAACGGAGAGGAGGACGGGGUGCCAAAUGCAGGUGUGGAUGGCUGGCCAAAGGCACCGGUUGAUGUAGCACCAAACGCGGGUUGCUGGCCGAAGGCGCCAGUGGAUGUAGAGCCAAACGCAGGGGUGGAUUGCUGGCCGAAGGCACCAGUGGACGUAGCGCCAAAGGCCGGGGCGGACUGCUGGCCAAAGGCGCCAGUGGAAGUGGCGCCAAAGGCCGGAGCGGAUGGCUGGCCAAAGGUGGAGGUAGCGCCGAAGGGCGAGGUGGUCCCUGUUGGCGCCCCGAAUGCGGGGGUCGGGCUGCCGAAGGGUUUGGGCGCGAAGGGAUUGUUGGUGGUGGUGCUGGGCUGGCCAAAGCCCUGUUGGGUCCCGAAGGGGUUGGUUGAGGUCUGCCCGAAAGGGCUGGCGGAUGACUGCCCGAAUGCUGCAAAAAAAAGGAUGAUCAAACAGCAGGUUAGCAACCAUGGCGUCAAUAAUUAACUUUCAUAGGUAAAACUGGACUGAAAUCCGCAACCAACGGCAAAACAAUAGAAGAAUCAUAUACCCAGGCAGAAAAACUUGAUGGACAGUUUAUCAACACUGUAGCGUGAAAGCAUUAUUAUUAGUAACGUAUCAUCAAAUGGGGGAUCUCGACUGCGAAACCUAGCCGCCGAUCACAGCGGACGAUGAGAUAAUGGCUACUACUUACUAGCAAUACCGACAGCAAUCGAGGGAAAGCUACUACUAGGUAGGGCGCACGGGGAAACCCUACCUAGGUCAGGGGAUGGCGUGCGGGGGUGAGGGAAAGGAGAGGAGGGUGCUUACGAUUGCUAGCGCCGAACAUGGCUGGUUGAUGGUGGUGGUGGCCGCGGAGGAGACGGUGGAUCACCGGGCCGUCGGCGGCUGCGGCUGCGGCGGCGGCGGCGGCAGCCGGGUGGAGGUGGGGGUCGCUGUCGAUCGAUGUGGUGUUGGUGUUGGUUUAGGAGGAGACGAAAAGAUAAUCGAAAAGUGGAGGAGGGGGAUCUGGAUCUGAGGCUGGAGGGUGGGGCCCCGGCGUCUGUCUCUUUGGCCUCUUGGGACCGUGCCGCGGCUCUAUAUAGCGGGGCAGGAUAGCUUAGGAACAACGCCACAGCCCACAGAGGGCUGGGCGUUCGGUUCCCCCGAACCAUUCGAGUCGGUUCUUCGGUAUAUUUAAAAUUUUGUUUUGUCAAAAUACUGACCGAUCGGUCAAGAAAAGAUUAGCUAACCGAAGUUUAUGUGUACCGAAAUUUCAGUUUGGUCGUCGGUUCCACCGAACAGCACCGAAAUGUACUGGAAUCGCUACAUUUUACCUGUAUUAGCAGCAGUCGCUACUUUAUUUUGAAUGUACAGUGCAUGUAGCUCAUGCCUACUAGCUAGAGGCUAGUCUCCUUGGCUACUCCGUCUUAUUAUUCCGAGUGAAACUUUAUUACUCUGUACAAUUAGCGCUAGCAGCUAACUACUCCAUGCACAAAAAAUUAAGCAGAGGUAGUACCGGUACUUCUCUUUUUUACACAAAAUUAAGCGGCAGCAGCGGUUCACCGUGUUAUGUCCGUGCCUUCUCCAUGCGGCUGUGGGUCUCACGCACUUGUCAGAUAGGGGAUAGAAAAUAGAGUCCAUGUUCACAUGAGAGUAGUAUAACAGGCGCACAGGUCGCACCUCUAUUUAGUUGGUUUUCGGUCCGCUCAGGUACCCGAGGGAUAAACCCGAAUUCACCGAACUUAGUUCGGUUUUCAGCGUAUGCAAACCGAACUUAUCACCAAAGUACUCAGUUUCGGUGUAUCCGGCUUCGGUGCUAGCUAAUUCGGUUCGAGACAUCGGUUUUCGGGUUAUAUGCCCAGCCCUACCCACAGGACAGACACCAGCGGCCAACUGACGCUAUUCUCUACCGCGCCGCGUAGCUUACUUUCAACGCCAACAAAGACCACGAAAGGGUUUGCUGGGCCCUCAGGGCUUCAGGCCCAUGUACACGUGAAGUUCCUCAAAUGCAUGCCAUGGAUGGAGCUUGGCUCGUGAAAGCAUGGGUUUGUCUAAAAAAAUGAAAGCACGGGUGGACACCGUUAUAAACAUGGUUCAGUCAUUUGCCGUCAAAGAAAAAAACAUGGUUCAGUCAUUUUUAGUUUCCAGUUUUUCUUAAUGGUGAAAAACUUGAAGAAUUUAAACUCACUCGUGGUAUUCGGCCCUGAUCUCUCCUUACUUUUUCUUGAUUACAGUGGAGGGGCUUUCGUGUCUUUUAAAAUUCAGUUCUUAGUCAUCAGUGCUCGAAGGAAUUAAGGUGGCACCCACGGCUCCGGCCGUCAACCACCUUUUGCUCGCAAAUGAUAUGAUGCUGCUUUAAAAGUCAAGUGUGGAGCAGGCGAAUGCAGCGUCAAACCUACUGGAUACAUACUCCAAGGCUUAUGGCCAGAGGAUCAAUAAGGAAAAUACCUUGAUUCUUUUCAGUAAGGGAUGCCCGCACUCAAUGUGAGAAGUGGCCAAAAACUCCCUAAACAUUUAGAACGAAUCAUUGAGUAGCAUGUACUUCGGUAUGUCUGCUGAUGUGGGCCAGUCAAGAAUGGGCACAUUUAAAUACUUGAGGGACCGUGCCUGGGAGAAGGUUCGAGGAUGGAUGGAGAAACUUCAAUCUGCAGCAAGGAAGGAGGUCUUAAUUAAAGCUGUGGCGCGAGCUAUACCGGUUUAUUCUAUGGCAUGUUUCAAAUUGCCAAGGGUUUUAUGUUAAAACAUUACCACCAUUUACUUGCCGGCUCUGGUGGGGUAGCAAACAGGGGAAGCGGAAAACCUUGUUGGGUAUCAUGGGACAUCUUGACACAACCAAAGCAUCCAGGUGGAUUGGGCUUCCUUGAUCUUGAGAUAUUUAGAUGGGCACUCUUAGCCAAACAGGCACAGAGGGUUAUACAUGAUCCCACUUCUCUCAGUGGUAGGAUACUCAAAGCAGUGCACUUCCCUAACCGUUUACUUUUGGAGGCUGAGUUGGGAGGGCAUCCAUCACAGUUUUGGUGAGUAAGCCUAGAUGGGAGAGAUAUAUUAAAGCAGAAAUUAAUUCGCAUGAUUGGUAAUGGAAACACAAUGGAAGUUUGGACCCAAAACUGAAUUGAAAGAGAAUACAUGAAGAGGCCAGUGCAUCAUUGGUUCCCUAGCCACCACGCCUAGUUUCUGAACAAAUUGAUCCAACGCUCACUAGCUAGGUGAGAAGCUUGUCCGCGAGACAUUCUCGCUGAUGGAUGUUGAAACUAUCCUUGCCAUUUCAUUAUGCACCAUAAAUAUUGAUUUUUGGGCCUGGAUCAGGGUAAGUUCAUGGUCAAGUCAGACUAUCGGAUGAUCAUAAACACGAAAUUACAGAGGGAGAAUUGGAUUGAUGGCAGUGCAUGCAACUUAGAUGUCAAGACAACGAGUAAUGCAUGGAUGGAGAUGUGGAAGGUUCAGGUUCCUUCUAAGUUGAAGGUCUUCUAGUGGCAGUUUGCCCAACUUUCAGUUCCAACAGCGGACGUUCUUCGCCAUAGGAACAUGUCCACGACUUCUACUUGUGUCCUGUAUGGGACAGAGGACUUAUGGAGACAUGAUUUGAUCAAUUGUUCUAUGGCUUGGAGCGUUUGGGUCUUUGGAGCGUUUGGGUCUUUCAGAUGAGGUGUUGGUGGAACAGAUGUGUGAGAACCAUCAUGGCAAUGCAAGAAACUUCUUGUUCGCUAUGUAAGAAACUAUUUCUCAAGAAGAAUUUAUCUGUUUGGUGGUGACUCUCUGGACAAUGUGGGGAACAAGGAGAAAAGCUAUCUACGAGGAUAUUUUUCAAAGUGCAAUGUCAACUCACCUUUUUAUCACGUCUUUAUUGUCAGAGCUACAACAACUAAAGGAGCCAAGUGUAGUAAACACUACUUUCACAACAACCAGACCAGUAAAGUGGAUCGCUCUGCCAUGGGACUAGCCAAACUUAAUGUUGAUGUUGUGGUCUCAAAGAACUUGGGUGUUGGAACAGUGACAUCAGUAAGUCCAUAUCAUAAUGGUGCUUACUUGGGAGCUUUAGCGAUUAUCUUCAGGGGGAAUACAGGCCCUACAACCCUCCAAGUGCUUGGAGUCAGGGAAGCUCUUGCACUUGCUGAGGAUCUAAACUCUAGCGGGAUACAUGUCACUUCAGACUACAAAGCGGUGGUGGAAGACAUCAAGAAAUGCAGUUCGUCGAGCUAUGGCGCGAUCAUACAUGAAUCAUAGAACACUCUGUACUUUUGUGUAAUUUAUCUCGUAUUUCGAGGAUCACAAUCUGGCGAUAUUUAGGCGUUGGUCGCCAUGUCUGGUUAGGUUGACCUACGACAGCUUGGUAAGCCACCAACAAAAAAUUACAAUCAUGAUAAAAACAUUGUGACAACAUAAUAAAUCGCUUGAUUGUCAUAGAAAAACACCAACAAUGGUUGUGUUUAAAAAAAAACAGCAAUGGUGGUCUUCAGUUAGAGCAUCUUCAAUAGAAGAUGCAAAUUUGGAGAUGUAAAAUAGAUGUAAAAAUUUACAUCUCUAAAAGGUGUUUUUUAUCUCCAAAAAAGAGCCAACUCCAACAAUAGAUGAUGCAAAACGGAGAUGUAAAAGUGCAACCCCAAUAGGUGAUGUAAACCGGAGAUGUAAAAAAUUAGAAACUUCAAAUACUACUUCAUUUCAAACAUAAGUCAAACAUAGUUUGUUCAACUACUACUUUAUUUCAAACAUAAUAAACAUAGUUCUAAUUUAAACAUAAUUAAACAUAAUUCUAAUUUGAAGGACUACUACUAGUUCAAACUACUACAUCCAUCACACUACUACUCCAACGACUACUACUAGUUCACACUACUACAACUCGAAGAUGAACCUACAAUCCUCGUCGGAGCUCCUGAACUGCUCCCAGAACUCGUCCUUGUCCAGGUCGUCCUACCCUCAUCCUCCUCCUCCGUGUCACCCCAGUCCGACGAGUCAUACUCGUCGGGGAUAACUGUCGAGGGGUCGGCCUCGCCCUCCUCAUUCUUCCUCUUCUGCUCCACAUCGUGCUUCGACCAGAACUCCUGCUCGGCCUGCACACACUCCAGAUGCUCAUGUCGGAACCUCGCCAUCGCCGCCUCGUCACUGUCGUCGGGACUAACGAUAAUGGCAGGCCUCUUCUUCGCCUUCUUCGUCGUGAUCUCCUCCAUGUGAAUGCCCCUCGACAUGAGCAACUCCGCAUUCGCCUGGGUCUCGAUCUCCGGUAAGUUGAGGUCCUUCCUCGACCUCUCGGCAAGCCACAUCGCCAUGUCGUAGGCACGCGCGGCCUCAUGGACGAUGGGGUAGGUGCUGAGCCAAAAGCGGCAGCCGGCGUUGCUGAACUCCACCUCGAAGUUGCCGGAGGGCUUCGCCCUCACACCAAAGAACCCCUUCUUGCUCUUCGGGAUCUUCUUCGGCGGCAUGGCGACGACGGGAUGGGGCGGCCAAAAUGCGGUGGUCGAAUUGGGCCGAUGACAACGGCGACUGGAGGGAUGGUGGCUGAAGGCAGUGGCGGUGUUCGUGGGGCUGGGCGGUGCUGUCUAGUGGCCAAAUCGGGCGGCGGUGGCGGUGUGGUGGGUAGGCGGACGGCCAAAUCGGGCGGCGGUGUGGCGGGGAGAGGGGGAGAAUGUAGCCGAUUCACGAUGUGUGGGGCGGAGCGGCGGUGUGUUGAUGGCUGGGCGGAGGCUUGGUGGCCGGGUGGUGGCUGCGGCAACGGCGGACACGGCGGCAGAGACGAAUCGGGAGGCGGCGGCGGUGGCGGCCGAAACGCGCCGGUACCAGCGGCGGGGGUGGUGGAGAGGCCGGAUCUGGCAUGGGGCGAGAGUGGCGCAGUCCGGCGAGCGGGUGGGUGGGCAGUGGCGGCAAUGCGGCUGAGCGACAGCAAGAAGGCGAGGUGGGUGGGGAAAGGAAGUGAAACAACGGUUGGCGGCUGGCACGCGACCAACCGUUUUACAUCUCUUGCAGAUGGAGAUGUAAAUUUGUACCGCAAGGUGUUGUAGUUUACAUCACAUCUACAUUAUCUGUUGAAGAGGUGUUUUUGGUCCUCGAAGAUGCAAAAGUUACGUAUUUUUUGCAUCUACAUCUUCUUCUAUGGAGAUGUUCUUACCUACAUGAGUAAUUUGAUGAAAUGCCACACCUUUUCUGAGACUUUGCUCCUAUAGCACAUCUUUCUAUUUAUUGGACUAAAUAGCACAUUUUUCAUUGGUAACUGGAUAAAACACCACAAGUUGAGUUUUUCCUUACUUUUCCAUGCCUAAGCCGAGACGUCAUACUUUUAGGACGGAUUUGCCCUCGGUUCGUUUCACCUCGUUUUUGUUCGAUCAAAUAACGUGCUCUUAUGAACGUACAGCAGACAGAGAAACAAAGCAGUGCGCCGUCGACUCGCCGUGCCUUCUCCCUGACGCCGCUGCCUCACCUUGCCUUCUCCCAGACGUUGCCGCCUCGCCGCACCUCCUCUCCGGCAAGCCGCCGCAUCCCCAUGCCUAGCCUCCCGUUCCUAUGCAGGAAACCGCGCCAUUGGCCGCGCUCCAGCCCCUCCCUUGUCUUUGGCAGAGAAGAGACUGCGCCAGCCCUUUAAGUGCCCCUGCAGCGUGUCCCCCGUCCAUGUGUACCUCCUCGUUGUUCUGCUGGCUGACUAGCUGAAGUGGUCGAUGUACAUGUUGGUGGACUUUUGAAGUGGUCACUGUACAUUCUGGCUGGAGCUUGCUAUAGCUGCUCGUUGCUCAUGAUGUUAGCAUACGGCUCAAAUACUAGUGGCACACACUAACAGCUUUGUUACGUGUUGAUGGAUUAUCUGCAGGCACUAGGAAAGCUUCUUCAUAUGGAUGUAAUCAAACUUCAAACCCGAUAUAACAUGUUUUGAAGUAUAACUUAGUUGAUAUGGAUAUAAUCAAAAAUUUGACAACAUUUUCACCUAAAAUUAGACGCAGGACGAGGCAGCGGCGGGAGAACUGGUGGACGCGAGAGUCAUACCGAGGCAGUUGCGCACAGGGGCCGCGAGGUGGCGGCGCGCCAGGGAGGAUGCACAGGGAGGCGGCGCCGUAGGGCAUGGUGUGACGCCUCGAGUCCGUUGCGUCAGGUGUCUUCCUAUUUUUCGCUGUCUUUGCCAUGUCAUUUGCUUGCGUGUUGCAUCUUGCUAUGUUAUCAUGUGCAUUGCAUCAUCAUGUUUUCAAAACUUGCAUCCGUCCGGGUUCUCCCAAUUCUUUCCGUUGUCCGUUCUGAGCCCGUCCACUCUCGCACGCGCCUGUGGCACGUCCGAAAUAUUAUUUUAUAAGUGGCCGAAAAAUGUUCUCGGAAUGUGAUGAAAGUUGGCGUGAGGUGUUGUUAUGUUGUUAGUAGGUCGUCUGCCAAGUUUCAUCGUAUUCGGGGUCCGUUUGACGCCCCAACGGUUAACUAUAGCGGCAUUAUAGUCGGUCUAACGUCGGACGUUUUUGGUUUCCGGAAACGGUUGCCGGGUUGCAUUCCUCCUCUCUCUUCUCAGCCCAACCACACAAUUGACCUCAUUCGCCUAACCCCUCUUUGCAUAGCGCAUCGACCCCUCACGCGUGUCCGAAACUUCACCGAACCCGACCACUUAGUUGUCACCGUUGGGUCCGAUCAUCCCCAAACAUCUAUAAAACAUCACCGUUUUCUUAUUUGGACUUCCCAACCUAGUUAUCUUGGACCACCCGAUUUCGAUCGGAGGGUACGAAUCUACCCUAAACUCCCCCCUCUUUCCUUAUAUAAAAAACUCCUAGUCUAAAUCUGGACAACAGCCUAAAACCUAGGGACUUGUCCCUGCCGCCGCCGCCACACUCAUCUCCCACAUCCCCUUUGUCAAACCAAAUCCCCCUAGGGAUCCAUCCCUCCCCAACCAUCGCUCGCCACAUACAGCCUCCAGAUCCACCUCCCUCCUCGUUUUCCUCUUGCCGCCGGUGCUGCUCCAUCCGCGGCCCAAACCUGCCCAACCACCAGGGCGGAUUCCCCGAUGCUCUCUCUCCCUCUCUCUGUACUAUCCCUCCUGCCUCAAUUCUCUCUCACAGGACCACGCCGGCGACCAGGCUAGCCGCUCUCGUCUCUGGACCCACGCCCGAGUUGUGCCUCGUUCCCCAGCCGUCGCCUGCUUCGUCGAUGCUCCUAACCCGUUGCCGCCCCGUCCUUCUGCAAGCCGUGCACGUGCUGUCGCAGCAGUGCUGCCAUGGACGCCACAAGCAGAGGCUCGCCUUGCCGCGCUAGCAACCAUGGCCUCGCCUUUGCUCCUCCAAUGAUCGUCCUCGUCGUCGCCAGCAACCCCAGGUAGCAACCCUACGGCCCCCUCUGCCGCGCCUCUCCUUCCUCCUUCCCUUCCUUCUCCUCCGCGAUGCCUUCCCCUUCCUUGACCUCUAUAUUUCUCUCUUUCACAGGAGGUUGCACACGCAAUGGCACUGCCCCUGUGCUCCCGUCGAACCCCGACGCCACCUCAUCCUGCUGCCGCCGGCGACCAGCAGGAGCACCAGCCGGUGCCACCAUCAUCGGAGAUGGGGUCCCGCAGCUCAGAUUCGCGCCUUGAUCCGCUUGUUCCCGCCGAUUCCCACCGACCCCGUCGCAUGGACCCCAUGUCAUCAUCUCCUGCAUCGCGCUGGGCGUGCUGGUGUUUUUUGUUCUUCAGAAACGAGCAGCAGCUCGCCCGCUCAUCCCCGUUGACCGUGCACGUCGCCCGCUUGGGCCAGAUCCGCGUCAAGGCCCAGCCAGCAUCGCCUGCUGGCACGGGGUGAGCAGUGUUGGAAAUAUGCCCUAGAGGCAAUAAUAAAAUGGUUAUUAUUGUAUUUCCUUGUUCAUGAUAAUUGUCUAUUGUUCAUGCUAUAAUUGUAUUAACUGGAAACCGUAAUACAUGUGUGAAUAUAUAGACCACAACAUGUCCCUAGUAAGCCUCUAGUUGACUAGCUCGUUGAUCAAUAGAUGGUUAUGGUUUCCUGACCAUGGACAUUGGAUGUCGUUGAUAACGGGAUCAAAUCAUUAGGAGAAUGAUGUGAUGGACAAGACCCAAUCCUAAGCAUAGCACAAGAUCGUAUAGUUCAUCUGCUAAAGCUUUUCUAAUGUCAAGUAUCAUUUCCUUAGACCAUGAGAUUGUGGAACUCCCGGAUACCGUAGGAAUGCUUUGGGUGUGCCAAACAUCGCAACGUAACUGGGUGGCUAUAAAGGCACACUAUGGGUAUCUCCGAAAGUGUCUGUUGAGUUGGCACGAAUCAAGGCUGGGAUUUGUCACUCCGUGUGACAGAGAGAUAUCUCUGGGCCCACUUGGUAAUGCAUCAUCAUAAUGAGCUCAAUGUGACUAAUGAGUUAGCCACAGGAUCAUGUGUUACGGAACGAGUAAAGAGACUUGCCGGUAACGAGAUUGAAUGAGGUAUGGGGAUACCGACGAUCAAAUCUCGGGCAAGUAACAUACCGAUACACAAAGGGAAUUGUAUACGGGAUUGAUUGAAUCUCCGACAUCGUGGUUCAUCCGAUGAGAUCAUCGUGGAACAUGUGGGAGCCAAUAUGGGUAUCCAGAUCCCGCUAUUGGUUAUUGGCCGGAAAGAUGUCUCGGUCAUGUCUGCAUGGUUCCCUAACCCGUAGGGUCUACACACUUAAGGUUCAGUGACGCUAGAGUUGUUAUGGGAAAUAGUAUGUGGUUACCGAAGGUUGUUCGGAGUCCCGGAUGAGAUCCCGGACGUGACAAGGAGUUCCGGAAUGGUCCGGAGGUGAAGAUCGAUAUAUUGGAUGAAGGGUGUUGGAGUCCGGAAUUGUUCCGGGGGUACCGGGUGACGACCAGCGUGUCCGAAAGGGGUUUCGGAGGCCCCGGCAAGCGUUGGGGGGCCUUAUGGGCCAAGGGGAGGGGGCACAUCAGCCCACUAAGGGGCUGAGCGCCCCUCCCACCCCAUCUCACGUAACUUGGAGAGGUGGGGGUGCCUUCCCUAGGGCAGCCACCCCUCCCGGCUUGGGGGGCAAGUUUCCUAGGGGUGGGGGCGCCCAAACCCAUCUAGGGUUUUCCCUGUGGCCGCCGCCCCUCCCCUAGGGAACCCUAGGGCGCCUCCUCCACCCCCUUCCCCCUAUAUAUAGUGAGGGAGAGAGAGGGCAGCCGCACCCCUUCCCUGGCGCAGCCCCUCCCUCCUCCAACUCUUCCUUCUCCUUCGUAGAGCUUGGCGAAGCCCUGCAGGAAUACCACAAACUCCACCAACCGCGUUCUUGUAACGCUUCCUCUUAGCAAUCUUCAAGGGUAUGGCGAUGCACUCCCUCUCUCUCGUUGAUAGCAUCUCCUAGAUUGAUCUUGGUGACACGUAGGAAAAUUUUGAAUUAUUGCUACGUUCUCCAACAGUGGUAUCAGAGCUAGGUCUAUGCAUAGAUUCUAUGUACGAGUAGAACACAAAGCAGUUGUGGGCGAUGAUUUGUUCAAUUUGCUUACCGUUACUAGUCUUAUCUUGAUCCUACGGCAUUAUGGGAUGAAGCGGCCCGGACCGACUUUACACGCACGCUUACGUGAGACUGGUUUCACCGAUUGACAUGCACUUGAUGCAUAAGGUGUCUGGCAGGUGUCUGUCUCUCCCACUUUAGUCGGAUCGGAUUCAAUGAAAAGGGUCCUUAUGAAGGGUAAAUAGCAAUUGGCAUAUCACCGUUGUGGUUUUGCAUAGGUAAGAAACGUUCUUGCUAGAAACCCAUAGCAGCCAUGUAAAACAUGCAACAACAAUUAGAGGACGUCUAACUUGUUUUCGCAGGGUAUGCUAUGUGAUGUGAUAUGGCCAAAAGGAUGUGAUGAAUGAGACUGAUCAUGUUCUUGUAAUAGGAAUCACGACUUGCAUGUCGAUGAGUAUGACAGCCGGCAGGAGCCAUAGGAGUUGUCUUAAUUUAUUUAAGACCUGCGUGUCAAUGAAAAUGCCAUGUAAUUAUUUUACUUUAUUGCUAACCGUUAGCCAUAGUAGUAGAAGUAAUAGUUGGCGAGGCAACUUCAUGAAGACACGAUUAUGGAGAUCAUGAUGAUGGAGAUCAUGGUGUCAUGCCCGUGACGAUGGUGUUCAUGCCGCGCCUCGAAGAUGGAGAUCAAAGGCGCAAGAUGAUAUUGGCCAUAUCAUGUCACUUUAUGAUUUGCAUGUGAUGUUUGUCAUGUUUACAUCUUAUUUGCUUAAAAUGACGGUAGCAUAAAUAAGAUGAUCCCUCACUAAAAUUUCAAGAAAGUGUUCCCCCUAAUUAUGCACCAUCGCGAAGGUUCGUUGUUUCGAAGCACCACGUGAUGAUCGGGUGUGAUAGGUUCUAACAUUCGCAUACAACGGUGUAAGCCAGAUUUACACAUGCGAAACACUUAGGUUGACUUGACGAGCCUAGCAUGUACAGACAUGGCCUCGGAACACAAGAGACCGAAAGGUACAUGAGUCGUAUAGUAGAUAUGAUCAACAUGAAGAUGUUCACCGAUGAUUACUAGUCCGUCUCACGUGAUGAUCGGACACGGCCUAGUUGACUCGGAUCAUGUAUCACUUAGAUGACUAGAGGGAUGUCUAUCUAAGUGGGAGUUUAUUAAAUAAUCAGAUGAACUUAAUUAUCAUGAACAUAGUCAAAAGGUCUUUGCAAAUUAUGUUGUAGCUUACACUUUAGUUCUACUGUUUAAGAUAUGUUCGUAGAGAAAAUUUAGUUGAAAGUUGAUAGUAGAAAUUUGAAGGAAAUACGCCCUAGAGGCAAUAAUAAAGUUAUUAUUUAUUUCCUUAUAUCAUGAUAAAUGUUUAUUAUUCAUGCUAGAAUUGUAUUAACCGGAAACAUAAUACAUGUGUGAAUACAUAGACAAACAGAGUGUCACUAGUAUGCCUCUACUUGACGAGCUCAUUGAUCAAAGAUGGUUAUGUUUCCUAACCAUAGACAUGAGUUGUCAUUUGAUUAACGGGAUCACAUCAUUAGGAGAAUGAUGUGAUUUACUUGACCCAUUCCGUUAGAUUAGCACUUGAUCGUUUAGUUUGUUGCUAUUGCUUUCUUCAUGACUUAUACAUGUUCCUAUGACUAUGAGAUUAUGCAACUCCCGUUUACCGGAGGAACACUUUGUGUGCCACCAAAUGUCACAGCGUAACUCGGUGAUUAUAAAGGUGCUCUAUAGGUGUCUCCGAAGGUACUUGUUGGGUUGGCGUAUUUCAAGAUUAGGAUUUGUCACUCCGAUUGUCGGAGAGGUAUUUCUGGGCCCACUCGGUAAUGCACAUCACUAUAAGCCUUGCAAGCAUUACAACUAAUGAGUUAGUUGCAGGAUGAUGUAUCACGGAACGAGUAAAGAGACUUGCCGGUAACGAGAUUGAACUAGGUAUUGAGAUACCGACGAUCGAAUCUCGGACAAGUAACAUACGAUGACAAAGGGAACAACGUAUGUUGUUAUGCGGUCUGACCGAUAAUGAUCUUCGUAGAAUAUGUAGGAGCCAAUAUGGGCAUCCAGGUCCCGCUAUUGGUUAUUGACCAAAGAGGUGUCUCGGUCAUGUCUACAUAGUUCUCGAACCCGUAGGGUCCGCACGCUUAACAUUCGUUGACGAUAUAGUACUAUAUGAGUUAUGUAUGUUGGUGACCGAAUGUUGUUCGGAGUCCGGGAUGAGAUCAUGGACACGACGAGGAACUCCGGAAUGGUCCGAAGAUAUAGUUUGAUAUAUGGGAUAAUAGUGUUUGGUCACUGGAAGGGUUCCGGAAUUCACCGGAAGGGGUUCUGGAUGUUUCCCGAAAUGUUUGGGUACGAGAACACUUUAUUUGGGCCAAAGGGGAAAGCCCACAAGGUUUUUGGAAAGCACAAAAGGAAGUUUUGCGGAGUCCAGGGGCUAGACGCCGGUGUCCCUGGCGUCUGGACCCUGGCAUCUGGGUCCAGAUGGCGGGAACCCUGGUGUCUGGCCCUAGAGUCCGAGAAGGACUCUUGCCUUUCUGGUGAAACCGACUUUGUGGAGGCUUUUACUCCAAGUUUCGACCCUAAGGCUCAACAUAUAAAUAGAGGGGUAGGGCUAGCACCCAAGACACAUCAAGAAACACCAAGCCGUGUGCCGGCAACCCCGUCCCCUCUAGUUUAUCCUCCGUCCUAGUUUUCGUAGUGCUUAGGCGAAGCCCUGCGGAGAUUGUUCUUCACCAACACCGUCACCACGCCGUCGUGCUGCCGGAAGUCAUCUACUACUUCGCCCCUCUUGCUGGAUCGAGAAGGCGAGGACGUCACCGAGCCGAACGUGUGCAGAACUCGGAGGUGCCGUGCUUUCGGUACUUGGAUCGGUCGGAUCAUGAAGACGUACGACUACAUCAACCGCGUCGCUUCCGCUUUCGGUCUACGAGGGUACGUGGACAACACUCUCCCCUCUCAUUGCUAUGCAUCACCAUGAUCUUGCGUGUGCGUAGGAAAAUUUUGAAAUUACUACGUUCCCAACAGUGGUAUCAGAGCCUGGUUUUAUGCGUAGAUGUCAUAUGCACGAGUAGAACACAAGUGAGUUGUGGGCGAUAUAAGUCAUACUUCUUACCAGCAUGUCAUACUUUGGUUCAGCGGUAUUGUUGGAUGAAGCGGCCCGGACCGACAUUACGCGUACGCUUACGCGAGACUGGUUCUACCGACGUGCUUUGCACACAGGUGGCUGGCGAGUGUCAGUUUCUCCAACUUUAGUUGAACCAAGUGUGGCUACGCCCGGUCCUUGCGAAGGUUAAAACAUCACCAACUUGACAAACUAUCAUUGUGGUUUUGAUGCACAGGUAAGAACGGUUCUUGCUCAGCCCGUAGCAGCCACGUAAAACUUGCAACAACAAAGUAGAGAACGUCUAACUUGUUUUUGCAGGGCAUGUUGUGAUGUGAUAUGGUCAAGACGUGAUGAGAUAUAAGUUGUUGUAUGAGAUGAUCAUGUUUUGUUGAAGUUAUCGGCAAAUGGCAAAAGCCUUAUGGUUGUCUCUCUAUUGCAUAAGAUGCAAGCGCUAAAUAAUUGCUUUACUUUAUCGCUAUGCGAUAGCAAUAGUUGCAAGAGCAAUAGUUGGCGAGAUGACCAUGUGACGACACAUUGAUAUAUAUCAAGAUGAUGGAGAUCAUGGUGUCAUGCCGGUGACGAUGGAGAUCACGACGAUGCUUUGGAGAUGGAGAUCAAAGGCACAAGAUGAUGAUGGCCAUAUCAUGUCACAUAUUAUGAUUGCAUAUGAUGUUUAUCUUUUAUACAUCUUAUUUUGCUUAGUUCGGCGGUAGCUUUAUAAGAUGAUCUCUCACUAAAUUAUCAAGGUAUAAGUGUUCUCCCUGAGUAUGCACCGUUGCGAAAGUUCUUCCUGCUGAGACACCAUGUGAUGAUCGGGUGUGAUAGGCUCUACGUUCAAAUACAAUGGGUGCAAAACAGUUGCACACGCGGAAUACUCAGGUUAAACUUGACGAGCCUAGCAUAUAACAGAUAUGGCCUCGGAACACGGAGACCGAAAGGUCGAGCGUGAAUCAUAUAGUAGAUAUGAUCAACAUAGUGAUGUUCACCAUUGAAACUACUCCAUCUCACAUGAUGAUCGGACAUGGUUUAGUUGAUAUGGAUCACGUGAUCACUUAGAUGAUUAGAGGGAUGUCUAUCUAAGUGGGAGUUCUUAAGUAAUAUGAUUAAUUGAACUUUAAUUUAUCAUGAACUUAGUCCUGAUAGUACUUGCAUAUCUAUGUUGUAGAUCAAUAGCUCGCGUUAUUGCUUCCCUGUGUUUUAUAUGUGUUCCUAGAGAAAACUAAGUUGAAAGAUGAUAGUAGCAAUGCGGACUGGGUCCGUGAUCUGAGGUUUAUCCUCAUUGCUGCACAGAAGAAUUAUGUCCUUGAUGCACCGCUAGGUGACUGACCUAUUGCAGGAGCAGAUGCAGAUGUUAUGAACGUUUGGCUAGCUCAAUAUGAUGACUACUUGAUAGUUUAGUGCACCAUGCUUAACAAUUUAGAAUUGGGACUUCAAAGACGUUUUGAACGUCAUGGACCAUAUGAGAUGUUCCAGGAGUUGAAGUUAAUAUUUCAAGCAAAUACCCGAGUUGAGAGAUAUGAAGUCUCCAACAAGUUCUAUAGCUAAAAGAUGGAGGAGAAUAGCUCAAGCAGUGAGCAUGUGCUCAGAUUGUCUGGGGUACUACAAUCGCUUGAAUCAAGUGGGAGUUAAUCUUCCAGAUAAAAUGGUGAUUGACAGAAUUCUCUAGUCACCAUCACCAAGUUAGUAGAACUUUGUGAUGAACUAUAAUAUGCAAGGGAUGAUGAAAGUAACUCCCAAGCUCUUCGUGAUGCUGAAAUUGACGAAGGUAGAAAUCAAGAAAAACAUCAAGUGUUGAUGGUUAACAAGACCACUAGUUUCAAGAAAAGGGCAAAGGGAAUAAGGGGAACUUCAAGAAGAACGACAAGCAAGUUGCUGCUCAAGUGAAAAAACCCAAGUCUGGACCUAAGCCUAAGACUAAGUGCUUCUACUGCAAAGGGACUGGUCACUGGAAGCGGGACUACCCCAAGUAAUUGGCGGAUAAGAAAGAUGGCAGAGUGAACAUAGGUAUAUUUGAUAUACAUGUAAUUGAUGUGUACUUUACUAGUGUUUAUAGCAACCCCUUAGUAUUUGAUACUAGUUCAGUUGCUAAGAAUAGUAACUCGAAACAGGAGUUGCAGAAUGAACAGAGACUAGUUAAGGGUGAAGUGACAAUGUGUAUUGGAAAUGGUUCCAAGAUUGAUAUUAUCAUCAUCGCACACUCCCUAUACUUUCAGGAUUAGUGUUAAACCUAAAAUAAAUGUUAUUUAGUGUUUGCAUUGAGCAUGAAUAUGAUUGGAUCAUGUUUAUUGCAAUACAAUUAUUCAUGUAAGUUAGAGAAUAAUUGUUGUUUUGUUUACAUGAAUAAAACCUUCUAGGGUCAUACACCCAAUGAAAAUGGUUUGUUGGAUCUCGGUCGUGGUGAUACACAUUUUCAUAAUAUUGAAGCCAAAAGAUGCAAAGUUAAUAAUGAUAGUGCAACUUAUUUGUGGCACUGCCGUUUAGGUUAUAUUGGUGUAAAGCGCAUGAAGAAAAUCCAUGCUGAUGGGCUUUUGGAAUCACUUGAUUAUGAAUCAGUUGAUGCUUGCGAACCAUGCCUCAUGGGCAAGAUGACUAAGACUCUGUUCUCCGGAACAAUGGAGCAAGCAAGAGAUUUGUGGUAAAUCAUACAUACUAAUGUAUGUGGUCCGAUGAAUAUUGAGGCUCGCGACAUGUAUCAUUAUUUUCUGAUCUGCACAGAUGAUUUGAGCAGAUAUGAGUAUAUCUACUUGAUGAAACACAAGUCUAAAACAUUUGAAAAGUUCAAAGAAAUUCAGAGUGAAGUGGAGAAUCAUCAUAACAAAAAUAAAAGUUUCUAAGAUAUGAUCGCAGAAGUAAAAUAUUUGAGUUACGAGUUUGGCCUUCAGUUAAAACAAUGUGAAAUAGUUUCACUACUCACGCCACCUGGAACACCACAGUGUAAUGGUGUGUCCGAAUGUCGUAAUCGUACUUUAUUAGAUAUGGUGCGAUCUAUGAUGUUUCUUACCAAUUUACCACUAUCGUUUUGGGGUUAUGCAUUAGAGACAGCUACAUUCACGUUAAAUAGGGCACCAUCUAAAUCCGUUGAGAUGACACCGUAUGAACUAUGGUUUGGCAAGAAACCUAAGCUGUCGUUUCUUAAAGUUUGAGGUUGCAAUGCUUAUGUGAAAAAGUUUCAACCUGAUAAGCUCAAACCCAAAUCGGAGAAGUGCGUCUUCAUAGGAUACCCAAAAGAAAAUGUUGGGUACACCUUCUAUCACAGAUCCGAAGGCAAGAUAUUCAUUGUUGAGAAUGGAUCCUUUCUAGAGAAGGAAUUUCUCUCGAAAGAAGUGAGUGGGAGGAAAGUAGAACUUGAUGAGGUAACUGUACCUGCUCCCUUAUUGGAAAGUAGUUUAUCACAGAAAUCUGUUCCUGUGACUACUACACCAAUUAGUGAGGAAGCUAAUGAUGAUGAUCAUGUAACUUCAGAUCAAGUUACUACCGAACCUCGUAGGUAAACCAGAGUGAGAUCCGCACUAGAGUGGUACGGUAAUCCUAUUUUGGAGGUCAUGUUACUUGACCAUGACGAACCUAUGAACUAUGAGGAAGCGAAGAUGAGCCCGGAUUCCGCGAAAUGGCUUGAGGCCAUGAAAUCUGAGAUGAGAUCCAUGUAUAAGAACAAAGUAUGGACUUUGAUUGACUUGCCCAAAGAUCGGCGAGCCAUUGAGAUUAAAUGGAUCUUCAAGAGGAAGACGGACGCUGAUAGUAGUGUUACUAUCUACAAAGCUAGAAUUGUCGCAAAAAGGUUUUCGACAAGUUCAAGGUGUUGACUACGAUGAGAGUUUCUCACUCGUAUCUAUGCUUAAGAGGUCCGAAUCAUGUUAGCAAUUGCCGCAUUUUAUGAAAUCUGGCAAAUGGAUAAACAAAACUGCAUUCCUUAAUGGAUUUAUUAAAGAAGAGUUGUAUAUGAUGCAACCAGAAGGUUUUGUCAAUCCUAAAGGUACUAACAAAAUAUGUAAGCUCCAGCGAUCCAUCUGUGGACUGGUGCAAGCAUCUCGGAGUUGGAAUAUACGCUUUGAUAAGUUGAUCAAAUCAUAUAGUUUUAUAUAGACUUGCGGUGAAGCCUGUAUUUACAAGAAAGUGAGUGGAGCACUACAACAUUUCUGAUAAGUAUACGUGAAUGACAUAUUGUUGAUCGGAGAUAAUGUAGAAUUAUUCUGCAAAGCAUAAAGGAGUGUUUAAGAGGAGUUUUUCAAAGAAAGACCUCGGUGAAGCUGCUUACAUAUUAAGCAUCAAGAUCUAUAGAGAUAGAUCAAGACGCUUGAUAAAGUUUUUUAAUGAGUACAUACCUUGACAAGAUUUUGAAGUAGUUCAAAAUGGAACAGUCAAAGAAAGAGUUCUUGCCUGUGUUACAAGGUGUGAAGUUGAGUAAGACUCAAAACCCGACCACGGCAGAAGAUAGAGAGAGAAUGAAAGUCAUUCUCUAUGCCUCAGCCAUAGGUUCUAUAAAGUAUGCCAUGCUGUGUACUAGAUCUAUUGUAUACCCUGCCCUGAGUUUGGCAAGGGAGUACAAUAGUGAUCUAGGAGUAGAUCACUGGACAUUGGUCAAAAUUAUCCUUAGUGGAAUAAGGAUAUGUUUCUCGAUUAUGGAGAUGACAAAAGGUUCGUCGUAAAGGGUUACGUCGAUGCAAGUUUUGACACUGAUCUAGAUGACUCAAAGUCUCAAUCUGGAUACAUAUUGAAAGUGGGAGCAAUUAGCUAGAAUAGCCCCGUAUAGAGCAUUGUUGACAUAGAAAUUUGCAAAAUACAUACAGAUCUGAAUGUGGCAGACUCAUUGACUAAACUUCCCUCACAAGCAAAACAUGAUCACACCUUAGUACUCUUUGGGUAUUAAUCACAUAGCGAUGUGAACUAGAUUAUUGACUCUAGUAAACCCUUUGGGUGUUGGUCACAUGACGAUGUGAACUAUGGGUGUUAAUCACAUGGUGAUGUGAACUAUUGAUGUUAAAUCACAUGGCGAUGUGAACUAGAUUAUUGACUCUAGUGCAAGUGGGAGACUGAAGGAAAUAUGCCCUAGAGGCAAUAAUAAAGUUAUUAUUUAUUUCCUUAUAUCAUGAUAAAUUCUUAUUAUUCAUGCUAGAAUUGUAUUAACCGGAAACAUAAUACAUGUGUGAAUACAUAGACAAACAGAGUGUCACUAGUAUGCCUCUACUUGACUAUCUCGUUGAUCAAAGAUGGUUAUGUUUCCUAACCAUAGACAUGAGUUGUCAUUUGAUUAAUGGGAUCACAUCAUUAGGAGAAUGAUGUGAUUGACUUGACCCAUUCCGUUAGCUUAGCACUUGAUCGUUUAGUUUGUUGCUAUUGCUUUCUUCAUGACUUAUACAUGUUCCUAUGUCUAUGAGAUUAUGCAACUCCCGUUUACCGGAGAAACACUUUGUGUGCCACCAAACGUCACAAUGUAACUGGGUGAUUAUAAAGGUGCUCUACAGGUGUCUCCGAAGGUACUUGUUGGGUUGGCGUAUUUCGAGAUUAGGAUUUGUCACUCCGAUUGUCAGAGAGGUAUCUCUGGGCCCACUCGGUAAUGCACAUCACUAUAAGCCUUGCAAGCAUUGCAACUAAUGAGUUAGUUGCGGGAUGAUGUAUCAUGGAACGAGUAAACAGACUUGCCAGUAACGAGAUUGAACUAGGUAUUGAGAUACCGACGAUCGAAUCUCGGACAAGUAACAUACCGAGGACAAAGGGAACAACGUAUGUUGUUAUGCGGUAUGACCGAUAAUGAUCUUCGUAGAAUAUGUAGGAGCCAAUAUGGGCAUCCAGGUCCCGCUAUUGGUUAUUGACCAGAGAGGUGUCUUGGUCAUGUCUACAUAGUUCUUGAACCCAUAGGGUCUGCACGCUUAACGUUCGUUGACGAUAUAGUACUAUAUGAGUUAUGUAUGUUGGUGACCGAAUGUUGUUCGGAGUCCGGGAUGAGAUCAGAGACAUGACGAGGAACUCCAGAAUGGUCCGGAGAUAAAGUUUGAUAUAUGGGAUAAUAGUGUUUGGUCACCAAAAGGGUUCCGGAAUUCACCGGAAGGGGUUCCGGAUGUUUCCCGAAAUGUUUGGGUACAAGAACACUUUAUUUGGGCCAAAGAGGAAAGCCCAUAAGGUUUUUGGAAAGCGCAAAAGGAAGUUUUGCGGAGUCCAGGGGCCAGACGCCAGGGUCCCUGGCGUUUGGGUCCAGACGCCGGGAACCCUGGCGUCUGGCCCUGGAGUCCGAGAAGGACUCUUGCCUUUCGGGUGAAACCGACUUUGUGGAGGCUUUUACUCCAAGUUUCGACCCCAAGGAUCAACAUAUAAACAGAAGGGUAGGACUAGCACCCAAGACACAUCAAGAAACACCAAGCCGUGUGCCGGCAACCCUGCCCCCUCUAGUUUAUCCUCCGUCCUAGUUUUCGUAGUGCUUAGGCGAAGCCCUGCGGAGAUUGUUCUUCACCAAUACCGUCACCACGCCGUCGUGCUUCCGGAACUCAUCUACUACUUCGCCCCUCUUGCUGGAUUGAGAAGGCGAGGACGUCACCGAGCCGAACGUGUGCAGAACUCGGAGGUGCCGUGCUUUCGGUACUUGGAUCGGUCGGAUCAUGAAGACGUACGACUACAUCAACCGCGUUGAUAUAACGCUUCCGCUUUCGAUCUACGAGGGUACGUGGACAACACUCUCCCCUCUUGUUGCUAUGAAUCACCAUGAUCUUGCGUGUGCGUAGGAAAUUUUUUGAAAUUACUAUGUUCCCCAACAAAAUUAUGCGGACUGGGUCCGUCAACUGAGGAUUAUCCUCAUUGCUGCGCAGAAGGCUUAUGUCCUGAAUGCACCGCUCGGUGUGCUGAACCUCGAGCGUCGUCUGUAGAUGUUGGGAAACAUCUGACAUACGCAUUUUGAUGACUACAUGAUAGUUCAGUGCGUAAUGCUAACGGUUUAGAAUUGUGGCAUCAAAGACGUUUUUGAAACAUUGCAGAACAUAUGAGAUGUUCCAAAGACUUAAAUUGGGAUUUCAGACUAGUGCCCACGUCAAGAGGUAUGAGACCUCUGACAAGUUUCUUAAGCCUGUAAACUAAGGGAGAAAACAUCAAUCGUUGAGCAUGUGCUCAGAUUGUCUGAGUACUACAAUCGCUUGAAUCGAGUGGGAGUUAAUCUUCCAGAUGAGAUAGUGAUGGUUCUCCAUAGUCACUGCCACCAAACUAUUAGAGCUUCGUGAUGAACUAUAACAUAUCAGGGAUAGACAUGAUGAUCCUUGAGCAACUCGCGAUGUUUGACACCGCCAAAGUAGAAAUCAAGUAGGAGGAUCAAUUGUUGAUGGUUAAACCACUAGUUUCAAGAAUGGCAAGGGAAAGAAGGGAUACUUCAUGAAACGGCAAAUCAGUUGCUGCUCUAGUGAAGAAACCCAAGGUUGAACCCAAACCCGAGACUAAGUGUUUCUGUAAUGAGGGGAACGGUCACUGAAGCAGAACUACCCUAGAUACUUGGUAGAUGAGAAGGCUGGCAAGGUCGACAGAGGUAUUUUGAAUAUACGUUAUAUUAUUGUGUACUUUACUAGUACUCCUAGUAGCACCAGGGAAAAAAAUACCGGUUCGAUUGCUAAGUGUUAGUAACUCGAAAUAAAAGGUUGCGGAGACUAGCUAAAGGUGAGAUGAGGAUAUGUGUUGGAAGUGUUUCCAAGGUUGAUGUGAUCAAACAUCGCACGCUCCCUCUACCAUCGGGAUUGGUGUUAAACCUAAAUAAUUGUUAUUUGGUGUUUGCGUUGAGCAUAGAUAUUAUUGGAUUAUGUUUAUCGCAAGACGGUUAUUCAUUUAAGGAGAAUAAUGGUUACUCUGUUUAUUUGAAUAAUACCUUCAAUGGUCUUGCACCUAAAAUGAAUGGUUUAUUGAAUCUCGGUUGUAGUGAUACACAUGUUCAUGCCAAAAGAUAUAAGAUAGUAAUGAUAGUACCACAUACUUGUGGCACUGCCAUUUGAGUCAUGUUGGUAUAAAACGCAUGAAGAAGCUCCAUGUUGAUGGAUCUUUGGACUCACUCGUUUUUGAAAAGAUUGAGACAUUUGAACCAUGUCUAUUGGUAGAUAUGCAUGAAGAAACUCCAUACAGAUGGAUCAUUUGGACUCACUUGAUUUUGAAUCACUUAAGACAUGCAAAUCAUACCACACGGGCAAGAUGACUGAAAGGCCUCGUUUUCAGUAAGAUGGAACAAGAAAGCAACUUGUUGGAAGUAAUACAUUUUGAUGUGUGCAGUCCAAUGAGUGCUGAGGCACGCAGUGGAUAUUGUUAUGUUCUUACUUCACAGAUGAUUUGAGUAGAUGCUGAGUAUAUUUACUUGAUGAAACACAAGUCUGAAUUAUUGAAAGGUUUAAGUAAUUUCAUAAUGAAGCUGAAGAUCGUCGUGACAAGAUGAUAAAAUGUCUAUGAUAUGAUCAUAGAGAUGAAUAUCUGAGUUACGAGUUUGGCACACAAUUAAGACAUUGUGGAAAUUGUUUCACAACUAAUACCGCCUGGACAACCAUAGUGUGAUGGUGCGUCCGAACAUCAUAACUGCACCCUAUUGGAUAUGGUGCAUACCAUGAUGUCUCUUUUCGAAUUACCACUAUCGUUUAUGGGUUAGGCAUUAGAGACAACCACAUUCACUUUAAAUAGGGCACCACACAAUUCCGUUGAGACGACACCAUAUGAACUAUGGUUUAGAAAAAUCUAAGCUGUCAUUUCUUAAAAGUUUGGGGCUGCGACGCUUAUGUGAAAAAGUUUCAGGCUGAUAAGCUCGAACCCAAAGCGGAUAAAUGCAUCUUCAUAGAAUACCCAAAACAGUUGGGUAUACCUCCUAUUUCAGAUCCGAAAGCAAAAGUGAUUGUUUCUAGAAACGGGUCCUUUCCCGAGGAAAAGUUUCUCUCGAAAGAAUUGAGUGGGGGGAUGAUGGAGACUUGAUGAGGUUAUUGAACCGUCACUUCAACUAGUGUGUAGCAGGGCACAUGAAGUUGUUCCUGUGGCACCUACACCAAUUGAAGUGGAAGCUUAUGAUAGUGAUCAUGAAACUUCGUAUCAAGUCACUACCAAACCUCAUAGGUCAACAAGGAUGUGUACUACUUUAGAGUGGUACAUAAUCCUGUCUUGGAAGUCAUGUUGCUAGACAACAAUGAACCUACGAGCUAUGGAGAAGCGAUGGUGGGCCCGGAUUCCAACGAAUGGCUCGAGGCCAUAAAAUCCGAGAGAGGAUCCAUGUAUAAAAACAAAGUAUAGACUUUGGAAGAACUACUUUAUGGUUGUAAGGCUGUUGGGUGCAGAUGGAUUUUAAAAGGAAGACGGACAAUGAUGGUAAGUGUCACCAUUAAGAAAGCUCGACUUGUCGUUAAGAUGUUUUCCGACAAGUUCAAGGAGUUGACUACAAUGAGACUUUCUCACUUGUAGAGAUGCUAAGAGUCUAUUGGAAUUAUGUUAGCAGUUACUGCAUUAUUUAUGAAAUCUUGCAGAUAGGAUGUCAAAACAUUGUUUCCUCGACGAUUUUCUUGAGGAAAGGUUGUAUGUGAUACAACCAGAAGGUUUUGUCAAUCCCGAAAGAUGCUAACAAGUAUGCAAAGCUCCAGCAAUCCUUCUAAGGACUGGAGUAAGCAUCUCGGAGUUGGAAUGUACACUUUGAUGAGAUGAUCAAAGAUUUUGGGUUUAUACAAAGUUUAUGAGAAACUUGUAUUUCCAAAGAAGUGAGUGGGAGCACUAUAGAAUUUUUGAUGAGUAUAUGUUGUUAACAUAUUGUUGAUCAGAAAUGAUGUAGAAUUUCGGUAAAGCAUACAGGGUUAUUUGAAAAGUGUUUUUCAAUGGAAAACCUGGAUUAAGCUACUUGAACAUUGAGCAUCAAGAUCUAUAAGGAUAGAUCAAAAAUGCUUAAUAGUACUUUCAAAUGAAUACAUACCGUGACAAGAUUUUGAAGGAGUUCAAAAUAGAUCGGCAAAGAAGGAGUUCUUGGCUGUGUUACAAGCUGUGAGUAUUGAGUAAGACUCAAGACCUGACCACGGUAGAAGAGAGAGAAAGGAGGAAGGUCGUCCCCUAUGCUUUAGACGUAGGCUCUACAGUAUGCUAUGUUGUGUACCGCACCUGAAGUGUGCCUUGCCAUGAGUCAGUCAAGGGGUACAAGAGUGAUCCAGGAAUGGAUCACAUGACAGCGGUCGAACUUAUCCUUAGUAACUAGUGGACUAAGGAAUUUUCUCGAUAUGGAGGUGGUAAAAGAGUUCGUCGUAAAGGGUUACGUCGAUGCAAACUUUGACACUAAUCCGGAUGACUCUGAGUAGUAAACCAGAUUCAUAUAGUAGAGCGGUUAUUUGGAAUAGCUCCAAGUAGCGCAUGGUAGCUGCAUCUACAAUAUGACAUAGAGAUUUGUAAAGCACACAUGGAUCUGAAAGGUUCAGACCCAUUGACUAAUAAACCUCUUUCGCAAGCAAGAUAUGAACAAACCCCAUGGGUGUUGGAUUCAUUACAAUCACAUAAUGAUGUGAACUAGAUUAUUGACUCUAGUGCAAGUGGGAGACUGUUGGAAAUAUGCCCUAGAGGCAAUAAUAAAAUGGUUAUUAUUCUAUUUCCUUGUUCAUGAUAAUUGUCUAUUGUUCAUGCUAUAAUUGUAUUAACUAGAAACCGUAAUACAUGUGUGAAUACAUAGACCACAACAUGUCCCUAGUAAGCCUCUAGUUGACUAGCUCGUUGAUCAAUAGAUGGUUACGGUUUCCUAACCAUGGACAUUGGAUGUCGUUGAUAACGGGAUCACAUCAUUAGGAGAAUGAUGUAAUGGACAAGACCCAAUCCGAAGCAUAGCACAAGAUCGUAUAGUUCGUAUGCUAAAGCUUUUCUAAUGUCAAGUAUCAUUUCCUUAGACCAUGAGAUUGUGGAACUCCCGAAUACCAUAGGAAUGCUUUGGGUGUGCCAAACAUCGCAACGUAACUGGGUGGCUAUAAAGGCACACUAUGGGUAUCUCUGAAAGUGUCUGUUGGGGCUGCACGAAUCGAGACUGGGAUUUGUCACUCCGUGUGACGGAGAGAUAUCUCUGGGCCCACUCGGUAAUGCAUCAUCAUAAUGAGCUCAAUGUGACUAAUGAGUUAGCCACAGGAUCAUGCGUUAUGGAACGAGUAAAGAGACUUGUCGGUAACGAGAUUGAACGAGGUAUGGGGAUACCGACGAUCGAAUCUCAGGCAAGUAACAUAUCGAUAGACAAAGGGAAUUGUAUACGGGAUUGAUUGAAUCCCCGACAUCGUGGUUCAUCCGAUGAGAUCAUCAUGGAACAUGUGGGAGCCAAUAUGGGUAUCCAGAUCCCGAUAUUGGUUAUUGGCUGGAGAGAUGUCUCGGUCAUGUCUGCAUGGUUCCCGAAGCCGUAGGGUCUACACACUUAAGGUCCGGUGACGCUAGAGUUGUUAUGGGAAAUAUUAUGUGGUUACCAAAGGUUGUUCGGAGUCCCGGAUGAGAUCCCGGACGUGACGAGGAGUUCCGGAAUGGUCCGGAGAUGAAGAUCGAUAUAUUGGAUGAAGGGUAUUGAAGUCCGGAAUUGCUCCGGGGGUACCGGGUGACGACCAGCGUGUCCGAAAGGGGUUUCGGAGGCCCCGACAAGCGUUGGGGGGCCUUAUGGGCCAAGGGGAGGGGGCACAUCAGCCCGCUAAGGGGCUGAGCACCCCUCCCACCACAUCUCACGUAACUUGGAGAGGUGGGGGCGCCUCCCCUAGGGCAGCCACCCCUCCCGGCUUGGGGGGCAGGUUUCCUAGAGGUGGGGGCGCCCAAACCCAUCUAGGGUUUUCCCUGUGGCCGCCGCCCCUCCCCUAGGGAACCCUAGGGCGCCUCCUCCACCCCCUUCCCCCUAUAUAUAGUGAGGGAGAGAGAGGGCAGCCGCACCCCUUCCCUGGCGCAGCCCCUCCCUCCUCCAACUCUUCCUUCUCCUGCGUAGAGCUUGGCGAAGCCCUGCAGGAAUACCACAAACUCCACCACCACGCCGUCGUGCUGCCGGAGUUCUCCCUCAACUUCUCCUCUCCUAUUGCUGGAUUAAGAAGGAGGAGACGUCCCCGGGCUGUACGUGUGUUAAACACGGAGGCGCCGUCCGUUCGGCGCUAGAUCGGAUCUUCCGCGAUUUGAAUCGCCGCGAGUACGACUCCAUCAACCGUGUUCUUGCAACGCUUCCGCUUAGCGAUCUUCAAGGGUAUGAAGAUGCACUCCCUCUCUCUCGUUGCUAGCAUCUCCUAGAUCGAUCUUGGUGACACGUAGGAAAAUUUUGAAUUAUUUCUACGUUCCCCAACAAGCAGCCCCCUGGCUUUGCUACCUCUUGAGCUUGCGUUGGAUUUCCCCGAAGAGGAAAGGAUGAUGCAGCAGAGUAGCGUAAGUAUUUCCCUCAGUUUUUGAGAACCAAGGUAUCAAUCCAGUAGGAGGCCACGCUCAAGUCCCUCAUACCUGAACAAAACGAUAGCUACUCGCAACCAACGCGAUUAGAGGUUGUCAAUCCCUUCACGGUCACUUACGAGAGUGAGAUCUGAUAGAUAUAAUAUUUUUGGUAUUUUUGGUAUAGAGAUGCAAGGUGAAAAGUAAAAGGCAAAGUAAAAAAGCAAAGCAAGAUUAAAGUGAUGGAGAUUGAUAUGAUCAGAAUAGACCCGGAGGCCAUAGGUUUCACUAGUGGCUUCUCUCAACAACAUAAGUAUUCUACGGUAGGUGAACAAAUUAAUGUUGAGAAAUUGACAAAAUUGAGCAUAGCUAUGAGAAUAUCUAGGCAUGAUCAUGUAUAUAGGCUGUAACACCCCGGAUGUAACUUUCCCAAUUUGUACUCCAACUCUUGCCGUUUCUGGCGUUAAGUUAUUUUAUUUUUCUCGGGUUCAGGUCUUUGUCUUCGUGUGUUGUUAUCGUUGUCAUGCAUCUCAUAUCAUGCCAUCAUGUGCAUUGCAUUUGCAUACGUGUUCGUCUCUUGCAUUCGAGCAUUUUCCCCGUUGUCCGUUUUGCAUUCCGGCGCUUCGUUCUCCUCCGGUGUUCAUUUCUAGCUUUCUUUCAUGUGUGGGGAUUAAACAUUUCCGGAUUGGACCAAGACUUUCCAAGCGGCCUUGGUUUACUACCGGUAGACCGCCUGUCAAGUUUCGUAUCAUUUGGACUUCGUUUGAUACUCCAACGGUUAACCGAGGGACCGAAAAGGCCUCGUGUGUGUUGCAGCCCAACACCCCUCCAAUUUGGCUCAAAACCCACCUACCUCUGCUCCAUCAUCUAGAGCGUUCGAUCACGAUCGCAUGGCCGAAAACCGCACCUCAUUUGGACUCCCCUAGCUCCCUCUACCUCUAUUUAAAGAACCCCUCCAUUUUCGGAUCUCCUUCUCCUCCGAAACCCUAAAAAAAUCGCCCCGCCGCGCCGGACAUGUCCGCCCCUGAUCGGACUCUUCGUGCCGCCGCGCCCGGCCAGUGAAACGCUGCAACGUGGCCUCCCUGCGCCGCCUCCUUCGCCGGCCCGCCGCGCCGCCUNNNNNNNNNNNNNNNNNNNNNNNNNNNNNNNNNNNNNNNNNNNNNNNNNNNNNNNNNNNNNNNNNNNNNNNNNNNNNNNNNNNNNNNNNNNNNNNNNNNNNNNNNNNNNNNNNNNNNNNNNNNNNNNNNNNNNNNNNNNNNNNNNNNNNNNNNNNNNNNNNNNNNNNNNNNNNNNNNNNNNNNNNNNNNNNNNNNNNNNNNNNNNNNNNNNNNNNNNNNNNNNNNNNNNNNNNNNNNNNNNNNNNNNNNNNNNNNNNNNNNNNNNNNNNNNNNNNNNNNNNNNNNNNNNNNNNNNNNNNNNNNNNNNNNNNNNNNNNNNNNNNNNNNNNNNNNNNNNNNNNNNNNNNNNNNNNNNNNNNNNNNNNNNNNNNNNNNNNNNNNNNNNNNNNNNNNNNNNNNNNNNNNNNNNNNNNNNNNNNNNNNNNNNNNNNNNNNNNNNNNNNNNNNNNNNNNNNNNNNNNNNNNNNNNNNNNNNNNNNNNNNNNNNNNNNNNNNNNNNNNNNNNNNNNNNNNNNNNNNNNNNNNNNNNNNCGCCCGGCCGUCGCGUUCGCUCCCCCUCCGGCCUCCUCCUCCCUCAUCCCCGCCGGCUUCGGUGAGCGCCAUCCCCGCCGGUGAACAGUGCGCGCCGCCGCCUCGAUCUGCGUGCCGGGUCAACCCUAGAUCCGGUGAUUUUUUCGUCUAAGUCCUCGAAAUUUUCAGUCCAAGUGCUCAUGUUCGUGACCCUGUAACUUUGCAUCCGUAGCUCCGAUUCAUGCAUAUAGCAUAUCAAAAUGUUCACCUCAGAGAGUACAUCAUUUCAUUCCAUUGCAUCAUUUUCAUUUGAGUUCAUCUUGAUGCCCGAAAUGCGGUUAGAAGAGGGCUACUUGAGAUAAUUGUCAGAUCUGCUACUCCGUUUAGCUUUUUGUCAUUUUUGUCAUGAUUAAUGUGUGCAUGAUAUGACCUGAUGCUCUACAUGUGUUUUGUUAAGGGUUUUGUCAUCUUUCGAGAGGUGCAACCCAUGUAUUUUUGUGAUGUGUGUGGUGACUUGUGCAAGCUUGCAAAGUGGUGCACUUAGUAAUUCUGAUUUCAGGGACUUAGUAAUUUCAAGUCCUGGAGCUGUUUAUCUCAUGAUGCCAUAUGUUCAUGUUGUUUCCUAGUGAUCCGUGCCUCUUUUGAGGAUGAUCAGUAAGGAUGUUUUGUUAAUAUUGUAGUGCUCUAUCCAUCCAUGUCUUUGUUUGCAAUUAUGGAGCACCCUAGCUUGAGUUAAUCGAGCUCUACUUUUGCUACUUUGUGAAUCUGGGAAGAUUGUCAACUUGUUUGCAAUUUUGCCGAUGAUGUUGUAGUUGAUCCGUGCAUGCUAUGUUAUUAUUCUUGCCAUGUCUAGCUUGCAUUUUGUGCCUUAUUAAUGGGUGUAUGCUUGCCUUGCCAUGACUUACACCGUAGUGAGUGCAUCGAGCUCGUGAACAUGCCUACUUGAGUUAUAUUUCAGCAUGUGUCAGUUUUUCACUAAGUCUGAAAACUGAUUAUGUUUUUGCUAUGUUCGCGUGCUUGCAAUUGUAUUUUGUGAUCUCUUUUGGCUCAAGGUCACCAAGGGACUUUUGUUAAGCUAUUUGAGUAGCUCCAUGCCAUGCUUUACUUUGUCAUGUUCAGAUCCUGUAGCAUGUAGUUUUGUUGCUCCGAAGAGGGCUACCUGAUCUGAAAUUCCAGACAAGUGUUAAUUUCACUAAGUCUGAGAUAUGUUUACCAUAUGCAUUUUUGCCAUGCUUGUUUGAACCAGUUAAUGGAUGAUUUGGCCAUAGCUCAGUGCUAAACUGUUGUUAAGCAUCUUGAAUGAAUCCCUGCCAUGUAUUUUUUUGUCAUGUUUGGUUGCUGUAGCAUGUUCAUUUUGUUGCAUUUAGAUGCCUACUUGCUGUAAAUCGCAGACCGGUGUCAUUUUUGAAUCGCUUGCCAUUUCCAAACCGUAACUCCGAUUCCGGCGUUCUUUAUAUCAUUUUCAAGCGAUUUCGUCUCAUAUUUCCAGUGGCACACUUGGAUUUCCAAGUUGAGGCCAGGUUCAUGCGUUUCCUGUCAUAUCUUGCAUUUUGCAUCCCGCAUCGCAUCCCGCAUAGCAUAUCAUAUUUGCAUUGUGUUGUUUGAGUUUGCACAUGGUUGAUUGUGUCCUUGUUGCUUGUUUGUCUUGUUUGGGUAGAGCCGGGAGACGAGUUCGCUAACGAGGAGCCCAUUGAGUUUGCUUUCGAGGAUCCAGUCAACUCUGACAACUGUGCAGGCAAGAUGAUCAUACCCUCGAAAUCACUACUAUCUUUGCUAUGUUAGUUUGCUCGCUCUUUUGCUAUGCCAAUGCUACGAUGCCUACCACUUGCUUUCAAGCCUCUCAAAUUUCCAUGUCCAACCUCUAACCCACCAUGUCCUAGCAAACCGUUGAUUGGCUAUGUUACCGCUUUGCUCAGCCCCUCUUAUAGCGUUGCUAGUUGCAGGUGAAGAUUGAAGGCCGUUCCUUGUUGGAAUCUUUAUUUACUUGUUGGGAUAUCAUUAUAUUAUCUUGUUAUCUUAAUGCAUCUAUAUACUUGGUAAAGGGUGGAAGGCUUGGCCUCUCACCUAGUGUUUUGUUCUACUCUUCCCGCCCUAGUUUUCGUCAUAUCAGUGUUAUGUUCCCGGAUUUUGCGUUCGUUACGCGGUUGGGUUAUAAUGGGAACCCCUUGAUAGUUCGCCUUGAUUAAAGCUUUUCCAGCAAUGCCCAACAUUGGUUUUACCAUUCGCCACCUAGCCUUUUCUUUCCCUUGGGUUCUGCAGACUCAAGGGUCAUCAUUAUUUUAACCCCCCCGGGCCAGUGCUCCUCUGAGUGUUGGUCCACCUGUCAGCUACCGGUGGCCACCAGGGGCAACUUUGGGCUGGCCUACCCAUACCUAAGACAAUCUGAGUGUGCCCUGAGAAAGAGAUAUGUGCAGCUCCUAUCGGGAUUUGUCGGCACAUUCGGGCGGUGUUGCUGGUCUUGUUUUAACCUGUCGAAGUGUCUUGAGUAACCGAGAUACCGAGUCUGAUCGGAACGUCUUGGGAGGAGGUCUAUUCCUUCGUUGACCGUGAGAGCUUGUCAUGAGCUAAGUUGGGACUCCCCUGCAGGGAUUUGAACUUUCGAAAGCCGUGCCCGCGGUUAUGGGCAGAUGGGAAUUUGUUAAUGUCCGGUUGUAGAUAACUUGAACCUUAACUUAAUUAAAAUGAAUCAACUGAGUGUUACCGUGAUGGCCUCUUCUCGGCGGAGUCCGGGAAGUGGACACGGUGUUGGAGUAAUGUUUGCGCAGGUUGUUCUCUAGUUUCUCGCUCGCACUUUGCCUUCUCUUCUCGCUCUCUUUUGCGAAUAAGUUAGCCACCAUAUUUUGCUAGUCGCUUGCUGCAGCUCCACAUAUAUUUGUACCUUGCCUUACCUAUAAGCUUAAAUAGUCUUGAUCGCGAGGGUGCAAGAUUGCUGAGUCCCUGUGGCUCACAGAUUACUAUUACACCAGAUGCAGGGCCUGAUGAUUCCGCUCCAGGAGACACACUUGAGCUCAAGUGGGAGUUUGACGAAGACUCUCAACGUUACUAUGUUUCUUUUCCCAAUGAUCAGUAGUGGUGCCCAGUUGGGGGUGAACGGGACCGUUGUCGCAUGUUGGGUUCUCUUUUAUUUUGGCGCCGUAGUCGGGCCAUGAGUGUUUGGAUGAUGUAAUGUUAUUUAUGUACUUGAUUGACGUGGCGAGUGUAAGCCAACUAUGUUAUCUCCCCUUUGUUAUUCAUAUUACAUGGGAUGUUGUGAAGAUUGCCUAACUUGCGACAUAUGCCUUCAAUGCGAUUAUGCCUCUAAGUCAUGCCUCGACACGUGGGAGAUAUAGUCACAUCGAGGGUGUUACAAGUUGGUAAUCAGAGCCUUCCUCGACCUUAGGAGCCCCAUUGCUUGAUCGUUAUUAGCGGCCGAGUUGUGUCUAGAAAAAUGUUUUGAGUCAUUUAGGAAUUAUAUAUCGGAGAGCUUAGGAAUUCUUUUUUCUUCCCAGUCUCCUCAUCACUCUGGUAAGGCAUCCUGACGUAGAGUUUUGACUCUUCUCUUCUCAAAUUUCACUAAAAAAAAAUUUAGGAUCACGCGAGUAUCUUGGAAUCGUUCCGAUGGUUUUAUGAUGAGAACAUUGUCUUGGUGCCUCUUGUCAGGGGUUUAGUGGAAGUGUCCCGGGGAGUUGAGCUCUGAGGUGUUGUCAUCAUAAUUUUAUCGUUGCAAUUCUGGAAUACCUGAGUUUAGUACGCCGACAUCGAAAAUCUCUUUUAUGCAGUUCAUUGGUGAGAUAACCUCGACGCCACCCAGUACUGGGGCGGGAGUUAGGGAGUAUCGCCAUAUCUUGUAUAACAGAUGCUUUUCGAAGGUUGAGGUAGAUGGUUUCCGAAGGUUUCUUGGUUAUGUGUUGAAGGAUGGAUACAGCUGGAUGUAGGAUUUGCUAGUUUGGGUGAGAUAUUAUGCUUCCCCUGUAUCCCCAACACCCGAUUGCAUAAUCGGAAAGGUUCGGGAGUUUCAUAGGUGGGAAUUCUUGUAGCUCUAGUUCUUCUUCCAUGGAUAUUGGUUUGAGAUUGGGAUUUCUUACCGAUUAUUCGUUCUUGAUCCGUACCUUGUUGAUUUAUUUCUCUACCUUAAUUCUACGUGGCUUCUCAAUUUAUGGAUCUGUGACCAUUUCAAGAGGAAUGCAUUCGUUCAUUUUGUUCGGAUGUGAAGACUAUAUGUUGCAAUUUUCAUUCCGUUGGAUUCAGCUUCAAUAAUUGUCUAUCAAUGUGCUAAUGGUGGUCAACCUCUUUAGGAUGGCUCCUCCAACGCGCACGACUCCGAAUCCUGAUCCGCCACCACCUCCACCUCCUCCAGAGGCAUGGCAAGCUGUGAUGGCCGCAACCAAUGCAAACAGAAAGUUGAUCAUGCAAAUUCUUCAAGAGCGCAAUCAAGGCAACCAAGGGAAUCAAGGCAGCAAUCAGAAUCACUUUGCUACACUCAACCAGUUCCUUGCUAACGGGCCAAAGACUUUCAGCAAUUGUGUUGAGGCAACCGAUGCUGACGAUUGGCUUGUGGAUCUGUGCAAGCAUUUCGAGUGCAGUAACGUCAGGCCUGAGGACUUUGUUAAGUUCGCUUCCUUCCAACUCAAAGAUCAAGCUGCAGAAUGGUUCCAGCAGUACAAGGACUCCAGAGGUGGACGUGUUAUCACUUGGGAUGAUUUCCGUCGAGAUUUCCGAGCUCAUCAUAUUCCCCAGAGCGUGGUUGAAAGCAAGCAUGAGGAAUUCCGCAACCUGAAGCAAGGCUCUUCAUCUGUCUAUGACUACAACAAGUUGUUCCAGAAGCUCGCCCGCUUUGCCAAGCAGGAUGUCCCUGAUGAGAAGAGCAUGAUAUAUCAGUUCAGGGGUGGUCUCAGAGAAGAAAUUCAGCUAGCUCUUGUUCUCUUUGAGCCCUUGAGAUACGAUGAGUUCUACAACAUGGCACUGAAGCAAGAGGCUGCUUAGUUGAGGUGUGAUGCUUCCAAGAAGCGAGUCAGAGAUGUUACUCCUUCUUCCUCUACUCAAGUGGCCAAGCAGCAGAAGUAUUGGCUUCCUCCUCCUCCGUUCCGGCAGUCGUAUCAACAGAAGAGCAAAGGUGGCAGUGGUUCUUCCCACCCACCCAACCCUGGCUUUCAGAACAAGGCUUCCUCUCAAGCUCCAAGAUCGAGUGCUCCGUAUCACCGUCCGCUUUCAGAGGUCACGUGCAACAAGUGCCAAUAGAAGGGUCACUAUGCCAACAAGUGUUUCAACCAGAGGCGUCUUCCUCCUCCUCCCCCUGUCAGAUCGGCAAGUACAGCUGUGGUCAAGCAUAACCCCAAGCACGCCAAGGUCAACUUGAUGAAUGCAGCUCAGGCAGAGGACUCAUCAGAUGUGAUCAUGGGUAACCUUCCUGUUAAUGAUAUACCUGCAAAAGUUCUUUUUGACACUGGUGCAUCGCAUUGCUUCAUCUCGAGACCGUUUACAAAUAGGCAUGAUUUGGUUUCGCAAGUUUUUCCUAGUCCUUUAGCAGUUGUCUCUCCCGGUAAGCGCAUGCAGGUUAACUCCAUAGUUCCGGAUGUUACUAUCACUUUGGGUGACUACAAGUUUCUAGCUUCCCCAACGGUUCUCAGUGACUCGGAUAUUGAUCUUAUUCUCGGAAUGGAUUGGCUUUCUAAGCACAAGGCGCAUCUUGAUUGUGCAGCCAGACAGAUUCAAUUGACUCAUUCAUCUGAGGAUGUAAUUGUCUUUGCCGCUCGUGAUAAUACCAUCCGUCUGUUUUCUCUCAAUGAGAAGGGUGAAUUGGAUGCUAUCUCUCAAAUUCCAGUCAUUUGCGAAUAUCAAUACGUCUUUCCAGAAGAGCUCCCAGGAAUGCCUCCGCACCGGCCAGUCGAAUUCGUUAUUGAUCUUGAGCCUGACACGGAACCUGUGUGCAAGCGUCCUUACAAGCUCGGACCUGAAGAAUUGAAGGAGCUGAAGAAGCAACUCGAUAUUCAAGAGAAAAUGGGUCUUAUCCAGCCUAAUUCUUCUCCGUGGGGUUGUGGUGUUCUUUUUGUGAAGAAGAAGGAUGGAACGGACUGACUUUGUGUUGAUUACCGUCCAUUGAACAAGAAGACCAUCAAGAACAAAUACCCACUUCCCAACAUCAAUGAGCUGUUCGAACAACUCAAAGGUGCCCAAGUAUUCUCCAAGCUUGAUCUCCGUAUGGGUUAUCAUCAGAUUCGAAUCCGUGAGCAAGAUAUUCCCAAUACGGCUUUCAGGACAAGCUUUGGUUCUUAUGAAUACACUGUCAUGUCUUUUGGACUCGUCAACGCUCCUCCGACUUUCUCUCGCAUGAUGAACUUCAUCUUCAACGCCUACACCAAUGACUUCAUUUUGGUCUAUCUCGAUGACAUUCUGGUUUUCUCCAAGAACAAGGAAGAUCAUGCCAAGCACUUGCGUUUGGUUCUUGAUAAGCUAAGGGAACAUCAGUUCUAUGCCAAGUUCUCCAAGUGUGAAUUUUGGCUCGAUGAAGUGCUUUAUCUUGGUCAUAUCAUAUCUGCCAAGGGCAUUGCCGUGAAUCCUGAGAAGGUGUCUGCAAUUGUGAAUUGAGAACCUCCUCAGAACGUGAAGCAACUCCAUAGCUUCCUCGGUCUCGCAAGCUAUUGCCAAAGAUUCAUUGAAAACUUUUCUAAGAUCGCGAAGCCUCUCUCAAAUCUUCUCUAGAAGCACGUCAAGUACGUUUGGUCUCCGGAGUGUGAUAUUGCUUUCAACACUUUGAAAGAGAAAUUGAUCACUGCUCCAGUUCUGACUCCGCCUGAUGAAUCCAAGCCGUACGAGGUCUUUUGUGAUGCCUCUUUCCAAGGUCUUGGCGCAGUAUUGAUGCAAGAGAAGAAAGUUGUUGCUUAUACAUCUCGCCAGUUGAAGCCUAAUGAGAAGAACUACCCCACUCAUGAUCUCGAGUUGGCGGCAAUUGUGCAUGCUCUUUUGACCUGGAGACAUCUUCUAUUGGGAAGAAAAGUGGACAUUUUCACUAAUCACAAGAGUCUCAAGUACAUCUUCACUCAGCCUAAUCUCAACCUUAGACAAACUCGAUGGGUCGAAAUGAUUCAAGAGUAUAAUCCGAGUAUCGAGUAUAAUCCAGGCAAGGCCAAUGUGAUUGCUGACGCAUUGAGCAGGAAAGCUUACUGCAAUAGUCUGAUUCUCAAGCCUUAUCAACCCGAGCUUUGUGAAGCUUUCCGCAAACUUAAUCUGCAAGUUGUUCCUCAAGGUUUCCUCGCCAACCUUCAAGUCUCUCCUACCUUGGAAGACCAGAUUCGCCAAGCCCAGCUUCUUGAUGCUAUGGUGAAAAAGGUGAAGAUUGGGAUUGCCAAGAGCCAGUCCAAGUACAAGUGCUACCGCCUUGAUGACAAGGAUACUCUCUUCUUCGAGGAUCGUAUUGUUGUACCCAAAGGUGACCUCCGUAAAGUGAUCAUGAACGAGGCUCACAAUUCUCUCCUCUCCAUCCACCCUGGGAGCACGAAGAUGUAUCGGGACCUCAGGCAAGCUUAUUGGUGGACUCGAAUGAAGCGCGAGAUUGCUCAAUUCGUGAAUGAAUGUGAUGUCUGCAGAAGAGUGAAGGCAGAACACCAAAGGCCAGCGGGUUUCCUGCAACCUCUUGCCAUUCUAGAAUGGAAGUUUGACCACAUUGAAAUGGACUUCGUGAAUGGUUUUCCAAAGUCCAAGCGUGGCAAUGAUGCUAUAUUCAUUGUCAUCGACAAACUCACCAAAGUGGCUCACUUUCUGCCUAUUAAAGAGUCGAUCACUGCAGCUCAAUUGGCGGGACUCUAUACCUCUCGUAUUGUCUCUCUGCACGGUAUUCCACAAGUGAUCUCUUCAGACCGUGGCAGCAUCUUUACCUCGAAGUUUUGGGAUUCUUUUCAGAAGGCCAUGGGCAUGAACAUCCGCUUCAGCACAGCUUUCCAUCCUCAAACUAGCGGUCAAGUCGAGCGUGUCAACUAGAUUCUUGAAGAUAUGCUCAGGGCUUGUGUGAUCUCCUUCGGCAUGAAGUGGGAGGAUUGUCUUCCUUAUGCUGAAUUCUCCUACAACAACAGUUUUCAAGCAAGUUCGGGCAAGGCACCAUUUGAAAUUCUGUAUGGCAGGAAGUGCCGUACCCCUCUCAACUGGUCUGAAACUGGUGAACGUCAGCUUUUGGGUAAUGACUUAAUCACAGAGGCAGAAGAAAUGUGCAAAGUCAUUCGAGAUAACCUCAAAGCAGCCCAAUCCCGCCAGAAGAGCUACAAUGAUAGUAAGCACCGUGAUUUGGCUUUCGAGAUUGGAGAUCAUGUUUACCUCCGUGUCUCUCCUAUGAAAGGUACUCGUCGCUUUGGUAUCAAAGGGAAGCUUUCCCCCAGAUACGUGGGACCUUUCAAGAUUGUCAGCAAGAGAGGCGACCUCGCCUAUCAACUCGAGCUUCCUUCAAACUUUGCAAAUUUUCAUGACGUGUUCCAUGUCUCUCAGCUUCGAAAGUGCUUCAAGACUCCUGACCGCACCAUCAACUUCGAGGACAUUGAGCUCCAAGAAGAUCUCUCUUAUCGUGAGCACCCAGUUGCUAUUCUUGAAGAGACUGAACGCAAGACUCGCAACAAGUCAAUCAAAUUUCUCAAAGUCAAGUGGUCACACCAUUCCGACCGUGAAGCUACCUGGGAACGUGAGGAUCACCUCCGUUCUGAGUACCCGGCGUUCUUUCAGUCCUAGAUCUCGGGACGAGAUCCUUUCGUAGUGGUGGAGUGUUGUAACACCCCGGAUGUAACUUUUCCAAUUUGUACUCCAACUCUUGCCGUUUCCGGCGUUAAGUUAUUUUAUUUUUCUCGGGUUCGGGUCUUUGUCUUCGUGUGUUGUUAUCAUUGUCAUGCAUCUCAUAUCAUGUCAUCAUGUGCAUUGCAUUUGCAUACGUGUUCGUCUCUUGCAUUCGAGCAUUUUCCCCGUUGUCCGUUUUGCAUUCCGACGCUUCGUUCUCCUCCGGUGUUCAUUUCUAGCUUUCUUUCGUGUGUGGGGAUUAAACAUUUCCGGAUUGGACCGAGACUUCCCAAGCAGCCUUGGUUUACUACCGGUAGACCGCCUGUCAAGUUUCGUAUCAUUUGGACUUCGUUUGAUACUCCAACGGUUAACCGAGGGACCGAAAAGGCCUCGUGUGUGUUGCAGCCCAACACCCCUCCAAUUUGGCCCAAAACCCACCUAACUCUGCUUCAUCAUCUAGAGCGUUCGAUCACGAUCGCGUGGCCGAAAACCGCACCUCAUUUGGACUCUCCUAGCUCCCUCUACCUCUAUUUAAAGAACCCCUCCAUUUUCGGAUCUCCUUCUCCCCCGAAACCCUAAAAAAAUCGCCCCGCCGCGCCGGACAUGUCCGCCCCUGGCCGGACUCUUCGUGCCGCCGCGCCCGGCCAGUGAAACGCUGCAAUGUGGCCUCCCCGNNNNNNNNNNNNNNNNNNNNNNNNNNNNNNNNNNNNNNNNNNNNNNNNNNNNNNNNNNNNNNNNNNNNNNNNNNNNNNNNNNNNNNNNNNNNNNNNNNNNNNNNNNNNNNNNNNNNNNNNNNNNNNNNNNNNNNNNNNNNNNNNNNNNNNNNNNNNNNNNNNNNNNNNNNNNNNNNNNNNNNNNNNNNNNNNNNNNNNNNNNNNNNNNNNNNNNNNNNNNNNNNNNNNNNNNNNNNNNNNNNNNNNNNNNNNNNNNNNNNNNNNNNNNNNNNNNNNNNNNNNNNNNNNNNNNNNNNNNNNNNNNNNNNNNNNNNNNNNNNNNNNNNNNNNNNNNNNNNNNNNNNNNNNNNNNNNNNNNNNNNNNNNNNNNNNNNNNNNNNNNNNNNNNNCUCGACGCCGGCCCGGCCCCGCGCCGCCGAGCCGCCGCCCGGCCGUCGCGUCCGCUCCCCCUCCGGCCACCUCCUCCCUCAUCCCCGCCGGCUCCGGUGAGCGCCAUCCCCGCCGGUGAACAGUGCAUGCCGCCACCUCGAUCUGCGUGCCGGGUCAACCCUAGAUCCGGUGAUUUUUUCGUCUAAGUCCUCGGAAUUUUCAGUCCAAGUGCUCAUGUUCGUGACCCUGUAACUUUGCAUCCGUAGCUCCGAUUCAUGCAUAUAGCAUAUCAAAAUGUUCACCUCAGAGAGUACAUCAUUUCGUUCCAUUGCAUCAUUUUCAUUUGAGUUCAUAUUGAUGCCCGAAAUGCGGUUAGAAGAGGGCUACUUGAGAUAAUUGUCAGAUCUGCUACUCCAUUUAGCUUUUUGUCAUUUUUGCCAUGAUUAAUGUGUACAUGAUAUGACCUGAUGCUCUACAUGUGUUUUGUUAAGGGUUUUGUCAUCUUUCCAGAGGUGCAACCCAUGUAUUUUUGUGAUGUGUGUGGUGACUUGUGCAAGCUUGCAAAGUGGUGCACUUAGUAAUUCUGAUUUCAGGGACUUAGUAAUUUCAAGUCCUGGAGCUGUUUAUCUCAUGAUGCCAUAUGUUCAUGUUGUUUCCUAAUGAUCCGUGCCUCUUUUGAGGAUGAUCAGUAAGGAUGUUUUGUUAAUAUUGUAGUGCUCUAUCCAUCCAUGUCUUUGUUUGCAAUUAUGGAGCACCCUAGCUUGAGUCAAUCGAGCUCUACUUUUGCUACUUUGUGAAUCUGGGAAGAUUGUCAACUUGUUUGCAAUUUUGCCGAUGAUGUUGUAGUUGAUCCGUGCAUGCUAUGUUAUUAUUCUUGCCAUGUCUAGCUUGCAUUUUGUGCCUUAUUAAUGGGUGUAUGCUUGCCUUGCCAUGACUUACACCGUAGUGAGUGCAUCGAGCUCGUGAACAUGCCUACUUGAGUUAUAUUUCAGCAUGUGUCAGUUUUUCACUAAGUCUGAAAACUGAUUAUGUUUUUGCUAUGUUCGCGUGCUUGCAAUUGUAUUUUGUGAUCUCUUUUGGCUCAAGGUCACCAAGGGACUUUUGUUAAGAUAUUUGAGUAGCUCCAUGCCAUGCUUUACUUUGUCAUGUUCAGAUCCUGUAGCAUGUAGUUUUGUUGCUCCGAAGAGGGCUACCUGAUCUGAAAUUCCAGACAAGUGUUAAUUUCACUAAGUCUGAGAUAUGUUUGCCAUAUGCAUUUUUGCCAUGCUUGUUUGAACCAGUUAAUGGAUGAUUUGGCCAUAGCUCAGUGCUAGACUUUUGUUAAGCAUCUUGAAUGCAUCCCUGCCAUGUAUUUUUUUGUCAUGUUUGGUUGCUGUAGCAUGUUCAUUUUGUUGCAUUUAGAUGCCUACUUGCUGUAAAUCGCAGACCGGUGUCAUUUUUGAAUCGCUUGCCAUUUCCAAACCGUAACUCCGAUUCCGGCGUUCUUUAUAUCGUUUUCAAGCGAUUUCGUCUCAUAUUUCCAGUGGCACACUUGGAUUUCCAAGUUGAGGCCAGGUUCAUGCGUUUCCUGUCAUAUCUUGCAUUUUGCAUCCCGCAUCGCAUCCCGCAUAGCAUAUCAUAUUUGCAUUGUGUUGUUUGAGUUUGCACAUGGUUGAUUGUGUCCUUGUUGCUUGUUUGUCUUGUUUGGGUAGAGCCGGGAGACGAGUUCGCUAACGAGGAGCCCAUUGAGUUUGCUUUCGAGGAUCCAGUCAACUCUGACAACUGUGCAGGCAAGAUGAUCAUACCCUCGAAAUCACUACUAUCUUUGCUAUGCUAGUUUGCUCGCUCUUUUGCUAUGCCAAUGCUACGAUGCCUACCACUUGCUUUCAAGCCUCUCAAAUUUCCAUGUCCAACCUCUAACCCACCAUGUCCUAGCAAACCGUUGAUUGGCUAUGUUACCGCUUUGCUCAGCCCCUCUUAUAGCGUUGCUAGUUGCAGGUGAAGAUUGAAGGCCGUUCCUUGUUGGAAUCUUUAUUUACUUGUUGGGAUAUCAUUAUAUUAUCUUGUUAUCUUAAUGCAUCUAUAUACUUGGUAAAGGGUGGAAGGCUCGGCCUCUCACCUAGUGUUUUGUUCUACUCUUCCCGCCCUAGUUUUCGUCAUAUCGGUGUUAUGUUCCCGGAUUUUGCGUUCGUUACGCGGUUGGGUUAUAAUGGGAACCCCUUGAUAGUUCGCCUUGAUUAAAGCUUUUCCAGCAAUGCCCAACAUUGGUUUUACCAUUCGCCACCUAGCCUUUUCUUUCCCUUGGGUUCUGCAGACUCAAGGGUCAUCAUUAUUUUAACCCCCCCGGGCCAGUGCUCCUCUGAGUGUUGGUCCACCUGUCAGCUACCGGUGGCCACCAGGGGCAACUUUGGGCUGGCCUACCCAUACCUAAGACAAUCUGAGUGUGCCCUGAGAAAGAGAUAUGUGCAGCUCCUAUCGGGAUUUGUCGGCACAUUCGGGCGGUGUUGCUGGUCUUGUUUUAACCUGUCGAAGUGUCUUGAGUAACCGAGAUACCGAGUCUGAUCGGAACGUCUUGGGAGGAGGUCUAUUCCUUCGUUGACCGUGAGAGCUUGUCAUGAGCUAAGUUGGGACUCCCCUGCAGGGAUUUGAACUUUCGAAAGCCGUGCCCGCGGUUAUGGGCAGAUGGGAAUUUGUUAAUGUCCAGUUGUAGAUAACUUGAACCUUAACUUAAUUAAAAUGAAUCAACUGAGUGUGUUACCGUGAUGGCCUCUUCUCGGCGGAGUCCGGGAAGUGGACACGGUGUUGGAGUAAUGUUUGCGCAGGUUGUUCUCUAGUUUCUCGCUCGCACUUUGCCUUCUCUUCUCGCUCUCUUUUGCGAAUAAGUUAGCCACCAUAUUUUGCUAGUCGCUUGCUGCAGCUCCACAUAUAUUUGUACCUUGCCUUACCUAUAAGCUUAAAUAGUCUUGAUCGCGAGGGUGCGAGAUUGCUGAGUCCCUGUGGCUCACAGAUUACUAUUACACCAGAUGCAGGGCCUGAUGAUUCCGCUCCAGGAGACACACUUGAGCUCAAGUGGGAGUUCGACGAAGACUCUCAACGUUACUAUGUUUCUUUUCCCGAUGAUCAGUAGUGGUGCCCAGUUGGGGGUGAACGGGACCAUUAUCGCAUGUUGGGUUAAAUUUUAUUUUGGCGCCAUAGUCGGGCCAUGAGUGUUUGGAUGAUGUAAUGUUAUUUAUGUACUUGAUUGACGUGGCGAGUGUAAGCCAACUAUGUUAUCUCCCCUUUGUUAUUCAUAUUACAUGGGAUGUUGUGAAGAUUGCCUAACUUGCGACAUAUGCCUUCAAUGCGAUUAUGCCUCUAAGUCAUGCCUCGACACAUGGGAGAUAUAGUCGCAUCAAGGGUGUUACAUAGGCAUCACGUCCGUGACAAGUAGACCGAAACGAUUCUGCAUCUACUACUAUUACUCCACUCAUCGACCGCUAUCCAGCAUGCAUCUCGAGUAUUAAGUUAAAAACAGAGUAACACCUUAAGCAAGAUGACAUGAUGUAGAGGGAUAGUUUCAUGCAAUAUGAUAAAACCCCAUCUUGUUAUCCUCGAUGGCAACAAUACAAUACGUGCCUUGCUGCCCUUUCUGUCACUGGGAAAGGACACCGCAAGAUCGAACCCAAAGCUAAGCACUUCUCCCAUGGCAAGAACAACCAAUCUAGUAGGCCAAACCAAACUAACAAUUCGAAGAAACUUGCAAAGAUAACCAAUUAUACAUAAAAGAAUUCAGAGAAGAUUCAAAUAUUAUUCAUAGAUAGACUGGAUCAUAAACCCACAAUUCAUCAGUCUCAACAAACACACCGCAAAAAGAAGAUUACAUCAAAUAGAUCUCCACAAGAGAGGGGGAGAACAUUGUAUUGAGAUCCAAAAAGAGAGAAGAAGCCAUCUAGCUACUAACUAUGGACCCGUAUGUUUGAAGUAAACUACUCACACUUCAUCGGAGGGGCUUGGAUGAUGAUGUAGAAGCCCUCCGUGAUCGAUGCCCCCUCCGGCGAAGCUCCGGAACAGGCCCCAAGAUGGGAUCUCGUGGAUACAGAAAGUUGCGGCGGUGGAAUUAGAUUUUUGGCUCCGUAUCUGAUCGUGUGGGGGUACGUAGGUAUAUAUAGGAGGAAGGAGUACGUCGGUAGAGCUUCGAGGGGCCCACGACACAGGGGGUGCACCCUAGGGGGGGCCUCCACCCUCGUGACCGCCUCGUGGCUUUCUUGAUGGAGGGUCCAAGUCUCCUGGGUCUUAUCUGAUGAGAAAAUCGCGUUCCCGAAGGUUUCAUUCCGUUUGGACUCCGUUUGAUAUUCUGUUUCUCCGAAACACUCAAAUAGGCAAAAAACAAAAAUUCUGGGUUGGGCCUCCGGUUAAUAGGUUAGUCCCAAAAAUAAUAUAAAAGUGGAAAAUAAAGCCCAAUAUAGUCCAAAACAGUAGAUAAUAUAGCAUGGAGCAAUCAAAAAUUAUAGAUACGUUGGAGACGUAUCAGGCAUCCCCAAGCUUAAUUCCUGCUCGUCCUCGAGUAGGUAAAUGAUAAAAAGAGAAUUUUUGAUGUGGAGUGCUAUUUGGCAUAAUUUCAAAGAAAAUCUUCUUAAUUGUGAUAUGAAUAUUCAGAUUCGAAAGAUUCAAGACAAAAGUAUAUAUCGACAUAAAAAUAAUAAUACUUCAAACAUACUAACAAAGCAAUUAUGUAUUCUCAAAAUAACAUGGCCAAGGAAAGUUAUCGCUACAAAAUCAUAUAGUUUGGCUAUGCUCUAUCUUCACCACACAAAGUAUUUAAAUCAUGCACAACCCUGAUAACAAGCCAGGCAAUUGUUUCAUACUCUAACUUUUUCAAAACUUUUUCAAUCUUCACGCAAUACAUGAGCGUGAGCCAUGGAUAUAACACUAUAUGUGGAAUAGAAUGGUGGUUGUGGAGAAGACAAAAAUAGGGGAAGAUAGUCUCACAUCAACUAGGCGUAUCAAUGGGCUAUGGAGAUGCCCAUCAAUAGAUAUCAAUGUGAGUGGGUAGGGAUUGCCAUGCAACAGAUGCACUAGAGCUAUAAGUAUAUGAAAGCUCAUCAAAAGAAACUAAGUGGGUGUGCAUCCAACUUGCUUGCUCACGAAGACCUAGGGCAUUUUGAGGAAGCCCAUCAUUGGAAUAUACAAGCCAAGUUCUAUAAUGAAAAAUUCCCACUAGUAUAUGAAAGUGACAUAAUGAGAGACUCUCUAUCAUGAAGAUCAUGGUGCUACUUUGAAGCACAACUGUGGUAGAAGGAUAGUAACAUUGUCCCUUAUCUCUUUUUCUCUCAUUUUUUUAUUUGGGCCUUUUCUCUUUUUUUUUAUGGCCUCUUUUUUUUCUUCCGGAAUCUCAUCCCGACUUAUGGGGGAAUCAUAGUCUUCAUCAUUCUUUCCUCACUUGGGACAAUGCUCUAAAAAUGAUGAUCAUCAUACUUUUAUUUUUCUUACAACUCAACAAUUACAACUCGGUACUUAGAACAAAAUAUGACUCUAUAUGAAUGCCUCCGGCGGUGUACCGGGAUAUGCAAUGAAUCAAGAGUGACAUGUAUGAAAGAAUUAUGAAUGGUGGCUUUGCCACAAAUAUGAUGUCAACUACAUGAUCAUGCUAGCAAUAUGACAAUGAUGGAGCGUGCCAUAAUAAACGUAACGGUGGAAAGUUGCAUGGCAAUAUAUCUCGGAAUGGCUAUGGAAAUGCCAUGAUAGGUAGGUAUGGUGGCCGUUUUGAGGAAGGUAUAUGGUGGGUGUAUGAUACCGGCGAAAAGUGUGCGGUAUUAGAGAGGCUAGCAAUGAUGGAAGGAUGGGAAAAAGUGCAUAUAUCCAUGAACUCAACAUUAGUCAUAAAGAACUCAUAUACUUAUUGCAAAAAUCUAGAAGUUAUCAAAGCAAAGUAUUACGCGCAUGCUCCUAGGGGGAUAGAUUGGUAGGAAAAGACCAUCGCUCGUCCCCGACCGCCACUCGUAAGGAAGACAAUCAAUAAAUAAAUCAUGCUUCGACUUCAUCACAUAACGGUUCACCAUACGUGCAUGCUACGGGAAUCACAAACUUUAACACAAGUAUCCUUUAAAUUCACAACCACUCAACUAGCAUGACUCUAAUAUUAUCACCUCCAUAUCUCAAAACAAUUAUCAUGCAUCCAACUUUUCUUAGUAUUCAACACACUCAAAAGAAAGUUUCACAAAUCUUGAAUACCAAGCAUGUUAUUACUAAGCAAAUUACCAUGCUAUUAAGACUCUCAAAAUAAUUUAAGUGAAGCAUGAGAGAUCAAUAGUUUCUUUAAAACAAAUCCACCACCGUGCUCUUAAAAGAUCUAAUGAAGCACAUAGGGCAAAAUUACAUAGCUCAAAAGAUAUAAGUGAAGCACAUAGAGCAAAAUUAUAACGCUCAAAAGAUAUAAGUGAAGCACAUAGAGCAAAACUACAUAGCUCAAAAGAUAUAAGUGAAGCACAUAGAGUAUUCUAUCAAAUUUUAAUACAUGUAUGGCUCUCUCAAAAGGUGUGUACAGCAAGGAUGAUUGUGGCACACUAAAACACAAAGACACAAAUAAUACAAGACGCUCCAAGCAAAACACAUAUCAUGUUGGUGAAUAAAAAUAUAGCUCCAAGUAAAUUACCGAUGGAAGUGGACGAAAGAGGGGAUGCCUUCCAGGGCAUCCCAAGCUUUGACUUUUUGGUGUCCUUGUAUUAUCUUGGGGUGCCAUGGAAAUCCACAAUAUUAGGCUCUUGCCACUCCUUGUUCCAUAAUCCAUCACAAGAAUUCACCCAAAACUUGAAAACUUCACAACACAAAACUCAAAUAGAAAUCUCGUGAGCUCCGUUAGAGAAAACAAAAUGAAAGACCACUUCAAGGUACUAUAAUGAACUCAUUCUUUAUUUAUAUUGGUGUUAAACCUACUGUAUUCCAACUUCUCUAUGGAUUAUAAAUUAUUUUACUAACCAUAGAUUCAUCAAAAUAAGCAAACAACACACAAAAAACAGAAUCUGUCAAAAACAGAACAGUCUGUAGUAAUCUGUAACUAGCGCAAGAUCUGGAGCCCCAAAAAUUCUAAAAUAAAUUGUUGGACGUGAGGAAUUUAUCUAUUAAUCAUCUGCAAAAAGAAUUAACUAAAUAGCACUAUCCAAAUAAAAAUAACAGCAGUUCUUGUGAGCGCUAAAGUUUCUGUUUUUUUACAGCAAGUUCAACAAGACUUUCCCCAAGUCUUCCCAACGGUUCUACUUGGCACAAACACUAAUUAAACACAAAAAACACAACCAAAACACAGGCUAAAUAAUUUAUUUAUUACUAAACAGGAGCAAAAAUCAAGGAAUAAAAAUAAAAUUGGGUUGCCUCCCAACAAGCGCUAUCGUUUAACGCCCCUAGCUAGGCAUAAAAGCGAGGAUAGCUCUAGGUAUUGCCAUCUUUGGUAGGCAAUCCAUAAGUGGCUCUCAUGAUAGUUUCAUAUGGCAAUUUUAUUUUCUUUCUUGGAAAGUGUUCAAUUCCCUUUUUAAUGGAAAUUGAAAUCUAAUAUUCCCUUCCUUCAUAUCAAUAAUCGCACCAACCGUUCUAAGGAAAGGUCUACAAAGAAUAAUAGGGCAAGAAGGAUUGCAAUCUAUAUCAAGAACAAUGAAAUAUACAGGCACAUAAUUCCUAUUUGCAACAAUAAGAACAUCAUUAAUCCUUCCCAUAGGUUUCUUAAUAGUAGAAUCCGCAAGAUGCAAGUUUAGAGAGCAAUCAUCAAAAUUGCGGAAAUCUAGCAAAUCACACAAAAGUUUUGGGGAUAGUGGAGACACUAGCACCCAAAUCACACAAAGCAUAAAACUCAUGAUCUUUAAUUUUAAUUUUAAUAGUUGGUUCCCACUCAUCAUAGAGUUUUCUAGGGAUAGAAACUUUCAACUCAAGUUUUUCUUCAUAAGAUUGCAUCAAGGCAUCAACAAUAUGUUCGGUGAAGGCUUUCUUUUGACUAUAAGCAUGUGGAGAGUUUAGCACGGAUUGCAACAAGGAAAUACAAUCAAUUAAAGAGCAACUUUCAUAAUUAAAUUCCUUGAAAUCCAAUAUAGUGGGUUUAGCAACAUAUAGAUUUUUAUUUCUUUCAAUCCCACUUUCAUCAAUUUCAUCAUAAAGAUCUAAAUACUUCGAAUUUUUAGAACACCUUCUAGGUAAAGGAAGAUCAUAUUCAGUUUUAUCAAGAUUCAUAUUGAAAAACAAAGAUUUGAUAGGAGACACAUCAAUAAUUUUAGAUCUUCAUCUUGAUUUUCAUAGGAAUUGAAAGAACACGCUUUAAUAAAGGCAUCUUUGGAAGCACGCAUCCUAGCGGUUCUUUCCUUGCAUUCAUCAAUGGAAAUUCUCAUGGCUUUGAGAGACUCAUUGAUAUCAUGCUUAGGAGGAAUAGAUCUAAGCUUUAAAGAAUCAACCUCAAGAGAAAUUCUAUCAACGUUCCUAGCCAAAUCAUUAACUUUAAACAAUUUCUCUUCAAGCAAAGCAUUAAAAUUCUUUUGUGAAUUCAUAAAAUGUUUAACACUAUUCUCAAAUUCAGAGGGCAUCUUAUUAUAAUUUCCAUAAGAGUUGUUGUAGGAAUUCCCAUAAUUAUUAGAAGGAUUACUAGGAUCUAGCCUAGGAUUAAAAUUCCCUCUAUAAGCGUUGCUACCAAAAUUAUUCCUACCAACAAAAUUUACAUCCAUAGAUUCAUUGUUAUUCUCAAUCAAAAUAGACAAAGGCAUAUCAUUAGGAUCAGAAGAAACACUCUUAGUAGCAAAUAAUUUCAUAAGUUCAUCCAUCUUUCCACUCAACACAUUGAUUUCUUCUAUCGCAUGCACUUUUUUAUUAGAAGAUCUUUCAGUAUGCCAUUGAGAAUAAUUAACCAUAAUAUUAUCUAGGAGUUUAGUAGCAUCUCCUAAAGUGAUUUCCAUAAAAGUGCCUCCCGCGGCCGAAUCUAAAAGAUUUCUAGAAGCAAAAUUCAAUCCGGCAUAAAUUUUUUGUAUAAUCAUCCACAAAUUUAAACCAUGAGUAGGGCAAUUACGUAUCAUUAAUUUCAUUCUCUCCCAAGCUUGUGCAACAUGUUCAUGAUCAAGUUGCUUAAAGUUCAUAAUAUCGUUUCUAAAUAGAGAUGAUCUUAGCGGGAGGGAAAUACUUAGAGAUAAAAGCAUCUUUGCACUUGUUCCAAGAAUCAAUACUAUUUUUAGGCAAAGACGAAAACCAAGCUUUAGCAUGAUCUCUAAGCGAAAAAGGAAAUAGCUUCAAUUUAAUGACAUCAUUAUCGACAUCUUUUUCUUUUGCAUAUCACAUAAAUCAACGAAGCUAUUCAGAUGAGUAGCGGCAUCUUCACUAGGAAGGCCGGCAAAUUGAUCUUUCAUAACAAGAUUCAACAAAGCAGUAUUGAUUUCACAAAAAUUAGUAUUGGCAAGAGGAGCAAUCGGAGUGCUAAGGAAAUCAUUAUUAUUGGUAUUGGUGAAGUCACACAAUUUGGUAGUAUCUUGAGCUAUCGUGACAAACAAGCAAUCCAACACACGAGCAAACAAAAAGGCAAGCGAGAAAAAGGCAAACAGAAAAGAGAGGGAGAAGG
This 112610-nucleotide long non-coding RNA is filed under the name Triticum aestivum (bread wheat). RNAcentral's name for it is "long non-coding RNA (TAES_LNC001722)". The stretch from base 59984 to 60098 matches the Rfam family "MIR1120/MIR1122 microRNA precursor family". The record is from RNAcentral. Lineage: Eukaryota; Viridiplantae; Streptophyta; Magnoliopsida; Poales; Poaceae.